CCAACCAAAUAAAAGGAUCAUUAUUAUUUUGAAUCAUUUCAUACAUGAAUCAAAUGAUACAAUUAACCAAACACACCCUAACAAACUAUAUCCCACAGAUACCAUGGUGGGAGCUGGUACAAAGGAAAAGGUUGAGAAAACUAACAUCAAUUAAUGAGAGCUCCGUGUAGGGAUGAGUGAACUGGAAAACGAGACGGGAAGAUAAAGUAGUAAACAUACUUAAUUACAACAGUCUGAAACGUGAGAAAAAUGUUUUUUAUGCCACAAAGGUCAGCAGCUCUCGCAAAUUAGUUGGGGUUCAUUUAAUUUGCCCAUAACCUGCACAAACAGGAGCGAGGAAGCACCAUUAGUUAGGGUUAUGAAGAAUAAUCAGGUGGUAAAUGUCGAUCCCAUGGCAGGAUGUACAAAUCGAGGCUCCAAAUCCAAUCCAAAUAGAAAAAUGAAUAUAUAUAUAUAUAUAAUUAUUUAAUCUCUAACUCACAACAAACACCUUCAGUAACAUCAGCCCAAAACCAGAAGCAGGGAAAGAGGAGUCGGAGGGGAGCAACACAACGCGGCAACUGCUACACAUCGUCGCCGUCGCGGCGCUAAGGGGCAGCAGGCGACAGCAGGAGGUGGCGCUGCACUUUGGGGCGAAGCUGAGCAAGCGAGGGUAUCUCGAGUCUUCCGAGCCUAGAUUUUUUUACCGAUUGAAUCACCGUUUCACGUGUGGGCCGCACGGUGAGGCGGAGUCCGCAACGUAGACUAGCUAUCGACGUGGGUAGCGCGGUUACGCGCCGCGUUUGUUAUAUUCUAAUGGCGUGGACUGGGACGAGGCAAUUCGGAGCUUACCUGCCCCGUCGGGUAUCUUUUUACGACUGACACGUAGCGGAGAGAGAAGAGGAAGGAUGUGUUGUGCGGUACUAAACUUUAUUCCCACGUUACAUGAACUAAACUAAAUUAAAAUAAAAAUCCUUUUACCUUCUUCCCUACCCUCCUGCUACCCCAGCACCUACUACCGCUGGAACUCCAACUACCGCUGGUUGAAGCUUCUGCCCACUGUCCGCCGCACCUAAUCUCCAUCUCCGACGACGGUGGAGCAUCGCCCGGACGUGCCCAACCUACCCGCCACAUGCGAACUCUUGCGCGGUGCAGGUAAGAUCCUUCGUGCGUCGGCGAGUAACGGAGCGAGCGGAGGAUUGGCCCGAACAGAGGAGCCUUGAAUCGGCGACGAGACGGAGGCUCGUCGAUUCGACCGCAAGGUGAGCUCAAGCGGGUGGCGUCGCGUUGAUUUGGACGCUGGGAGGCUCAACGAGGUGGCGGAGCGUCGAUUUGACCGUUGAAGGACCCCGAUGGGGUGGCGGCAGUCCUUCUCGUCGCCUCUACCCUAUGGUGGGCGAGCACCGUCGCACGUUGAAGCUCCGCCGACCUAGCUGCGGGGCAAGCGAGCUCCGACAGUGCAGCCGAGCGCCGCUGCGCAGGUGAGGGGAAGGAGCAGCGGUGGACCCGCAUAGGUAGGCAGCGACGGCGAGGGGAGGGGACCCGAUAGGUAGGCAGGGACGGCGAGGGGAGGGGAGCAGCGAUGGGUAGGCGCAAGCGGAGGAGCGGCUGCAUGGGGAGGCGAGCAAAAGGACGACGAUGGCGACGUGCGGGAGGGAGCCGGUGGGAGAGAGCGGUAAAUGAGGAGCAAGAUGUCCAGCACACCUUAGUCCAAUUUUAUGAAUUAUUAGAGGACCAAAGGGUGUAAUCCGAACUUUAAUCCACCUGAGGAGCAAGGAUGUCCCAGCACACCUUAGCCCAAUUUUAUGAAUUAUUAGAGGACCAAAGGGUGUAAUCCGAACUUUAAUCCACCUGUUUGGGGUGCUUAGAACUAAAAGUGCAAAUUUUAGUCAAAAAAUCUUUAGUCUGCGCGGAACGUUUCAUGGAGAUAAUGGUACCGGCGGGACCAAAGAACUAUCAUAUAUUUUUUCAGUAUAUAUUGUAGAAAUUACUCCGAUAAUUUAUUUUCAACUACUUCCAUAAAAAAUUAAAAAAAUGAAUGCUACUUUUUUUAAAAAAGGACAGUUUCUACGUAUUAUUGCGCACAUUUUCUGAACAAAAGAAAAUCAAAAUAUUCAUAUGCAAACCAAUUUUCUUUUCAACAUACAUGAACCACGCGAAUGUUGCUGCAAACAUCUUCCAUCUAUUUUUUCCGCAAAUGUUACAUAAGGGCAAUUUCAUAACAAAGUUACAGGCAUAUAAAAAUCAUAAAAAUACUUUAUUGUAUUAGAAAGCAUGAGCUUGCAAGAAAAAUAAAAAAAACAACUACUUUCAGAUCUUCAAAAAUAGUGGAAGGCAUAAUUUCAGAUCUUGUGCUCUUCUCAAGAUGUUUUCGAGUGAUGUCCAGACACACAACAUCCACAUCUUCCAAUCUCGCAAGAAACACCAAGCAAUAACAUGUUUGUCGCCGCAUUACUUGCUGUAGUUGUACGCGUGGGGAAGGUUAGGGUCUUGGGGGAUCCACAAAGACCGUAGCGGGACCCUACCUCCUCCUACUGGCACAUGCCUUCUCCGGCGAUGUCGAGCCGUGCGCCGCCGUGGGGAGGCUAGCGGGGGAGGGGGAGCACCUAUGGUGGAGGAUCCGAAAGUCGGUGGCCUUACCUUUCAAGGAUUGCACCGGAUCUGGGCUCCAAGCGCGUGGCGCCGCCGGCCUCCCCAGCGAGCUCCUCACUGUAGUAGCUCGACGCACGGGGAGAAAUCUUCCAUGGAGGCCGCCGGCGGCCGAGGGGAUCCUGGCGCCUCCUCCAUGGAUCAGGUGCGGCUACGUCGUUGCCGCCCGAUGGAUCCGCUGGAGCAUUGUCAUGACCCGCCUGCCCCACCGCCUCCGGCCUCCGCACCUUGGCCACCUCGCCGGAUUAGGGACUCGGUAGAAACUGAGAAAGGAAGAGAUGAGGAGAGAAACGGAGGGGAAAAUGAGGAGGAGAGAGAAUACCGGCAGUAAGGGUGCGUUUGGUUGCGAGGACGAAGUGGGACGGGACGGGACGAUCCCACUUCGUCCCGCGUUUGGUUGGAGGACAGGUGGGACGGGGACAUCCCUACGAGGGAAUAUACCCUCCAGAUGCGGGAUGCCCCCGUCCCACCAAAACGAGCGGACGGGGGCAUCCCACUUCGCCCCCGUCACGCGCCGUCUGCACCGGUGGGGCUCCGCCCCAGCCGGCGGGCGAGCCGCAGGCGGAGGGGCCGGCGCGGGCGAGCUCCGCCCCGGCGGCGGGCGAGCCGCCGGCGGAGGGGCCGGCGCGGGCGAGCUCCGCCCCGGCCGGCGGACGAGCUGCGGGCGGAGGGGCCGGCGCGGGCGAGCUCCGCCCCGGCGGCGGGCGAGCCGCCGGCGGAGGGGCCGGCGCGGGCGAGCUCCGCCCCGGCCGGCGGACGAGCUGUGGGCGGAGGGGCCGGCGCGGGCGAGCUCCGCCCCGGCCGGCGGGCGCGAGAUCCGCCACGGCCGGCACGGGCGAGCUCCGCCGCGGCCCCUGGGGCGAGCGGGGCGAGCGGCCGGCGGGGCGAGCGCCCCCGGUGCCGCGGCCGGUGCCCACGGCCUGGGCGGCAGGGAGCUCCGGCGGGGGCGGUAGGGAGCUCCAGCGGGGGCGGCACGGCUUGGGGCGGCAGGGAGCGUUGGAGAAGAUACGGGUUAGGAGAAAAAAAAAAGAAAAGACGAUGACAUGUGGGCCCAUAUAUGACAUGUGGGUCCCACUAAACACAUGCAGCUAACGGUGUUACCCGAGCCAUCCGUCCCUCGUUUUCAAUCCAUCGUACCAAACAAAAAACUGGGAUGAAUUCAUCCCUCUCAACCAAACAGCAGACGGGAUGAUCCCAUCCCAAAAAAUAGAGACGGCACCGUCCCAUCCCAUCUUGUCUCCAAACCAAACGCACCCUAAAUGGCGGAAGGUGGACACCGGCUCCUUAAUUACUUCCGUAAUCGCUUUCUCUCUCUUCGAAACGUUCGGCCGUUGAUAUUUGAUCCCACGGGGCAGGAAACCACCUCCGCGGUAAAUGCCCUCCGAAGUUGAUUUUCGCGUGGACUGGCAGCAAAUUUUCUAACAAUCCAGCCAAAGCCUGCACCUCUCGUGUGCCCGUGGUACCCCAUGGGCAGAGCGAACACGCUGCCAUCCUCGUGGUCGAGGGUUGAGGCCAGCGGCCCGCGUCGGCUCGUUGUCGAAGCUUUCACAUCCGGCCAGGCGGCCAGUGUCGUCGUGACGGGAUGCGCAGGCAGCCCGAGCCCGCUGGUUCUAUCGUGCCCGGCGUGCAUCCCGACCAGCCUUUCUCAAAACCCACAGCCACGCGGCACCUGUGAACGAGUCGUACCACUGUACUUGUAAAAAAAAUCGUACUACCAAAACUCACCACCAGACGCCAGCCCCACGGCGGCGCGCCAAUGUCAUCGCGCCAUCCGUUUGGCCAGUGCACUACACAAGAAAACGGCAGCUCUGGGCACGCGCGCGCGUCCGCCACCCCUUCUCGCCGGUCGCGGCCACGGUCAGGUUCACGCCCCAUCCGGCUCCGGCCACGGCCAGGCAGCGCGCGCGCGUGCGGCCGAUCGACCGGGCGGUCACCAUUGCCAGCCGCCCCAGGGCGCGCGCGAGUCGCGACGCGAGGACAGCGUCGCGCCACGGCCGCAUGCACGCGCGCGGCAAUCAAUGCGCGACGUCGCGGGCGCCCCCCAGAUGCAGCUGCGCGCGCGGCUACGUGAGGCCCAUCUGCUUUUGGGCGGUAACGACCCGCUGGCCAGCCCCGGCGCUGCCCUGCCGCCGAGGGAACGACGGCGAGCGCGCGCGGCUCACACGUGCUGCGCGCCGGGACCAGCCUGGGCUAGCGGACAAACCGUAGCUUUUUUCCGAUAUUUGUUACCCGGAUUCGGCGGGGUUCCGGCACUCGAUUUGGCUGUCCGACGAAAGCUCGGUUUGGGAAUUUGACCGCAGGUGUAGCCGUGUAGGGUUGGAGCCCUGCUACGCGGCGCGCUGCGGUUCCUCCGCCGGCGGCCUCUUGGAAGCUUGAUCACUUGAUCUCGCCUUCUUCCUCACGGAAAAUAUCCAGAAUCUUCGUGCGGUGCCGUGCAAUCGUGCAUGAAUGCUUGUGCGGUAGUACGACGGUGAAAUUCAUUCAGUCCUUGGAGAGCACCGGCAUACGGAGUACUCCGGCCAUAUAGGUUUGCAGUGAGAAAAAUGGUGCGCUGGUUUGCCUCGCCAAAGAAAGAACACGGCAACCUCUCGUGGCGCAUCCCCCGGAUGCAGCUUUCACCGGUAGAAAACCGACCUUGAGUCCCGGUUGAUAAACCUCAUAUCUCUCGAAAAACUAAUUGGGACUAACUAUUCGGGAUUAAAAAAAGAUUUUUUUCUUUUUACUUUCAAUUCUUUUCCAUAUUAAUGCUAAUUGUUGCUACACAUAUAUAUUACAUAUACGUAUACAUUCUUAGCGUACACUACCUCCACGUAUACGCUCGUAUACAAGUCGUAUAUAUUUUUCAUGAUAGUAUAGGCAUAAUAUUAAUUAUAACUACUAUAUAUACAAUUCUUAGUAUAUUAUACACAUCAAACUAGUAUUUAUACUAUUACUAUAUAUACAAUAAUUUGUCCUCUUCAUUCUUAGGAUCCUCCCAUUGUGGUGUUGCUCCAUUCUGCUACAGAAUGUCCAUCGUAAUAAAAUUCUCAUUUAUGAUUUAUCACCUCGUCCACCAGAAAUCCUAUGAGAGUUUCUUGGAUUGCCAAAAGCCUCUCCUUCUCCAAGAGUUUUUCUCUAAACAAUUAAAUGUAAUGAGCUAGAAAAUAAUUAAUUAUUAAUAGGUUUAUUUUACAUACAGUUAUGUUAUCCGAUAUCACCUUGUCCCUCACAAAAUGGUACAUAUGCUCGCAGACGUACUAUCCACAUAAAUUAUUCCCUUAUUCCUGUCUCAAGCACUUUAGUGGGAAAAAACAAGUUAUGAAAUAUUCGUGUUACAGAAUGUACAAAAUGUGGAAACUUUAUACGUACUAGGAACGGCGGCGCAGAGGGCCGCGAUGGAGGCGGACAGCUGUGCAGGGGCCGGGCGUCGAUGGACGGCUUGUAGAAGACCCGACGCCGGGGAGGGGGCCGGACGAUGGUGGAUGGCGGCGGCGCUGCUGCAGUGGUGCCGGUGUCCGGGUGCUCAGCGCACGACACCGUGCGGUGGGGGAGAAGCCGGCAGGCCGGGGGAGGAAGAGGGAGCCCGACUGGGAGGGCGCCACACCGCGGAGUCGGCUGUGGAGGCGAAGGGGCGGCCGGCGGAGGAGGAGAAUGGGGCGUCGGGGCGUCGAUGGGUGCGCCGUGGAGGAGCUGCCGGCCGGCGGCGUGACGGCUAGGGGGACGAUGAUGAUGCAACGGCCGGGGGGGACAAUGACGACGCAUGGUGAGGUAGCGGCGGGCCGACUAGGCGAGUGGGGGCCGCGUCGCGGCUGUGGAGGAGAAUGGGCGGCGCAGGGAAUGUCGGCGCUGAAUGUCGAUGGGGAGGCGCGGCGGCGGCAGUCGAGGAGGAGAACGGGUGGCGCGAAGAUGUGGGGCAGCGGCGUACGCGGCGGAGCACGAGAGGUGGCGGAUCGGGGGAGUGAAAUGAGGAGGAAGAAGGAGGCGGAGAAGAGGUAGUUGUGUCGCCCCCCCCCCCCCCGCCCCGGGUGUCCUUUGCAACCGAGACUAGGGGGCUUUUCGUUUCAUGCUGGUUUUGUAGUUUUAAUUUAUAUAUGUUUUAAGUUGUUUUGUACUGGUGUUGUUAAAGAAAAAUAAAAAAUUACAUAUUUUGAACAUGCAAAGAUAUAUUAAAUUAGCAAUUAUAUUUAAAAUAAGUUUGAAUUAGUUAUUAAUUCUAUACUAGUUAAAUAAUAAGUUUCUAAAAUAAUUAUUUUAAUGCAUCGAUUGAUCAACAAACUCUUCAAUUAAAUUAUUUCAACGCGCAAAAAUGCAAUUGAUAUAUGUGGUUAAGUUAACAUUGUUUAUAUUUUUCGAAAAAAAGGUUCACCAUAAAAUAUUACGAUAUAAUUAAAAGGUUCUGAUGGCUAUAGAGCAUUACAUAAAGGUGCACCAUAUUUAGUGCAUUACAAUGUAACGUUAGAAAACUUCUAUUACUUGGUCAUGAUCGCGGUGUAAGUAUGGAGCCUCUUGUUUGGCUAGCAUGAUGCUUGGAUCAACUUCGACAGUGAAUGGAGGCAUGCUAUCAAACUGAUCAUAAUCAUCUAACUGGUCAGUUUUGUCCUUGACUCCCACGAUUUUUCUUUUACCUGGAAGAACUAUGUGGCGAUUUGGCUCCCAUGGAUGUGGCGAUUUGGCUCACAUGAUUUUUCUUUAUCUUCUGAAUUUUUCUUAGGUUCGCUAGACAUGUCCUUCACAUAGAAAACAUGAUGCACAUCGUAAGAAAGGACGAAUGGUUAGGCCGGGUCCAUUAUUGUUAUUCCAUACUGAUCUUUUGUUACGCCACCUCCAACUAGCUUCACCCAUUGGUAAUGAAAUAGAGGGAUGUUCAGCGGUCCGUAUUCGAGUUCUUAGAUCUCCUCUAUGAAACCUUAAUACAAGUCCUUGCUCUUGUUGUUGUCUAUGUCAUCUAUAUGGACACCACUAUUUUGAUUAGUGCUUUUUUUUAUCUUGGGCUCUCGUGUAAAAUGUAUAACAUUUAUCUCGUAACCUUGUAACUUCACGAUUGUGCUAGAAGAUCCCCUUGCUAACCAAGCGAGUUGUUUGUAAAUCACGGAGUUACCCGAAAGGUGUUGAUGCAACUAAGAGGGAAAAGUAUCCAUGUGAUGACGUAUAACUAAGGCAUCGAAUUUUGUCGGGUAUUGGAAAAAUAGAAUCUGUUUGUGUUCCUCGAUAUACGAAGCCACAAAUGAUGAUUAUUUCAGAACCGUGAAGUGUGCUUUAUGGAACAAAUCACUAUCAUUACUUAAACUUGAUUUUCUUCCAAGGGUGCCCGUUCCCCAUAACAUCCCCUCGUGGCGUGAUGUUGGAACCCCAAUUGAAUACAAAACUCAAUGAUCUUCUUUGUUCCAUAUCCCUUGGCGAUGCCUCCUUCUGUACAGACACGAUUAAGAACAUAGUUUUUUAGACUAACAUGAACCUCUCGAAAGGCCACAUAUUGUGCAGAAAUACUGGACCAAGAAUAGUACUCUUUGACUAGGUGAUCAAGGAGGUGCGUCAUAAUAUUGAAGAAGGAUGGUGGAAAUACCAAUUUAAAACUGAUAAGACAUUGUACCAUAUCGUUCUGUAGCUUUAGUAGCUUGGUUGGAUUGAUUGCCUUCAGCGAAAUCGCAUUGAGAAACGUGCAUAGCUUUACCAGUGUUAAUUGUACAUUCUCUAGUAGAAUACCACUCAUUGCAACCGGAAGCAACUAGGUCAUCAAAAUAUGACAGUCAUGGGCCUUUAGAUUUAUGAACUUCUUUUUUUCAUAUUAUUAUUCUCUUUGUAUUCGAGGAGUACCCAGACAGAACCUUGAUACUAUUCAUGCAGUCAAACAUGCUAUCCUUAUCUUCCCUACUGAGAGGGUAACUGGUAGGAUGUAAGUAGUGCCGUUCUUUAUCUCUGUUUUCCAGAUGUAGAUCAUCUCGUUGAUUUAUACAUUUCAGGUCCUAUCAUGCUUCCAAUGUAUCUUUUGAGUUCCCACAAAGCCUAGCACGUUCAUGCAAAGAUUCUUCAUCAGGUGUAUCAUGUCUAUUGCAUCGUGGACCUCUAGGAUUUCCCAACAAGAUAGCUCCCGAAAUAUAGACUUUUUCUUCCACAUGGGUGCACGUCCGUUAUUGUCGUUCGGAACAGGUUCGCUACCAAGACCCAUUUCAUUACCAUGUGCAGGUCUUUUACGAUGGUCUAAUGCCCCUUUGAAAUGCAUCCCUUUUCUUUCUUAACUGGUGGUUAGCAGGAAGAAAUCGAUAAUAACCCAUAUAAACGAUCUUCCUAAAGUGUUUCAAAUACAUAUUGUCUAUGUCUUCUAAACAGUGGGUGCAUGCCCGAUAUCUCUUAUUUAUCUGUCCUGAAAGUUUCGUCAACGUAGGCCAAUCAUUAAUGAUUAUGAACAAUAAUACUCGUAGGUGAAAACUCUCCUGUUUAUUCUCAUCCCACACAUGUACACCUUCUUCCUUCCAGAGCAUAAAGGUUCAUCAACCAACGGAUUUAAGUACACGUUAAUGUCGUUGCCAGGUUAUUUUGGGCCUUGGAUAAGUACCGGCAUUAUAAUGAAUUUCCGCUUCAUGUACAACCAAGGAGGAAGGUUGAACAUACAUAGGGUCACAUACCAACUAUUAUGACCACUACUCAACUCACCGAAUGGAUUGAAUCCAUCAGUAAUUAAACCAAACCUUAUGUUCCUUGCAUCACUUUUAAAGUCCGGGAUUGCUCUAUCAAUUGAUCUCCACUGGGCCCCAUCCGCGGGGUGUCUCAACAUCUCAUCUUGCUUACGUUAUUUUUUGUACCAUCACAUCAAUUUAGCAUUCGCCUUAUUUCUGAACAAACAUUUCAAACGUGGUAUUAUAGGGAAAUACCACAUCAUCUUUGCGGGAACUCUCUUCUUGGAAGGAUACCCCUCAACAUCAUCAGGAUCAUCUUGUCUGAUCUUAUACCGCAGUGCUCUGCACACAGGAUAAGUAUCCAAUUUCUCGUAUUCAUCACCACGAUAGAGGAUACAAUCUCUAGGGCAUGCGUGUAUCUUCUGAACCUCCACUCCCAGAGGGCAAACAACCUGUUUAGCUUCAUAUGUUGUGGACGGCAAUUCAUUAUUCCCGGAAAGUAUGUUCUUUACAAUUUUCAAUAUCCCUUGAAAUACCUUAUCGGACACACCAUUUUUUACCAUCCAUUGCAGCAUUUCCAGUGUGGUUCCUAGUUUUUUAUACCCCUGCUUGCAAUAUGUGUAUAAUAAUUUUUUAUGAUCAUCUAUCAUGCGCUGCAACUUUUUUGAUUCCUUCUCAAUUUCGUAGUCUUUUUGCGCAUCCCGUAGCACCUGACUAAGAUCAUCAAUAGGUCCGUCUUCUGCAAACUUUUAUUCAUCAGUCUCGUCCAUUGUAGUAUCUGCAAAAUCUUAGCUUGCAGCCCAGUCCGGAAUGUUGUUAUCAUCCUCCUCUUCUUCGCUAUCUUCCAUUAUAACCCCUCUUUCACCAUGCUUGGUCCAAACCAAAUAGUUAGGCAUGAAACCAUAUCUAAACAAGUGGCUGUGAAGAGUCCCCCAGGAAGAGUAGUCCUUCUUGUUACUGCAUUGGAAGCAUGGACAACAUAUGAAUCCCUUCUCUAGCUUGUUGACUUUUGCUACUUCGAGAAAAUAAUGCAAGCCAUCAAUGAACUUCUUGGUCCGUCUAUCUGCAUUGUACAUCCAUUGCCCGUCCAUCUGCAUUGUAUUACAUGAAAAAUGGACAUAGGUCUUCGUAUCAGAUAAAAAAAUUUGAUCAAUAUUAAUAAUUUACACCAAUCAACCUUCAUAAAGAUAAAAAAUAAUUUACAUGAAAAUUACACCAAUCAACCUUCAUAUCAUUCACUAGGUCAACAAAAAUAAAAUUGGUAAAAUUCUGGAAUAAGACAAUAAAGAUAUAUAUAUUACAUACGCUCUAUAGUGGACUUCAUAUAGUCAAUAAUCCUAAAAUAAUGGUACAACAUAGCAGAAUGUUGGCUCUUCAAACCAUCUCUGCACAUGACUCAAUCUUCUACGAAGUGUAUGGAGAGUCACCUCCACUCCUCCAGUACCAGAAAAUAAUGGUACAACAGAAGAUCUUCGAAUCCAUGUACUCGGAUUGGAUAUCAUAAAAGAAUCUUGAAAUAAUUAUCCAAACGUCUUUUGAAGUGCCACAUUUUCAUAAUAGAAGUAUGAUGGCACACAAUAGCCUGUCAAGGUAAAAGAUUUGUUCACUAAGCAUGGCCCAUUUUAGCAAAUCAAAACUAACUAAAAUUCGAUAGGUCAAGGUCAGUGAACAGUGUCUACCUAAACAGGCUCUUGGGCCACUAUACUUCUAUUAUAAGAAUGUGGCUCCAAAAGUUAUUUGAAAAACUAUUUUAAGAUUCUUUUAUGAUAUUCAGCCUGAGUUUGUGGACUCGAAAUUCUUCUGUUCUACCAUUAUUUUUGGAUUUUUAACUUCGUGAAGUUCACUAUAGAGCGUCUGUAGUCUUUAGUGUAUCUUUGUUGCCCUGUUCCACAAUUGUAGCAUUAAGUUGACCAGUGUAAUUUUCAUGUCACUCUAAUUUAACGUGCAAACUAUCCAGAAAAUUGUAACAAUGACCAAAUUCUAUUUCUUACGCUUACAAUUUAUUUACCUUAAUUUUAUUUCUUACACCUGCAAUUUAUUUGACUAAAUAUUAAAAAUACAUUUACAUUAUUUUUCCCCAUACCUAAUAUUGAUCAGGAUAUUUAUCUAAUACGAAUCAUAUAUAACAAGAAAGCUAUCCAUCAAAUUUUAAUUCAAAAACAUGUAUAAAUAAAAAAUCCUCACCAUUCUUCCUCAUUCUAAAACUCAUUUUUCUCUAUCUCUAAAGCAUAAAACAAAAUAUAAUAACAAUAAAUGAAGGGAGGAUGAAGUAACUAACUUUUACAACACUUUAGAUGAGUGAAAUCCCCAUAAAAAUGAGGAAAAACAUUGGGUAGCACCUCCCUAAGCUUGCUUGCUAACCAUGGAGAAGGAGCCGGAAGCUCGGUCUGAGUGGCUCGGGCUCAAGGAGGAAGAAGCUGAAUUUUAAAGGCGAGGCAUUUAGUCCCGGUUGAAAACACCAACCGUGACUAAAGCUCCUUACCAGGACUAAAUGGGGACCUUUAGUCACGGUUAGUGUUUUUAACUGGGACUAAAAGCUCCACCUGAUUCCCUCAUUCCACUAGCUGUUGCAAUCGGGGCUAAAGAGGUCUCUAGCUCAUCGGUGGCCGUUUGACUGGGAUUAAAAACCUUCUUAUCUCGAGUUCAAAAUCGACCGGAACUUAAAAACGCUGGAUGGAAAUUCUCUAAUUAGUGCUUCGUUUCCCUCAGGCCGCCCGGGGAGCUUGAACGAUCAGCCGACGAGAGUACUCGAGUUCGUUUAGGAGUCCUCAAACUCGGUUACUGCUGAAAACGAGGCCUGAUCAGCGAUCACGUGGUGACGCACGCGUGAGACGGAGACGGACCCCAGCCAGCAACAGCAGGCCGACCUACUACCAACCAGUGACCCGGUUCACGUUACUCAUUGACUAGCAUCUACUCCUACCUGUACCAUAUCAGCUGGCGUGGCCGCCGUCGCAUCCACAUCCGCGCCGAGAUAUUUCCCCGGCCGGGGCGGUGGCCAUGUCAAGCCUCGCCACUUGGGGCCACGCCAUCGGUGUCGCUUGCAAGUCAACAUACGGCCGUGCCGUCGGGGACACUUGUCCGGCCAGAACCGCCCGGCUCCGCAUUGUUUAUGCGCCCGUCACACGUGAAAGCGCGCUCCGGCGAGCGGGAACUCGCCGGGAUCGCGCCACCUGUUGGCUACAGUUCGCCGGCAGGCAGCCUCUCGCCGAGGCAACGCUGCUCCAGUGCAAUCAUGCAACUGUUCAUACCUGACGCGCUGUUGGGUCGCAAUUAUUGGCCAGUGGAAAUUCUAGGCCCGCUGUUGCUUUUUUCGGAAGGUUCUCAGCUUCUGAAUUCUGAUGCUCGGCGAACAGAACCAACAAGUGGAAAAGGCUCUGGGAUGAAGCGACUAAUAACCGCAAGAGGAAAGGAUGCGAUGUCAUCCGCAAUCAUCUCCAGCGAAAAAGCUCUGGAGAAAAAGGCUCUUGUAGCACGCGCGGAUCACUACUUUAUCUGCGCUUUUAGCGAGGGUUUUGGCAAAGCAACGUGGGGGUAUCAGGCGUGUAUCUUUGCUAGCUCUGUUUGCCCUAGAUGGCGUAGUACUUUGUAGCAGACACUCUUGCGUGUGCUGUUAGCACUGUUCACUGGCAUGCCAAUCUCUGCAAAACUUUCAGCGUAAUCCACAGGACAGAUCAAGCUUUACGGGGUCUUACCCAUUUCCGGUAUGAGCUAGAAAGACAAUACACAAAUACAGGGUGACCACAGAGUUCAGAAAGAAAAUGUCAUUGACUGAAGUAGUAUACCAAAGAUCACGUGUCGAAUAGCUUGUGAGAAAUGUGCUCGAGUGUCUUGCUCUGUUAGUUGCUCAUGCUUUUUCUCUAGAUCAUGAGGCCGAAACUUUGUUUUCAAGCUAAGGGUGCAGGCGAUGCUUAUCCAGAAGAGGGGAAGGCUGCCUGAGCACUCAAGCGGCACCGGCGCCUUUCCCCUUUCGGCACGAAAAUGACACACACGUUGAUGUCAACCGCGCGCGGACAAUCUGGGUGCCCAUGCUCAGAUUCCUAACGCUUCUUCCACAUUGCAACAAAAAGCCUCCUCCACAAAUCUUGCUUGGACAGUGGACACGAGCUAGUGUGUAAGCACAGCAUCUGCCGCAGAUACGCAUGGGAUCGGAAGCACAUCAGCAGCGCAUGUGUGAAGAUUUGCUGAAAAUGAAGUGAAAACACAUACUGUUUGGCCUGAAGAAUCCAUGGACCAAAAAACUGGCCACCACACUAGCUGUGCAAAUAAACAAAUGGCAGGAUUACCUCAUCAGAACCAAAGAGGAUUAGAAUCCACUUGCAAUUGAGACCAAGCUUAAUCCAUGACCAAGAGAGGUUAAGUGUAGCUCCAUCAGGAGGCUUUGCUUUAAGCUUUGAUGUUUAGUAAGACCACCAAAACACUCCAAAUGUGUAGCGAUCUGGACCUAACUAUACUAUGAUGAGCGGUGGCAGCCGCUCUUAUUUAAUCUGAUCCAGUGCGUUAAAAUAAGUGCGUGGUGUUUUAUGUCACGCCGUGAUCCAAUCCAACGCUGGAGUUAGUUAUGUCGUGACGUCCGGUAGGCCUGCAACGCAGAGACUAAAAUAUCAGGGUUCCUCAUACAGCAUCAGUGUGUUAUGCACACACAAUUGAAACAGUCGUUAUCUAUGAUAAUUCAAACUUGAAAACCACAAGUUAGAACACGCCACCACUUUCUCUUCCAAAUGGAUAACGAAUCCUCCAUUUCAAUGAGGUAUUUUGGAGUGAAUUCAGCCUGAACCUUGUCUCGACGUCUGCUGUUCCAAAAUUCUCAGAGUGAAGGACCAAAAGGGAAAACGUAGACGAAAUGUCCGCCUGCCUUGACACUCCGGUCAAGCCUUUCUUUCUCCCUUUACACGAGAGUUUCAACAUGUACGAUCAGAUGAUGAUAUUCGCAGCCGGGGGACCGACAUCUGUUAUUCUAUUCCGGACAGGCGACACAGCCAUACAGGUGUCUCGAUACAUUAUUUCAGAGCAAGGAACCCCCCGGUAGUUCACGUGAUAAUCCUCUCCCCAUCGGCCAUCGUUCCGUGCAGGCCGGGGGGAUCACAGGUUCGUCUCGCUCUCGCAGGCACCAGUAGGAGAGAGUCCCCGGCUCGGGAGCCGCAGCCAAUCCAGCCAUGACUCACCAUGAGAUCUUUUCUCCGCGGGUUCCGUGCAGGCUGACCAGCUGUGCGCUUCAUAAUUGAGAGGGCCAGAUUGCAUUCGCAUCAGCGCAAAACCUUGCCCCUUUAAAUAGACACAGGUCAUCUCAGUCUCAACCCUGUAGGCUUCUCUCCUCUCCUCUCUCUCCUCUCUCUGCCUCUCUGACUUCUUCCUCCGGGAGUCCAGCUCACCAGGAGGAAGAAGUUCCAUUGCCUUCUUCGCUCAUCUGCCUGCGUCCACACUCGAACAGUUGAGUCGUUCUUCCCCUCCCAAAUCCCCAUUGUUUUAUCUCCUGGCGUUCUAGAACCGUAAGUACCUGCGCUCGGCGGCAAGAAGCAGCAAGCGCGGGGUGACGUUCCCCGCGUCGUCAAAGGAUUAGGUGGCUCCUCGUUUUCCCCUGGAUUUCGCAGCUCGAUUUCACGAUCUUUGGGAUAGCCUUUUUCAAUGUAUUUUAUCAUUUCAAUAUGGCGGCAGAGGCAUUGCUCGAUCGAUCGCGUACCGGUAGCACUAGCUAGCGCAGGCAUCCCCUGGUGUUUUCUUUUGAGUUUUUUUUUGGGUUUCCGAUGGCACAACUUGCCGCCGAUACACAAAAAAACAACGCCUUUUCGGGGCGAAAAGUAUGCCAAUUUGGCCGUACGUUACGCCAAGUUGCACUCCUGUUCCGAUGUUGAUUACUGGUCCCCCCCUGCGAACGUUUUAAAGGAUAAGAGUUGCUUCGUCUCGCUCACUGGUGUUCGUCGUGGUUUAUUUCUUCGGUUGUGCGCGCGUGCAGAGACUGCAGAGACGGGGAGCGGAGGUAGUAGUGGUGGCGGUGGCCCUUGCUGGGUGGAGGUGGAGGCUUCGAUUCGGGCGGUGGCUCGUGGCCUGACGAAUCCCGGAAAGGCCGCCGGAAAGGGGAGGACAAAGGUGGGAGAGCUUUUAUUGGUUUCUUUCCUGUUCUUGUUCGAUGGUGCUCUCUCUGAUUGGUUUGUGCUCGCGUACAAGUUACAAUCUUCCGCAGUAUCCUUUCUGCCCGAACAUUUCUUUCAAAAAUAUCCCUUUUACUGCAAGAGUUUCCACGAUCCUCGUUUCCGUUUCUGCCGUAGAUUCUUAGUGCAGUUAAUUUCUUUCAUCUUCUUGAAUCCGCGAUGUGGUUUGUUGAAUUGUUGUUGAGUUGCUGAUGUCGUUUUUGUUGCUGGUCGUGAAUUCGCGACGCUCGCAGGUAAACAGGCCGCUGUGAAGCCAUGGGGUGCGGGGCGUCGAGCCAGAAGGACGCCGCCGGCGGGCCCCGGAGACGGCCGGGGAGCGUCGGCGACGUGGUCGUGUUCCUCCCGGGCCUCCGGGUGCCGAGGAGCGUCGACCUCGCCCAGGCGCUCGGCGGGCGCCUGGACAGGAGCAUUGUGGAGCGGCUGUCGGCUCUGAGAGCGCGCGUCGUCGAGAUGGCAAUGCAAGAGUCGGCGGUGGCGCUGAAGCCAAGGCGGAGGGCGGCGGCACGGCACGGUGUGUAGGGGAGGGGGUGGUGGUACAGCGCCUGAAUUGGUAGCUAGUUUUGUCUGCAAGCGGAGAAGACUUCACAGAGCUGACCUGGGUUUGCUUCCCUGCAGGAUCUAGUACAGCCAAUCUCCUACAGGCUCUUGAAGAAUACUUGCCCGUUCUGCUAGGAUUGGUAAAAGAAGGUGAGGAACUGCUGCAGUAAUCUGGUGGUCUGUUCGUGUUUCAGUUCACAAUUUCAUUUUGGUGUUCUGAUUCAUCCAGCAUGCAAAAUGUGCAGGUAGUAUGUUGAGGCACGCCGUGCAAUUCACUUGGACUAACCAAGAGGAUAAUGCUGAGGUAUGUCCAGCCCUGAAUAUCGCGAACUCAUUGCUGUUUUGUUGCUCCUAAGCUGUAUGUUAAAUCAACUUUCCAUAUAUCAGGAGACGGCCAUGGCAGAUGCCUGGUACGAGGUGCUGUCCGUGCUGCAUUUGAUGGCCAUGGUCUGCUUGCUGCAGGCCAACACCCUGCUUCUCCCCAGGUCAUACGGCGAUGGCUAUGCACCAAGAGUUUCUGAAGGUGCUACAACUGUGAACUGUACAUCCGAAGUGUCCUUGUCCUAGAGACUGUUGUUCCAAGUUUGUGCUUUUAAACUAGGUUCAUAGAAAAUAUAACGACCUGUUGUGCAUUGAAGUAUUUCCAUCUAUAGUGUUCAUGUGCUGAUAUGGCGACAAAUUUCCAAUGUGCUACAGAGAGCAGAAGGGUCACUGUUGAUGUUUUCUUGAAGGCAGCUGGAUACUUAGACUGCGCAAUUCGGCAUGUACUUCCACAGAUUCCACCGGAACUAAGGUUCUGUACACCUUGGGUAGCUUUCUGGUAGUGUUAGGCUUCCAUUCGAAUUUUAAAACAUCUGCUGAAACAUUCCCCUUCAAUAUAUGGAUCACAGGAGGCAACUUCCAGUAGACCUCGUUGAAGGAAAUCUCAAAGCUUUAAGCCUGCAAGCUCUGGGUCAGGUAGUGUCUUCUCAACUUGGAAAAUUGGAUUUUUUUUUGAACAACUUCUUAAAUGGUUCCACAAUAUAAAUCUACAGUCCAUUUAAAAAAUAUUUCCGAUGAGAAUACUGGACAUAUGCUUAGAAAGAAAAGAAAAGAAAAGAAAAGAGCACAGAAGAUAUUAUGCCUGCAUGUGAUUUUGAACGAUAUAUUUCCUAUUACUGCUGAAGCAGCAUGUAUUGAAUAGCACAAUUUUAUACUUCUUAAGUUGCAAUUUGUUGCUGGGAACAGCCUAAGAAACCUAGUACUAGCAUUCUAUUUAUCAUGGUUUAUCAAAUCUACACUUUGACAUGUCUGAUACAUUAGUCCUAUUAUUAUCUGUACUCUUGCUAGCCAAUACAUUUGAUAUUAGAUAUUUCAUUUUUUUUUCCUGAACAUUGGUUUCUUUCUACAGGGGGUGGACAUGCAGCUUGGUUUGGCUAUCGAUAGUCCAAAGGCCACUUUAGCAGUAAAACGGCGCUUAGCCUGUGAAAUGAUCAAGUAUUGGCAACAUGUUCAGGAAAGCAUUCCAGAUCUUCCUGGCUCUGAUGGAUGGGGGAAAAAGCACCGGCUGUUUGUCAAGUGGAAAUAUGUUGAAGCAAAGGUAUAUAUCUCGUCUCAAACUCUCAAUCAAAGAGACUAAAUUUCAUCAGAUUACAUAGCUUUUGAUCUCUAAUGUAUGAUAUUUGAAGCAUCCAUACUGUCUGACAUCUAUUUACAUGUUUAUCUCAGCUGCAGCAUACUAUUUUCAUGGUUUGAUUCUUGAUGAGGGAAAUACAGAGAAAUCCCAUGGAAUGGCAAUAGCCGCACUUCAAGCUUCAGAAGAAUUUCUGAAAGAAAGCAAAAGGGUUUCGGAAGCCUUCCAUGCAACUCCUCCAACAUCGAGGUAGAGCAUUGCGCCUGCACCCCCCCCCCCCCCCCCAACACACACACACUGACACACACACACUUCACUCCUCACCAUAUUUUGUUUUUUUUAUUUUAAAAAUUUCACAUUUGCCAAGAUAAGGGUGCUCGAUAAUCUGUUUGAGGAACAGCUGUUGCUGUGAUUUGUAAUAACUAAUAACACAUUCAUAGUAAGGGAGACUGAAGUUCAUACCUGUACUUUGCAGGAGCCCUACUCCAUUCGGAACAGCAAAAUAUAUGUUUGACAAGAUCCCAAAAGAUGCUUCAAGCAAGGUCCGAAUCAACCAGGACCUGUAUACCCAAGAAAAGUAAGAACCAUCAGCACUGAAACAUACUGGAAUUGCGAAUCCCAUGUACUAAUGUGUCAUUAUGGGGAAUUUGCAGGGUCAUAGGAACUCCGCCUCCCUUACCAGAUUUUGCAUUGGCGCUAACACCUGAAGACUAUGAUCUUCCUCCAUUAGAUCCACUUUGGAACAAAGAAGACAGACGUCAUUAGGUGUAUAUGCAACAGAAUGGUUUCUUCAGACGAAAAGCUUGGCGUUAGAGAGAAACAAGAAGCACCAAGAUCUGCCAUGCGAAAGCUGAGCAUGGUAAAAGUGUACAAAGUAUGUUUGAACCAAAUUUCGUAUCAAAAAAAAAUCCAACCAAUUGUUAGGAAGGCCUGAAGAUAAUCUGAAGAGCAUUGUACAGGCGAUUUUUCUUCUGAUAAGGGAAAUGCUUUGUCAAAGGGUUCAUUUAACAUUCUUGAUCCUGAUUCCUGAUGUUCCUGAUGCUUGCAUUUUCUCGACAAGGGCAUAGCUUUGGGCCCGUUCUGAUUUAUGUGUGGUCCCUCAAUAGCUUUGCCAGAUUCAAUGAUAUUUCAAGAACUGUAACCUUCAGAGUUUCAUAAUUUGAUUGGGAACCAGCCUGGGACCAAAAGUGGCAGCUUUCAACUUGUAUUUCAUAAUGUCUGUCAUAAACGUUUGCAUUGGCAUCUUAAAACGUGCCUUGGAACAAUCAGUUCCAAUCAAGCAAAUUUACAUGAUAUGAGCAAGAUUGUCACAUAAUCAGGGUGCCCCAAAGAGUUACCCCUUUCCUAUCAUUUAGGGAACGAAAAUGUCAACAAAUCAUGAUUUUUCAUAUGAAAAAAAAGAUAUCUCAUAUGAUCUAUUCAUGCCAUCUAUGAGAUGUAAUCUACUGCUAGAUAGUAUGACCCGACUAAUACAAAUGAUGCAAUCCCACUAUGGGCCAUUCGUAGUCCGAUGCCACGGAACAGAACAUUCCUAUCAGCAGGAGAUAUCCCUGUCUUUCUCUCUAUCCACGUUCCUGGUGCUUUCCACUUAAGAAACUUCCUCUCCAUUGCGAUAUACUGAAAAAAAAAGGAAAAAUAGGUACAAGGAGAUAACAUAAACAAGGUGUAUCACAAAUAGGAAAGAAUGCAACGUCCAAUUUGGAGGCAAUUACACACACAAAAGGAGGAUAGACUAUACAAAGCACGGACAGCCUGUACCUUAGGCACAACCGUACAUUCUGAACGACUUUUUGCAGUAUCAAACGUAUGUGAAGCAGCAGCUGCAACUGCUCCUGCAAAGCCUGCAGCAACACUAGAAGCAAAAGGGUGUACAGGGCCUGCGUCUUCUAUAUUCCUGAGAAGAGACGGAAGGUUAGAUACUUAGAUAGACUAAAAUGCCAGGGCAUAAAUAUGGUUACCAUGCUAUCCCUAUCUUUACUACAAAUCAAAUAUGCUAACAUGAUUCCAUUACCUAGGUUCAGGUUUCAUAUUAACUGCCUUCCAAGUGAGCAUCGCUGUGUGUAUGAUUUGCCAAGUUGAAAAGAACAUACCACCAAAGACACAGUCUCGAGCUAUCCCUGGUCUAAGCCCUCUCCACAGUGCACCCCAUCCUUCAAGUGAUAUCACUCUAGAAGGUAGCUGCACAGCAGAUGGUAAUGGGGGCUUCCCAGAGCCGGUAAGCAUCCACGGGUGCUGCUUCAGGGCACCCAACAUGUCGGGAUGCUUUGGAGAAAGAUCAGAUAACAGACUCACGGUGCUGCUCCACACCCUCAUGUCAGGAACAUAUCCAGGCAACAGUUUGGAAAGUAGUGGAAACGAUUCUUGUGCAACAUUUGCAGGGCCCAUUGCUCUUGAAGGUAUCACAGAACUAACUUGGUUUCGGAGUUUGAAGAGUUCAAAUGGUGUGCAGAAAACAGCCUCUACAGCACCAGCAGCUAUGCCAGCCAACAUAGCCUCAGAAUAAUAGACAUAGUUGUCCUCCCUUCCAUCUGCCAAUACAUAUACAAGAUGAUAAACAUUCACUAAAUUUCACCACAAGUUGGACAUGGAAAAUUAAACAGGUUAAGCGGUGCUAGUAAAUCAUACGUAGAUUAGGUCAUCAGAAGAUAUAUCGAAUUAUCAAGAAAGGGGUGCAAUUUAAAAACAAACCGACGGUGGUAAUAACAAAACAAAAGAAAAAGCAAUGUAACACAAUGCUUGAGAGAUAGACCGGCAAUAUAAAUAUUGAUAACAAAGUGAACAUAGAGCAAAUUGUCAUAAACAGUGAAUUGUGGGAGAACAUUCUUUACCUUUAUAGAAGGCUGUUAAAAAUUCAUAGGUCCCAAAGCGUGCUCCCAACCCAGGAAGUUUUCCCAUUAUGGACCAACCGAUGCCACUAUAAAACCCUAAAAGGCAUACAAUGACUUAUAAGAUAAUGGAAUUAAUUUCAUACAUGUUAAGUAACACAUAACUAGACAUGAAGCCAUCCGACAUGAACUGGAAAAGUUUAUAUAAAAAUCAGGAUUCAUAUGGCUUUCUACUACAAUUUUCAUUGAAGAAAGUUUUUAAUGGAACAGGCACCCAACGAAACUUGGGGAAAAUUUUGGUUGUGCAUAAAGUGCUGACUCAAAGUUAGGACUUUAGAUCUUCUAACAAUUGGAUUCAUAGUUUCACACAGAAUCCAGCAUAACUAUAUUUAUGUGAGGUCAUUCAUUCUUUCUUUAGAAUUGGUAGCUCUGUCACGUAGGCUCAACAAUCAACCGAUUAAAUCAUGAGACGAUUCUGGCCCUAGUAUAACAUGGAAGCUCAACAUAAUCAGCAUACCAGCCUGCCAAUUUCAACAGUUCACACAUCUCGGUAGCAAUGCAGAUCAGGAUGAAGCACAAGUACUCCAAUCGCAAUACACAGUCCCACUACCAAAGAUAUCUAGCAACUAAGCAGCCAACCCCCAAUCGAACCUGCAGGGCCGGAGGCGGCCAUGAGCCGGUCCACCACCUGGCGGAGCCCCAUCUUCUGCUUCUUCCCCGCCGCGCCCAGCUGCAGAGGCAAGAAAACACCGCGCAGAUGCCAAAUCAGACCUUGAGAAAGCACCGGUACAGCAACACAAGGAGGGGAGGUGGGUGGGCGCGCUCGCCUGGAUGAGGGUCUUGACCGUGUCGAGGGGGUGCACGGCGACGGUGGAGGCGCUGAUCGCCGCCGCGCCGGCGGCCGCGUGGCCCGCGAACACGCUGUCCCCCAGCGGCUUGCCGCCUCCCACCAUCGCGGCGGCCUGGAAGGCUCCUCCCGGAAAUGGCGAAAAGCGGCGACGCGGAGGUUUAGGGGAACAACGGUGUGAGUGGUCUGAGGCCGCGGGUGACUGAAUGGGGCCCAGUCACAAAAGGCAGCCCAUCUCGUUCAUGGGCGGAAUGGCAGCUGGCCCAUUGAGUUCCUGGCCCUGUCCCUCCCCAUGACCCGAAUCUUCGCACGAUCGGACCGUGGGGCGCGCCGACGCGAGUCGAACUCGGGUCCAAGUUUUCUUCCGGCUUGGUGGUGCCGCCGGCUCGACUUGACCAACGCUCCCAGGUUCCAACUGACGCCGCCUCCCGGUCGCUCUCGCUGCCAUUGGCCAUUGCUGGGGUAGAGACCAGGUUGGCCGCCCCCUGCUCCCGCUCCCUCUGCGUAUCUCCAUGGGCCAAGGCCAGAGUCAGUCCGCCCCUCCGGCGGAGGAGCCUUCUCCGCCCGCCGUGGAGCCGUCCUCGCCGUCUCCUGCUCCUGCCCCGGCGUCCUCCUCCCUCGAGGCGCUCGCCGCAGGUAUGAUAUACAUCCGAAGCCCCGAAUCUCAUGUGUCUAUGGCGUUUGCCUCCUCCGUAUACCGUGCUAGUUGAGUUGCAGUUGCGCUGGGUCUUCGCGUUCCUUGGAUUUGUUGGAGCAUUGGUUGAAGUGGGGAGCUCUUGGCUGGUAGCAGACUAGCAGUCGAAUUUGAUGGAAUUUUUGGGUAGCCAGUGACGGGUAGGAUUCUGGUACGAAAGUAGCAGGAUGAGAUCUUUCGUCAGUUCGUGUGAUAUUUUAGUAUGCGAUAAUGUAGACUUUUUACAGAUCACGAUCUCUUAGGCUCGUACCAAAUAAUAUUAGUAUUCAUUCAUGCUGGAAUUAUGCUAAUAUAAACUGUUAUUUAAUGUCAAUGAUGCGGUAAGCUAAAUAAGCAGGGGCCUGAAGCCUGACCCUUACUCUUGAGGAGCAAGCGAGUCAUAGGCUAGGCUGCUAUUCGACCAACGUGGCAAUGUCUGUCCAGAAUGACUAGCCUAAUCGAUUGAUAUUGUAGCUCUCUGAGAAGUUACAAUAUAUACUUUGCUGUGGAAAAGUUGCAAUAGGGCUUAUGCCCAAAACCUAGGCUUCUCGAGGGUAACUGAAAGUAUAUGGUACAAAACCACAGUUCAGACUGUUGGCCCUAGGGUCCUAGUUCCAGGUACAAAACCAUAAUUCAACUCAAAAGGUUACUGCUACUGCAAACUCUAGUUCUCCUUACAGCUAGCAAAUUUUCUUUUAGAUGUGUAUAACAUAAUUUUCUUCAUUUGGGCUCCUUCUUAGCCAUGUACUGCAUUGUUCUAAUUAAGCAUUUUAAAAAUUGUGCAGAGGCAAUGUCAUUUGAUGAGGGUGACACUGCGGAGGUAUGUCACUUCCUCUUGCUUCUAGAUAGAUUCUUAUACAUCAGUCACCUAUUUGUUUCACUAUAUCUUGGCACUCCGAGUGCCAGUGGUCAGUGAAAUAGCAUUUUGCUUGUGCAGUCAAUUGAUGAGAAGGUACAGAAAGCUCUGGAGUGUCCGUGUGUGGCUGAUUUGAAAAAUGGUCCUUGUGGAGGCCCAUUUGUAGCUGCAUUUUCCUGCUUCCUUAGGAGCACAGAAGAAGAGAAGGUUCAUUUCUUUUUAGUUUUCUACAAGUUACUAAGUUGAUUCAACUUAAGUCCACCUUAUGCAAGUUAUAUUAAGUGUGUAUGUAUCAGGAUGGUAGCACUUAAUAAAUGGCCUAUGAUUCAAAAGUUUAUAAAUGAUGUUUUUUUUUUGUUAAAGCCUUAACAUUUAGCUGGUGAAAAUUAAUGGUUAUGAUUUUAUUGUUCUGUUGCUUGACAUGUUUGUUUCUUAUUUUUCCAAUAUCUGUGUGUUGUUUUGGUUUUCUUUCGAAAGUAAUUCAACACAAUUCUCUGUCUGCUAUAGCGUGCGGUUUGAAAUUUGUUGGCAAACUUGAAAGGUGCCCAUGUUAUUAGUUGGCUUAAUUGAGUAGAGGAAGAUGUGUUGUCCAAGGGCGGGUUCUUAUGAUUCAAAAGAUAUAAACUGGUACCAUUGUCAAUUUAGUCAGACUACAAUGCUGAUGUAAGGCAUUGUAAGGUGAUUCUGUUUGAUCAAAAUCACUCAUUGUGGUCUUGUGGAUAUCUCUUUACUUUUACAUCAAUAGAAAAACUAUUUGUUUGCUUGUUCUUUACAUCCAAAGACUUUGAAAACUAUCAAGUGCUAACUGGUUGAACAUAGUUGUUACCUUCAAUUGUUCCUUUUCAAAUUAUGUCUGUUUAUGUGUUUCUGUACUGUCUUACCAAACUUGGAUCCUUCAUUUGAAACUUCAAAUAUCAUGCGUACGGGAAUAACAUUUGACCAUGUGGCACCAUUAACUGUUUGAUUCAUUUAUGUCUCUUCCUAUAAAUUAACUAGCGCUAAAGUUUGCUAUCUCUUCCUUUCCAGGGAUCAGAUUGUGUGAGCCCCUUUAUCGCAUUGCAGGACUGCAUCAAAGCAAAUCCAGAGGCAUUUUCUAAGGAGAUUUUGGAGGAAGAGGAGAAUGAUGAGGAAGCAGAGAAGUCCAACCUGAAAGUUAGAGCUCCAGCAUGGUCUAGAGAAUCCAAGCCCAAGGCUUGAGAUUUCAUGGAAUUAACUGAUGAUACUGAGAUUCAUCCAGUUCAUGCACUUCACCUUAUUCCUUGUUCCUCUGAUAAGUUCUUCAGUAGACAGUUGUAGAUUGAUUUCAGAGAGCAGAGAGCCAAAGAGGCAUCUGAAAUCCAUCCGCAGAAAUACAUAUACUUUGUAUGGUAGAAAUGCUCUGGUGUAUUUCCUUUGCGAAUAUACACGUUACUUUGACCGGAAGCGACAAAUUUGUAAUCUAUAAAUAAUUGGGAGUUGGGAUUUGGAGUGCCAUACGAGCAAGUAAAGUUUUGCGAAGAAUCAGUUCCAUGAUGAUAGUUUAUGUUGAGUUUGUUACUUUGUUUAUUGCUAUGGUUUCGGUAGCAGUUCUGAAGAUCUCGUUUUCAUUUGCAUUUGCUACCCGAUCUCUGAGGCUAUGCCGAUGUAUUUAUGUGCUUUUAGCGCGGUGUUGGUGAUUUUUGCAUAAAGGAGUUGAUGCGAAUUGCAGAUUUUUUUUUAAAAAAAGUAGCGAAUUGCAGAUUUACAGACAUUUCAAACUGUAGUUUUGUCAUUCUUCUUUUUUAUAUGUAUACAUUCUCUUUCUGUGAGGAAAUGCAAAGCACAGCAGCUAUUGUCGGCUUGUAGCGCUGCUGCUUGGCGGAAGAGCUCAAAAGCAAAGAAAACUUGUCUGAACCUGGCCCGUUGCUGCGGGAAUAAUUGAAUGGAUUAAACGCGGAGUUUAAUACAGAAGAUAUGAAAUACUUCGUGUGUCAAGACAGGAUGCAAGUUGGUAGUAAAUAUAGAGGUUGCAGCCAUUGCUUUGUUUGAUAUAAGUUAAAUACAGGAUUUACAUUGCGACAACUGGGACAGAUUAGGUGGGUACUAUGUUCUGUUGUACGAAGCAGAGCCCUGCAAGUAACAGUAGUAGUUCUUUUGAGGAGGACCAUCCAGCAGAGGAAUCUCCGUAGGCCUGUUUGUGCAAACAUGUAGGGAAAAUAAUGUGGGGAAGACAGGAGUGUGUUCAGUUGCUUGGAGGUGCACCAAUAAAUAGUAGCCCAGAUAGUAUAUUUUACGAGAAAGAAAGGGAUAUUCAGGUACGAAAAUUUGAAACAACGCUUGCUGACAUGGUAUUGGCAAAUUUAGUAGGAAGAAGGAUAGCAUGUGCCCUGACAUCAGUUCCAUUAAGUGGUAAUCUAGUAAUAUUAGCAAGAAUUGUUGUUGUAAGGGGUGGCAGGAUAUGCAUGAUAAUAACAUCCAUGGACCAAGUGCGAAGCCCAAAGCACAUGGAGGACAGCAGCACCUUACUAACCUGGAACUGGAGUAGGGGAACCCUGUCUUCUCCUACUACGUGAAUUAGGUGCAGGUGCCUUAGGAAGGUUAGACAUCGUCACAGGUCGAACGUUGUAGGAGUCAUGCGAAUUUCUGUAAAAUAUGAGGCAGUACCAUAUUUUUGGGAAUAGGGUCAACGUGAUUGUAAGUGUGAAUAUGGGAAUUGAAAUAUGAAGAGGUCAAGUAAAUUGGCUAAGGCACAGGGCAUACGAUUAACAAAGCGAACAACAAAACCAGAAUCAAAUAGGCAAUGUACAGUCCUGCAGGAAAAUUAGUGUGACACACAGCAUGUCAUGCACGGAAUCGGCAGCUCGCCGAGUGCAUGUUCAGUUGUAUAAAUAUUAUCCGGAAUCCAGAUGCAUGCAGUACGCAUAAGCUGAGUAGGCAAACUAACUAAGGGGUUUUUGAUACCCCUACUAAACUUUAACACCUGUCACAUUAGAUGUUGGAUACUAAUUAGGAGUAUUAAACAUAGUGUAAUUACAAAACUAAUUGCACAAAUGGAAUCUAAUUCGCGAAACGAAUCUAUUAAGCCUAAUUAGUUCAUGAUUUGACAAUGUUAACCAUUUGCUAAUGAUGGAUUAAUUAGCCUUAAUAGAUUCGUCUCGCGAAUUAGACUCCAUCUGUGCAAUUAGUUUUGUAAUUAGCUCAUGUUUAGUCCUCCUAAUUAGCAUCCAAUGUGACUCUACUAAAGUUUAGCACCUUGUAUCCAAACACCCCUAAACAAAAUGGCAGUAAACAAACGGAUGUGAAAGUAGGACGUAUCCUCGUAGAAAAAGAGAUCAGUGAUCUGUAUUGUACCUGAUCGAGAUCGGUCGCGUUGUAGCCGAGGUGCAUGUGCCGGGGGACCAUGUGGAGGACCCAGAGCAGGAUCCGUACAGAAGCGGCUGAGGUCGACACUAGUAGAACGGGCUCUUCUUCUCCAAAGGUUGUGCGGUCGUGGCGCAUCGAAUGAUAGCGGCCCUGCGUCCCUGCCUAUCGACGGACCCUGCACCGCUGAUCCCUGCGCUAGUUCGGAGGGUUGCCUCCACUCUUCCAGUCCGGCGUUACCGAGGCCAGGUUCGUGGCGAGCAGUAGCGACGGAGCCGCCAAAGGUUGCGGCGCGGAGGACGGUGGCAGGCAGGUUCCGGAAGAGUGGUGAGGAGGCUGAUCUCGGAGGAGGGGGAAGCGGCGAUUGCGGCGGCGUGGGAAUGGGUUGUGGAGAGUCAACGGCGGCGGACUGAGCGAGGAGAAGACCGCGAACUGCGAUUUUGCCCCUUGGUGAUAAGAUGGGAGGCUCGUGGACGAGGGAUAUCUAAUUAAUUGCCACUGUUAGAAUUAGCGCACCUUCGAAAACCACUCUUACAAUUUCGCCUACAUUUUUACCAUUGGAGAGAAAAUUUUGUUACACAUUCACAAUUUUUGCAUCCGUGGAGAGCCAUGUCACGCAUACACGCUAGAUGGGGCACGCGAAAAGACCCGGCUGCCCCUGGCCUUAUCCUUUAGACCGCCCGACCGCCUGUCCCCGUCCCGACAGAGCCAGACCAUCCAUUCGAGCCAGACAAAAUCAUUCCCCACCUGCUCGAACCCGAGGGAGCGGCGACGGUGGAGGCAGCGACGGUAGCAUUGGCUUCGACGAUGACAGCAAUGUCGCACGCUGCAGAGUCUUCCGGCCGAUGGAGGGGACGGGAAGGGGUUGGGGAACAAACGGGCCUUCCUCUAGUGCCCAUAUUGCGGGAAGGCUAGGGUGUUCGAGCGACGGUCGAAAAAGGACAACGUCAACCAUGGCCGCAUGUUCUUAAAAUGCCUAAGGGGCGUAGGUUGGGUGAGAUAGGUUGUUGCUCUCAUGCUGCAUUUGGGGUUCGUUGUUCUUGACUUGAUGCGGUUUUGUCUACAGAUGCGAGAAAAGUGUGACUACUAUCGGUGGCAGAGGGAGUAUCUGAAUGAUUUGGUUGACGCCAAAGUAGUUAAGGUGUUUUAUCAUGAACAUGAGCAUGAAAUCGAAGAAGAGGUACAAUUUGUGGACUUCCAACCCGGGUUGUUGGCGCAAGAACGGGUUCAUGGCAAAGUGCAGAAGCAAGAUCUAGAAGCAAAGUUGGACAAAUUAAUGAAGCUUGUGUUUGUAUUGUGUAUGCUAUUUGUAGCCAUUGUUGGCAUGUUCAUUGGCCAUGUGUUGAAGUAGAAGAUAUGUGUUGUAGUACAUUGGCCAAGGGACAAAUUUGAUGAAUGAAUGAUAGUAUUUGAUAAAUGAACAAUGCAUAUUUGUGUGAUAACUGAAUGAGUUCAAACUGACAUAAUUUUUUUCAAUAGUGACAUAGUUCAACUUGAUAGACAUAGUUCAACCACAACAUAGUUCAACUUGACAGACAUAGUUCAACCACAACAUAGUUCAAACUGACAGACAUAGUUAACACACAUAGUUCAAACUCACACACAUAGUUCAAACUGGACAGACAUAGUUCAACCACAACACAUAGUUCUAACUGACACACAUCACUUCUUAGUUGUCCUUCUCUUUCUUGGACUAAUUUUCUUUGCUACAGAAGGUUUCAAGACCUUGGAUGCCAGCUUCUUCUUUGGAGUCAUCUUGUUUCCUGGAAUUAUCUCUAAAGGUGUUAGCAUUGUCUCUAAAGGCUCCAAAUCAGUUAUGGGCACCAAUUCCAAUGGUCCUUCAAAAUCAAGCCUCCUAUACAAAUUCAGAGUGAUGUUACUUAUUUGUUCACAUAAGAAACACAGUAAAAUGGGGAUCAUACCUCUUGGGUGGAGCUUUAGGUGCUGAUUUUGUUGCUUCACUUGCUUCAGUUGUACCUGCUGGACUUGUUACUUCACUUGCUGCUUCUUGGCUUGCUGCUUCCAUACCUGAUGCUUGGCUUGCUACUGCUUCCUCAUUUGUUGCUGCUUCCCUUACUACCGCUUCCCUUGCUGCUGCUUCCCUUCCUACUGUUGCUCUUGUCCUUGGUGUUGUAGCCUGCACUGUCUCAGUUGUCUUUGAUUUCUUUCUCCCAACCUUAGUCUUUAUCUUCUUGGAUCUCUUCCUUUUCUUGAUCCUUGUCAGUUCACACCUCCAACUCAUCUUCGUGUGACCAAGUUGACCACAACCAUCACAUUUUGUUUGCCUUGUAGCCUUUCCUAACCUCUCCAAGUAAGAAGGUAUCCUGUUCUUUAUCUUCCUUCCCAGACCUAUUUUCUUAGCAUCUGGUGGAUAUAGCUUGAAGCCCUUGUCAACUUGUGGCCACUGACUCCUAUCUGUUAUGUUAGGCCAUCCCAUGUCAUAUGCCUGUCUGAACCUUUGCACUGAAUAAGCCAUGUCCACAUAUUUAUCCCACAUUGGUUGCCUCUCUGUAGUGAUGACAGCCAAAGCAUCUGGGCAAGGCUUUUCUAUGACUUGCCACUGUCUACAUGUGCAAUUAUUCUCAUCGAGAUAGACCACAUGUCUUCUGACCUCCUCAUUCUUGGGAAUCUCUGUUACCUCAGCUUGUUCAAGUUUGCCCUUAGUGACUUUAAGGUAUCCUAACCCCUUUAUGACUGUAUUUAGCCGAUGAAUCACAACUGGUAGUAUGACUCAAUGCAAAGCUCUAGAUAUCCUUAUCCUUUUCUCAAACAAGACCACACCCUUCUCCCUGAUAGCAUCAACCAUAUAAUGCAGUGGCAAGUCCUUGAACUCCUUUAUCCAUGCAUUCCAUGACUCAGCCAAGUUGUUGUUGAUGUAGUCACACUUUAUAUCUGGUGAGAACUUUGAUCUAGCCCAUAGAAGGUUGUGAUGGUCUUCCAUUUCCUAAAAAGUUUAUCUGCUGCCCUCUGUCUACCAUACCAUAUAGUUUGAUACUGAAUCUGAAUCUUAUACUUGUCCUCCAGUUCCCCCUUUAGUACUUUAGCAUCCAACCCAGGCUUCCUCUUCAGUAAAGGGAUGGCUCUCUUAGCACCCCAAGCCUGGUUUGCCAUUCUUCCCAACACUCUACUUGUUGAAGCACACUGAUGAAGAUACUAAUUUAUUUGAACCUGCAGUAAUGCAAACAAACAUUACAGUAGUUAGUCUAACAUGAAGCUAAUAUAUAAUUGCCUAACAGUAAUAAAUUGCAUAAAUAUAACAUGAAAUAGUUAGUAGGUGUACCCUGACACAACCAUCCAAUUGUGUCUUAGCCCUAAUAAUCCAGGGGCAUGCAGUAGCCUUGUAAAAACCUCUGAACCUGGACUUGUUAGACUUCUCGGUGUCUAGCUCAAAUUCAUUCACAAUGGCACACUGCUUAAUUGCUAGUCUGAAUUCACGCAUAGAAGGAUACAUUGUGCCAACAAAUAUCUCUGGAUUAUCCCUAUCCCAAUCCAUAACAGGUUCAAUAGGAUCACUGUCAUCCACAGUACAACCGGCAUCUCUCGUGUCCUCUUCCAUUUCUUCUGGAAUGGGAAUUUCUGUUCUUGCUGCCUGUUCUGCUCUCUCAUGUGCAUCUUUGAAACUCAUAGCCUCAAACACUCUAUCUUCAUCAGCCAGUACAGUUGCUUCACCAUCUUGAUCAGGUUCAGGGAGGAUAACCAGAGAGUCCCAAUCCAUAAUCUCAGGUGCCAAAUUUUCAUGACCUGUCUGAUCUGCCUCUACAUUAGAACUAAAUGUCUCACCUAAACCUUCAGGAACAUUAGGUACUAGUUGUGCUUGGCUGUUGAUACAGAUCCACCUCUAGUUUCACAAUCUUGUUCCUCCUGCUGAUAGCCCUUAUGAACUACUUGCACUAACACAUUAGCCAACCUGUCAUGAAACCUUGACCUAAUCAUCUUCUCAAAAUGCUCAUUCUUUCUGAUCUUCCAUUGAGAACCACUAUCACUAUCAACAGCCCACACGACAAGUAUCUGACUAGGACCCCAAAUGAUCUUACUCACCAUUUCAGUAACAAAUGAAUCAAGAUUGUACCCAUUGCAUCUAUCAAUUCACAGAUCAUGCCAUUGCUCAGCCAUAUCUAAAGCACCAAAGUACUCCAGAAUUGAUUUAAAUUUUUCACAUUUAACCACUAUUCUAAAAGCAUUGCCAGGAUCAAUCCUGACAUAAAUCAUAAACAAUGAAAUAAUUUGAAAGUUAGAAAUACCCAACCCUAGAGAUAUGCAUAUGCGGUGCAGUGACUUCAAGCGUGCUUACCAUGGAGGGCAUUCGCUAGGCUCCAUGUUCAAUCAAUGAAGGAACCUCACAUCUACUAGAAUACCUCCCUACAACGAUGAAAUAAAGCAAAUCAGGGGAGCUCAAGGGAAUCCAGAAGCCACAUCUAGGAGAACAUCAUUCUUGGAGCAAGCGUGGAGCAAUUACCUUCGAUCCGUCACCGUCAACGUUGAAGCCGACUCUGGCGCCACCGGCGCCGUCAGGGUUCAGCUAUGGUUUGAGCAGGUGGGGAAUGGAUGGUCUGGCUCGAUCGGGACGGGAACAAGCGGUCUAAAGGAUAAGGUCAGGGGCAGUCGGGUCUUUUCACGUACCCCGUCCAGCGUGUAUGCGUGACAUGGCGCUACAUGGAUGCAAAAAUGGUGAAUGUGUAACAAAAUCUUCUCUUCGGUGGUAAAAUAUAGACGAAAUUGUAAGAGUGGUUUUCGAAGGUGCGCCGUUUAUAACGGUGGCAAUUGAUUAAAUAUCCCUCUGGAGGAGCCCGGUACGUGGACCGCACGGAUACGGUUCGGUGGGGAUCGGAUGGACUGAACUGGACGGGAACUGUUGUAGGAACUGUCGUACAGUAGCAUCGGUAGGGGCCGUCAGAUGCGGUAUCCAGCGGCUCGUAUGAAGCUAUGGUACUGUAGCACAGAAAGUGUUCUCAGAAACUAAAGAUUUUGAUAUGAUUUGGCCCCGUGAACGCCCCCAAAAAGGCUGUUCCUUACUGGGCCGGUCGGCCCAUAUUCCUUACUCGUCGUCUUCCUCCAAACCUUUCCGAACUCCGGAGUCGCAACAACUCUUCCACCACGAUAAGCCCUAAUCGCCCGCCAGUUAGCCACCACCACCUCCAUGGCGACCACCUCCUUCCAUCCGCUCGCCACCCCGAUUGCCGGCGGCGGCGCUCGCAUCCGUCGCUGCCCGCUCUCCCUACCCGUUCCCGCCCGCACGGCGCCCCGGCGGCCGGCACCGCUCCUCGUCGUCCGCGCCAAGCGCGCCGGCAGCCGGCCCCCCGCCGCCGCCUCGCGGCAGCCCGUGAACCCCAGCGCGGUACCAAAGCGGGAUGCCGAGGAGGAGGUGGAGGAGGUCGAGGAGGAGAUGCCGUGGAUCCAGGACAAGGCGCUGGACCUCGUGGAGUUCACCGGCACCGUCACGCAGGCCAUCCCGGGGCCCCGCGUCGGCUCAAGCCCCGUGCCGUGGCUCCUCGCCGUGCCGCUCGCCUACGUCGGCGUCUCGUUCGUGCUCGCGGUCGUCCGCACCGUGCGCAGGUUCACCUCCCCGCGCUCUAAGAAGAAGCGAAGGGUAAAUGUUCGCGUUAUAAAAUUUUCCGUGGUUCCAUGAACGAAAUUUGAUCUCGUGCUGGGUACUUAAAGUCGGUGUAAAUUUUCCUUCACCUUCGCCGCUGCACUAGCCCUGUGAAUUAGGUACAUUUUGGAACAUAGGUUUGUAGGGAUCAAUCUAGCCCCACAAAUUGUGCUCUUUAGAGAGGUUUGCUCUGUCAAGGCGAUGGGAAAUGAUAAAUUUCGUCCCUUCUUUCAGCAGCUAAUUCUAUUUUUGCAAAAUUAUCUAUCUGUGCUGACUGCAUCGCUGUAUAGCAUCUUGGAAUCACACUAAAAAUCAUUUUACAGCCUUCUUAAAUUCAAAGUAUAAUGAGUUUGCAAUUUCAGUUAUAGAACUGUUAUAAGUUUGUUCCUCUAAAUCAAAUAGAUACCGUUGUAAAUACUUAGAUUGGAAGUGCUAAAACAAAUUUGAGCUUGCUUUCAUUGUUGAUUGCAAGGUUAAUGUUUUGUGAGCUGGUUGCAAUCUUAAUGUCAGCCUACAAUUUGUCAUUUUUUAUCUUUGCAUGUCUUCAGAAUACUGUAACUCCUGUUAAUUUUUUAUUUUUGGUUUCACUUAAGGCCCCGUUUGGAUCCCUUCAUUUUGAAGGAAUUGGAAUCUACUUAAUGGAGUAGGCUAAUUAUCUUGGAAUGUGACAUUCCACAACUUUCCAAAGUUCAGAUAUAACCCUAUCUUAAAUUCAUAGGGGUGGGAGAUGGAAAUUGAUUCUAUAGAUCCUCAUGCUAUGUUUCUAAUGUGCAACUUAUAGCACGCUCUUCGACUCGCUUCCCUAUAGCAGAAGUGCAGCACAUAAGUAUCUCUCCCAUAUGGCCAACAAUAAUAUACAAAUAUUUUCCACAUACAAUUAUAUUAGCUUAGUUAAUUUGUGUCUAAAUUAUGAUUAUUAGAAUGGAAUUCAAUUCCAAGGAUCCAAACGGGGCCUAAUAGUAAACCAGUGUUUCUCUACAGGUGGGUAAGAAUAUAUUCUUGUUGAAGUCACUAGAUGAGCUGUUCCAGAAGGGCAGGGAGGCAGUAGAUUAUCCUUCUCUCCAAGAUCUCAUGCAGAAGGUGUGUGCCGUAACCAACCAUCUAUAUAAUUCUUGAGAAACUAAAUUAGUGGAGUGAUAUGGGAAUGAUGGCAGGUAGAACAUACUUUGCUUAUUUUCUUUUUUGCUUAUUCUAUUCGAGAAGACUUUACUUCGUUAGCUAUCUUAUUCUGACACUGGAGUUAGUGAAUUGAUGCUAUGUUAACUGGUGCUGAAACCUAGAUUGGAAAUUUUGCUGUAUGGUAGAAUAAUAAUGUUCUUAGCAAACUGUUAGUUCUCUACACAGACGAGUCUAUAUCUAUUGCAAUUUGAUGACUAAUUUACUGAGUACAUUGCUACUGGAAAAUAUUUCUUUAUCUUUCAAAAAAAUAUUUCUUUCCAUAGAAAACAGCAAGCUCAUGAAAUUGUAAAUAUGCUGCUUCUAUGUGUAUGCAGACAGGAUUUGACAUGGACGAUGUAGUAAGAAAGUACAUCCGGUACACACUGAAUGAAAAACCCUUCAAUCCUGAUGUGGUUGUGGAUCUUAUACAUCUUAGAAAGGCAUCAAUGCUUGAAGAUGCAGAAGUUGCUGAAAUUUUGAAUGAGAUCUCAAGACGAAUUGUUCGAGAAAAAGGUAUCUGUUGCUGCUUAUUCUAGUUUUUCGAAAGAGCUCAAAAUAUUUCCAGUCACAUGCUCUGGCAGAUUUACCUUUGCGAAUCAAGAUAUAAUUCCUUUUCCUACUUUCCUUCUGCUGAAGUUUGUGCGCCUUUAUGCUUAACUUUCUUUGCGAAGCUACUAAUAUCCAUUUUUCAUCUGCCAUGCCAUGUAAACAACAAAGUUUUAGAUUGGGUCCACAUUUUGUUUAAGAAUGCGUGCAGAGCUGUUUCCUUGGUUAUUAUCAAACUCAAAUAUUUUGUGUAACUUGACAUUUAUGCAUUGAUGAAAAAUUUGAUACCUUGAGAAUUUAUGUCUGGUCAUUACUGCAUGCGAAUGUUCCGACUUUCAAGUCCUUCAAAGCAUAUCCAAAGGAUCAAUGUAAAGGGCAUGGUUGUUGGGGCAAUCACAAGGCAACACAGAUGCAUCCUUCUACAAAUUCGUAGUUCAUACACUCUAUUAACCCACCCCCUGAUGUGGAAUGUACCAUACACUGAUUAUAAUGUGAGAAGAGUGGUAGUAGCUACAUUGUAAUUUUAUUUCUUUCCUAUCAUCAGUUGUCACUAAAUAUCUUAUUAAAUUCAAAAUUUCGGUUUUGUUAUGUCAUUCUUACUCAAUAUGCUUUUGUAUUUACAAUCUUGCAGGGCCAGUAGUUAUGGACUUAUCUGGGUUUACAGAACAAGGUUUUAAGCGGAAGCUUGCUGUACAAGCUUUGUUUGGAAAAAUCCUUUACUUAUCGGAGGUAACUUGUCGAUCCUCCAUUUUUUUUUACUGAUUUUAUAAUUCCAUAUCUGUUUUAAGACAAAUCUUGAUUUGAGCUGUAAUGAAAAAAUAGAAAGGUUUGAUGGCUCACUACUUGCUGUGGAAGUCUAUAAUGAAUGUUCGGUUUGACAAACCAGCUUAUUCUAGACGGGUUUAGAUCGUCAUGGGGACCAUUCAUGGUAAUGAUGGGAUGGCAUCAUUCCCUGUUUUUAUGAUGUAAAUGUGCAAUAUGAUUUUAAAGCAGUCCAUUCCAUUUCUCAGAACAAAUCAGUUGUUUAGGUCCAAAACUAGGAUCGUACGGUCCAUUCACCAUUUCAUUCCUCAUGCAGAAAACCCCAUAAAUGCAUGUGCCUCUUCUUAUUUACCUCUGCUCACUGCUGUCUCUGCUGUGUUAUUGUGUCUAAUCUCUGAAGAUGCAGAUAAUUGAUUACUAGUCUGUGCUUUGUAGGAACAUUUGUCUUUCCAUUCAGUUUGAAAUGUUGCUUUCCAUAAGAUAGUCAUGCCCAUAUUAUUGCUUUCAUUCAAAUUGAUUUAUCUUUCAUCUGGUGCAAGUUUCAAGUUUAUUCUUAUCAUGGUUUGUUACUGAUUAGCCUGUGCACAAGUUAUCAUGAUGGCUCAGAUCUUAAUGGAAAUUGUUUUUGAAUCUCUAUCCAGCUUCCGGAGUUCUGUUCACGGGACAGCUCACUUGUUGUCAAAGAAAUCUUUGGAGUUACAGAGUAUGGCUAAAUUUACUAUAUGGGGAAUUCUUGCUUUCCUUUUACCUCCAUAGCCUUUUGGUAAUUAUUGUUUUGUAAUUUCUUGUGUGUAGUGAGGAUGCAGAAAGUAUUCGAAUUCACACCCUCUCUGCAACCGGUGAUAUCGAAUCUAUACAAAAGAUGGUCGAUGAUCUAGACAUUGGACAGGGUCCCUCGUCAUCAGCUUGAAUGAUGGUGAUGGAAUAAUGCUGAACACCUUCGUUGAUAGUAUUGCAACUUUAGCGUGAUGUGAGUUUCUCCGGCCUUUUUCGUCUAGAUUGUUUUCAGCCGUUGAAGUAGGAGUUGAGCAGAGGACAGGGUACUUUGGCUGGAAGUUUUGUAAAUUGCCUUGCGAUUAGGCCAGUAACGUCUGGCUGUGUCUCAGACCUGCCCAUGACUUUGAGGAAACAAGAAAGUUGAAUUGUAGCAAUGAGUUUAUAGAAAGCGGGAAUGUUAUUGAAAUUUACUCCAUUUUGUUUUUUUUUGUUCUAUCGUGUCACUAAACAACUAAACAUAUACCUGCGGUUAUAAAUUAUCUACUGAUGAAGGAUGGCAAAUUUAGCAUUUGAGUGCGUGGCAUUCUAAAAUAUGUUUGGCCAUAGUGCUGUCAUGUGUAAUAAUAAUGAUAGAAUGAUUCUUCGUUCACCAUCCUAUUACCUCUGAUAUGUACUCCAUCAGUUCUCUUUUGAUAGGCAUUCACGAUUGAUAGGCAUUCAUGGAGCCCUGUAAGGCCAUUCUCAUUUCAUAUUUAUGUUUUCAAAAUGCCACAUAAGUAAGAGAACAUUUUUUUAGUUUAAAUAGUUUCAUACAAUGCAUUAUUGUUAUUUCCUAUGCUAUAUGCAAGACACAAACUGUGUUGGAAAUAGUGUACACAUGGUUUCAUCACCAUGAAACUCAUUUCAUCUCUUUCUUUGUUAACUCUUUACCACCUCAUAAAAAAUGUUACAUGACACCUUAUUUAACGAGAAUGAAACUUCCAUUAAAAAUAGCAUGCUGGGCCUCGAGGCCGGAGGGUCUCUUGUUUUCUUCCAGCAUACAAAACUUGGCUUGCUACUCAUUGUCGCUGAUCUUGAGGCUUCUCAGGGCCGUCGAUCCCCAAACGCCAUCCCUACCACACGUGUCCUUUUGCCCGUGACCACCUGUCACGUCCGGAGCUGCGGCCUCGCCCUGCAAAGAGCUCCCCAGCGAACGCUUCCGGCGCCACGAAAGGCAGAGUGAGCAUCGAAGCUGCAGAAACCAGAGCCAUCAAAACCUGCGGAAAAAGGCAGUACCGUGCCGACGCCGCCGGCACGGGACCCCUCCUGCCGGCCGCCACCCGCGCGGCGGUGGCGGAGUUCGUCGCCACGGGCAUUUUCGUGUUCGCCGCCGAGGGCUCCGUCUACGGCCUCUGUACGCCAACCUCAAGAACACACAUACAUACAAGCAAGCUUUACAUGCAUGCACCCUGCCUAUUUAAAAUUCUUGCUCUUUUUAUUAUGCCAAAUUUCAAAUUCCUGUCACGUGCACGAGGCUUAAGCUUGCAGUUGGUGUUGAUCUCAAGCGCGAGGCUUGAAGAUUUUUUGCGUUGCCGGAUUUUGCAGGGAAGCUGUACAAGGACACGGGGAUGCCGGGCGGCCUCUGGUCGCGGUGGCAAUCGCGCACGCGCUGGCGCUGGCCGCCGCGGUGGCGGUGGCGAGCAACGCGUCGGACGGGCACGUCAACCCGGCCGUCACGUUCGGCGUGCUCGUGGGCCGCCGCAUCUCUUUCGGGCGCGCCGUCGUCUACUACUGGGCCGCGAAGCUGCUCGGCGCCGUGGCCGCCGCGUUCCUUCUCAUGCUCGUCUCCGGAGGCACGGUAAUACGUUUCACCGUGUCAGAUUCUUUUACACUUUGAUUAAACUUCCUAUUAAUAGCUCUGAAAACCAACCUCACUGGAAAGCUCAGAACUGUGGGACAGCUCCAGGUUUGUUUGUUGUACCGUGCCAACGUUGUAAGACUAAGUUCAGAAGCAUCAUGCAUUCAGGUUGCAGAACAGAGCCUUUGUUGUUUUUCCCCUUCCCUGCUGAGAGCCUAGUGUUGCCUACUCCUAGAAAAUUAAAAAAAGAUAUAACCUUUAAACAACGUAACAAACAUAAAGCGGUGGGUAUCUUACUAGAACUGCCAUAGUGCCACACCACACCAGAACUGCACGUCAAUAUCCAGGUCACACUUUUUGUUUCUUUCAUGCUACUAGCAACAAACAAAGUCAGAAAUGGUUGCGCCUGCGCGCGUACUAUGUAUUUUGCCUUUGGCGUACGCUACGUUUGCAAAUUAACACGCGUACGCGACAUGCCCGCCACGUCUCACUCCAUUUUCGCAUGCCUUGUCCUGCAGCGCCCCAUGGGCUUCGGGCUCGGCCAGGGCGUCCACGAGCGGCACGCGCUCCUGCUCGAGGCCGUCAUGACGUUCGGCCUCGUGUACGCCGUGUACGCUACCGCGGUGGACCACCGGAGCCGCGUCGGCUUCGUCCUGGGGGCGAACAUCCUCGCCGGCGGCCCGUUCGACGGCGCGGCGAUGAACCCGGCGCUCGUCGGAUGGAGCUGGCGCCACCAUUGGGUCUACUGGGUCGGGCCGCUGAUCGGCGCCGGGCUGGCUGGUGCGCUGUACGAGUUCGUCAUGGUUGAGCAGCCGCCGUCUGAGGCGCCGGCAGCUGCUGCAGGUCCUCGGAUGCUCGUGGCCGCGGCUGAGGAUUAAUGAUUUGUUUCCAGCGUUUGUAUAUUUGUUGUACGUGACUUGCUUGUGUAUCUAUCUACUAGGACCGAGCUGCUUCAGAGGCUCAUCAGAGUACUAAAAGCUAGGGAAGUUAUUAUUUUGAAGUUAUCAGAAGGCAAUAUUAAAACCCCCAACACCAGUCACCAGAUUGAUGGUGAGCGCGUUCGUUCUACGCUGCUAAAAAAAAAUGCUUGAGCAGGAACAUUACGGUGUAGGGUGUUGCUCAUACUGUCAUACACCUGUAUAUACGUGAAUAUAUUUACUGGGAUAAUUUUGCUGUGUGAGGGAAAGAACAGUGGGAAAUUAUUCAGUACGUGACGAGUCGGAGGACCGGACGAGUAGUCACCGGCACUGCGCCGUCGCUGCCUAGCUUUUUUCCUCGCGUCCGCCGUAGCUCACGGCGGAAGAUCAUCAGGGACUCGCCAGUUAUGCGUUACAGCGUUAGCACGUUGCAGGCUGCCAUCAGGCGCCACCCAGUCAGCCGGACGCCGGACGCCGGACGCGGAGCUGCCUGUCGACGAGUCCACUGAAGACCAGCAUGGAUGCAAGCUCUGACUGCUCUGUGUUGUCUGCUCUCCACUGCUUUAACCUCUUGAUGUUCCGAUGGCCAUAGGGACCUGACGUCCCUGGCAUCGACCCCGGCAAACGAACCGUACCGAUCCCAUUCCUCGAUUUGGGACGAUGACUCCGUGAAGCAGAACCAGGAACUAAUCAAAGGAGGGGUGAUGUGAUUCACGUUUUGUAGUAGUGUAAAUCGUCAAAAUUUAUGCAUAUGUCCCAUAUCUGGCAUUAGGUUUUCCACAUGUACUUAUGCAUGAAUUAAGUCAUAACACAACAUAAGAUGGCAUACAGACAUAGCCAUGUAUAGUUCCAAGAAACAUUAAAUAUUUUAUACUGAAUUGUGAAGUUAUUAUGUAUCAUGGAAAAUCCACCUACAUGAACAAUGACUAGCGGCGCUACUGCCUUGCACGGGCGUGCAGCGUUAGUACCUUCUUUCACGUAGCCAUCGUGCACCAUUCCUGCUCAACCUGCUUGCCGCUUGCCUACCUGCGUCAAUAUCAUCAACUCGCUGGACAAUGACCCUAGCUUGGUCACUUUUCCUAUACAUUUGGUGUUUACCACAAUAUAAUGUUAAAUAUGUGCAUGAGCUAUGGCACCUCGAUAGUGAGCUUGUAGUGAACUAUUCCUGCCUAAUUUAGUUUGUAAUUGAAGUCUUAAUUUGAGAACCAUGAGGACACGAUAGCGUACGAUAGACACUUGAGGAACAUCGAUUACAAAUUUUGUGCAUGUUAGGCGCCAUUUUUAGUACAUUUUAAGUGGAUGUGUUUAACCUUUUGCUUCAAUUCAUUGCUGGUGAUACAUUUGGGGGUUUUCUAUUGACUGCCAUCAAGAGGAGGAAUGAUAACUCAUACCAGUCAAAAGAGCAGUUUCACAUGAUUUUAGGGAAUCGAUUUAGAUGUUUUAAGUUGAUCUCUUACCAGAUUUUAGAACAAUGUUAUUACUUGACCAUAAAUAAAAUCAAUUCAAAAAAAUCUAACUUCAACGGAUUUCUAUGUGAUUCUCAAAUAAAAUCGUUAUAGUAUAUAUUUUAGAUGAUUUUUUAAAUAUAUUGUUUAGUUGAUUGUUCGCCAUAUCUUUAGGGUGUUUAUUAGUUGUAUCAUAAAAAUAAUACAAAUUUAGUGUACUGUAUCUAUCUAAAUUCCCAACAAUUAUAUUUUUAUCUAUCUAUCUAUCUAUCUUUCUAUCUAUCUAUCUAUCUAUCUAUCUAUCUAUCUAAUUUUCUAACAAUUAAAUGUUUCAUGUUCCAUAAAAAAAUAUGUCAACUAUACAUAGAAACAAUUAUUGCAUAUUGUAUACCAUAGGAUGCAUCACAUCAUGAAGAUAAUAAUAGAGAUGCUGAGCAAUCUCAUAAGUUAUUCAAGUCUCACUAAUUGGAAAUGAAUGACUGCUAAUCUAGUGGAGAAUCAUUUAGCAACUUUUUAGGUAAUAUCUUUAGAUUAUAUUCUUGUUUUAGUUGUUUGUUGCUAUAAAUUUGGAUGGUCUUUAGUAGUGUGCCAUCAAGAAAAGGAAUGAUUAACCACACUAAACUGAACAUAACUUGCUGAUGCACAUCAUAUACUAAGCAAAAAGUAAAAUGUUGUGAUGUGUGCUAUCUGAACACAUGAAUACAAUUCUAUAACAUCAUGGUUGAAAGAACUACAUAAAGCUACAACUUCACAAGUAAACAAAAUAAAUAAAUAAAAGAAAAUGAAGAUAAUUAGCUACUACUACAACCUUUCAUUGCACGCGAAGAUGCGCUAAAAACAGCACGCAACACACUUGAGUCAUCAAUGACUAAGAACUUAAUUGUUGAAUGGUCAUGUUCAUGUUAUUCAUGUGAAGGAGCAUCUAUAAGAGAAGUGAUUGAAGUCGUUGUGGUGAAUGUUGUGCUUCUUGAGCCAUGACCGUGCUGCAUCGAAUAGAGAAGAAAUAUACUCUUCGUCAUCGGAGUUUGGACUAGCCCAUACUUUGGUGUCUAGCUUGUAUGUUGCGAGGCCGAAUGGAGCAAGUGCCACAUGAUCAGAGGCAUUCACAUUGUCUAAAGAGACAUCUACAAGGAUAAUCACCAUGUUAUGUUUAAUCAAAAGAAAUUAUUAUAAUUCAUUAUGCUGCUAAAAUAGAAAGGAUUAAUUAAUACUUUCAAUUCCACAUAGGCAUUUCAAAACAAGUAUUUUUACUGUUGUAUGAGAUAUUAGUGAAAAAAAUGAAAAUGUAUAGAUAAAUAUAUGAUAUGUGUUGCUUUUUGGGAACAAAAAUAAGGGAAACAAAACAAUUAUUAGAGGAACUUUUAUGCCUUAGUAUGUACAUUGGUAAUAAAGAAGAAAAAUAUGUGUGAUUGACAGGUAGACACACAAACACACCUAAAAAAUACAUAGAAAUGAAAUGAAAUAAAACUUCCUUACUACCACCUAUUCAUUGUUGCAUACCUUCAGAUGUUGAAAGGCUAUGGUAAGUCAAAAAACAAGUAUUCAUAUCUUUCCGAUUUUUUGCAGGGACAUGACCUGAUGGAUACCUAUAGGAUAAGAGGAGGAAAUAAAAUUAUUAUCAUUGUUUACCUUAGGUGAACAUAUAUGUACCGGUAUAUUUGCAUUUCAAGAUAAAAGUAAGUGAUUAUAAAAAGUUACCAAAAAACCGACAACCAACUUGACGGUGAGAGCUCUGCACUGCUUAGAGAUAUUAGGCCAGGACAGUUAUGGUACAACUCGUACACCUAAACAUAAAAAAGAAAGAAAAUAAGGAAGAUCAUAUAAUUGUAGUGGACCCUAGACAAAUUUAUACUUAAGUCUAACUCACUAAUUAUUAAUUUAGAGGUCCUUUAUUUUUAGGAUUUUACAAAAAAAAUAUAACAAAUAUGUGACCUUUUUCUUUUAAAAAAUAGGUGUAUUUAGUACCCGUAGGAUUAAGAUCCAACGGACUCUUCCUUUGAUCAUUCUCUAUAAAUAGUCUCCUCUCCCACCAUCCCUACCACUAACCCUAUAUCCACUCUAUCGCCGCCUCCACCCCACCUACAUGUUGUGUUCCCAAACUCGCCUCGGCACAAACAAGAUCGAUUGAUGGCUGUCGUUGGUAUGAUGGUGUCAACAUCCCCCCACCCCUCUCCCCCUUGCCGCCGCAUCCCACGAUGAUUAUCGCCUUCUUCACUUGCUCCGGUGAGUCUUCUGUAUCAAUAACCACUGUCCUUAUCAAAUUCACAUAAUCGCAUAGAUGCCCACCUAGGCUCAACCUCUUGUUUCCCCUCACUUAUUAAUUUCUCUUUGUAUCAUCAAAUACAAGCUAUCAACAUAUCUUUUGAUGACGUCCACCUUGAUUCAAACUCUUAUUUACGCCACCAUCCUUUGUUUCCUUUGCACUCACUUGGAUGCAGGUUAGUAACAUCGUGAUCAAUGAUGCUCAACCUUGAUUUAAGUCCCAAUUUCCCCCACAACUCUCUAUUGACUCUACUUUAAUGUAGAUCUAAAGAUACUAACAUCACUGCUAAAGAUGCGCCACCUUGAUUCACUCUCCCGUUUACGCAAUCACCCUACCCUUUUUUUUUCUUUGCACUCCCCCAAGACCCAAUCUACCAACAUCUUUGUUGGUGAUGCCCGACCUUGAUCCAAUCUCUUGCUUCGCUGUCACCCUUUUCUAUCCAUGUACUUCCCAAAAUCCAAGCUAGAAACAACAUUAUUGGACCUUAUCUAAGCACAAAUCAACAUCCUUAUGGGAGAUCUGAUCCCAAAGGCUAAUCCAUUGGCGAGAUAUUUAGACCUAUUCUGGUUUUUUAAAAUAGAUCUUGCAGUAAUAAAUAGAAACAUCUUAGUUUAGCAUUUGUACAUUGAUUCAUCAAAUUAAGUAUGCUAAUGAAUUUAUUUCUUUCCAUCUGAUGAUAUAUGCAGGGAGUGCAAAAGUUUGAAACACAUGGAUGACAGAGAGGCAGCUAGAUCUGACACUACACAAUGUUGGAACUACAUGAUCUGCAAGGGGUUUAUCCUUCGAGUAUUUAGAACCUGACUCAACUUAUGAAUAGGCACCGGACAAGGUAACUUAGGCGAGGUGCACAUAUGUUAAGGUGAAAAAUGGAAAAAAAAUUGCGAAUAGUAGAGAGAAAGUUAGAUUUGAAGCUAUUGGGACUACAUACCUUGUCUACGAAAGGUACCCUUUCAUAAGGGGAGUCAGGUUCAAAGUACUUGAAGAAUAACUCCUCCUUGCUUUCAACUUCAACCUUGGACACGGGUGAUGGUGUUUGACAUCCGUGAGUCCAAUCUAUCGUACCGUGUUGGCUGUACUCAAUGAACCUUUUAUCAUAUACCAUGCUGCAGUUAGUAUGCCAACUGGAACUUUUAGAAAUGAUCAUUGUAACCAACAUUGGUACUAUUUUCUUUCCUUUAAUUUAAUUUCAAUCAUAUACAAAACACAUCUAUAUACACAUACUAUGUGCUUACCUUUGUGAAGUAAGAACAUUUGUCUUGUAGGUGUACAGUUCAAUGGCUGAAAGAUAUGGCACGAAGAAUUGCUCUAAUGUCUCACCCGGAGCGAUGCACACUGAAGUACCAACACCACAUGCGCUCCACUGAUAGAACAAAUUCCAAAGAUCUCCAAGGUAGAAACACUUGACUCCAUUGUCUGCAAUCUUUCCACAAUAGUUGUUUGACUGCAUUCAUCGAUAAAAGAGUUAAAGUUGUUUAGCUAUCUUGCCUUUAGAUAUAAAAUAGUGCAUACAAGUAAUAAAACGUGCAUAAAUAUACCCCGACCUAGCUGGUUUUGAAUACAUUAUCUCCCUAAAAAAUAAUCAUGGGAUUCUCAUAGCUCUAGUGCAUCAAUAUAGAUGAGACCAUGUGAACACAAGUAUGCAAUGGAGUAUUUGUUACUUUGUCCACGACCAGUAUAGAUUUUUAUUUUGGGUGAAUCUAUUUUGGAUGAUCUCUUUUGGAAGGUUCCUAUUAAUUAAGCAAGAAAAGGAAUGCAAUGCAUGUAUAGUCAAAUCUAGAAGAGAUCCUGAUGCAAUGAUGAUUACUUGUUGUCACUUGGGUUCAUAUUGAAUAAAUGCAUAUCUUGUGAAUCAAUUAGCACAUACCUUGUAUCAAGGGAUAUGAUGCAUGAUAACGUGAACAUGUAACUUAAGAAUGAAAGGGACAAUGAUGUGUCAAGUGGGGUCCUUCUAUUUGGAUCUAUCUAUUGUACAGUCUAACCAAGUGUUACUAAUGGUAUGGAAAAAAGGUUAAUUCUAGAUGGAAAAAAAAUCAAAAGCAUUAAAUGCAAAAAGGAAUUGUCGUGGAUUAACCUCGGGGUAAAAAAUCUCAUCAUAACCUCCUAAUUCAAAUGAUUGAGCAAUGAAUGCUCAAACAAUACCUCCACGACACGACAUUCUCAUAAAGGCGUAACGGAUACUAUCUACGGCUAUGUUUCGCGCCUAAAACAUUUUGAAUCUGAACUUUACAUACAGAUCAGAGGAAACAUCAACAAACCCACAAGUAUAUAUAAAAGCAACAUGGAGCAUGAGUAGAGCAUGAUCUUAAAGUGGGAAACAUGGACACUUGCAAUCGAUAAGCUCACAUAUCUAGUUUUAUCCACAUAUCCUUGUAAAUCAUAUGCGAGACCAAAUAAAAGAGGCAAUAUAUCCAGAUCAAAGAUAGUAGGGAGAAUGGGAGUAAGAAAUUCGACAAAAGCAUGAGUUCACAACAUAAGGAGGAGGGGAAUUGUGCAACCAAAAAUUAAUAGAAGUUCGUUCAAGAAAUGCUUACUAGUGGAAGAUAGGGUGCCUUAUGAACCCUAUAUGCCUUAACAACUGGCGUCACACUGUCAAGAAAACACCUCAGAUUGGAAUGGCUCCCGACCGCCCCAUCAAAAACAGCAUUAGCUUCCUCUUGAACGAUAGCACUAGCACCCUCCAUGUCUCUACUCGCCCCUCAAAAUCCUCUAAGCUGAGAGAGCAAUGGCAAACCAAAGCCUAUGCUUAGAGCGCUCUGUUACACCGAAUGGAGGUGUGUGCUCAGGUUUUUGCAGGGGAGGAGGAGGAGCCUCGGACUGGGAAUAUUUGCAUAUCUGCCAUCAAUGCUUUCUAAAAAAAAAAAUCUAUCUCCAGCCUCCACCCCCUCUAAGGAUAUGCUAGCUCUUAAUAACCUGCCAACUUGAUAUAUAGCAUUCCCAAUUGAUUAUCCUUGGCUUGGCCAUGUUAGUCUAGGAUAUUGCUGGAGUGGCUUUUUUGGCCUUUCUUCCAAAUUUAGUUUUUGUUUUUCGUCAUUUUCUGCUGCGAGGAGGCAUGAUGGCCAUUGUGCCUUGCAGACAUGCAUGCCUGAAAUGCGCAGUAACUCCAAAAACGUUUGUUCCACUGGAGUUAAGGCGAUAAGCCUCCAUUUUGGAAGAAAAAAAGGUAUCCAUUUUCGAAGGAGAAAAGAAGGUCGCCAUGGGUAAGGACUUUUUUUCUCUUUGAGGUAGCCAUGGGUAAGGACUAUGACACCGGAUCAGUACGUGUACGGCUUGGUUUUGUUCGCGUGACUUGUGUGUUUCAUGUUUGUGAUAUGCCUGGGCUUGUAUAGGACAGAAAGUAAAAUGCAUGUGCGUAUACGCAUCCAAGGCAGGAUGGAGCCGUCUAAUCGCCGCUUAUGGCCUUGCUUUUUCUGUUUUUAAGGGCAAUCACUUGCUUUUCCUGCUAUUCUGAAACUUUUUGUGCACCAACCCGUUGCUUUUCCAAGGUCUCCAGGUGGUUUGUUCCUCGUUAACUUCAGAUCAAUAAAAAUGGUGCUCUGAACCAUAGUAGAAAUGAAAACUUGCACUCUUCUACGUGUAAAGAAAUACGUGGUGGAAUUAUUAUGCCAUGGGCCAUGGAGUAUGUUGGUGGCAAAGUCAACUUUACACAUCAUCUUGCAGUUGCAGCCCUGAAGCCCCUGAGGAUUGAAAAUUGCGUCAUGCUCAUGCACGAUGCGUGAGCAAGUGGACCCGUAGAACCCGCUGAAGCAAAGGAAUUCCAAUCUCUUUUUUCCUUCAAGAAUGGAAACUGUUGUCUCCGGACGUUCCUCCCGCAUCCGCAGGCGGCUGAUGCGCAAGAAACAGAAACAGGCAGCGUUCAGAAGGUCAGAGCCGGUCGGUCACCCGAUGCAUUAUUUUUAAUUUUUUAAUAAAUAAUAAAAAAUCGAUGCUAUAUCUAUAAAUCAAACCGAUGCUUUAUUUGUUUAAAAAAACUAUGCUUUAUUUUUUUUAAAAGAACUAUGCUUCCUUCCUUCUCAAAUAUCAACAAACAGCCCACAAACCGGCCAUGCCCGGCCCAUUCGUACGGUCCAGCUAGCGGAACACCCCGCCGGGCCCCUCAACAGCUCGGUCUCGCUCGGGCCGAACCUUCGCAAACCACGGCCCGCGCCGGUCCAUUCACCGUCCUCAAUUCCGCGGCUGCAAGAAAAAUAUCCUUCGUCGCCUCCGGCUCCGGGUGAGGAAGACUCCCGAACGGUCGAACACUGGUGGAAGCGUUUGCUUGCCAUCCAUGGCGACUUCUACUGCUGCUGCUGCUCUGCUCCGCCCCUGCCCGGGAGUUCCCGCAGCGGUAAAGCCCUACGCUGGGAAAUGGAAUCCUCGCGUCCUUUCGCACGAGUUUAACUGAGUACAGCUUCGUCUUUGUCGCUUGCAGUUGCAGUUGUCGGAGAGGUGGUCUCCCCGUGCGGUUGCUGGGCGGACGACGAGGAGGAGAAGGGGAGCGGCGGGGGUCGUGCGAGCUUGCUUCAACCCUCUCGGGGACGAGCGCAUCCUCCGAGAAGCCAUCAAGGUAAAUUUCUUGGGUCCUUUUCAGUUUUUUCUUCUUAUAAUCUAUGAUUGGGGAUAGUUCUAGUUUGGUUGAUUGUAUUGUGGUUGAUUUGAGGCUUUAGGUAGCUUCUAGUGGUGGGAAAUGUGAAAUAGACCGUUCAAUCCGACUCUUACACCUAUAUAGCUGGUAGCUGUAGUCUCAGCUUCAUCAAUGCUUGUGGUCUUUUGUACGCUUGUAAAGUUUUUUCCUGGAAGAUGGGACAGUUUAUGCCGCAGUCAUAAUUCAGAUUUGUUUCGAUGUUCAUGAUGUUGGAGAAACUUCAUAUUGAUCUAUGGAGCUAACUCUUCAUUAAACUUUUCAGUGCGUUCUGAACUGUUAUGGUUCCCAUGCUAUCAUCGAUAUAGGCAAAACUAGCAAAAUUGACCCUCAACUUGAUAUGUAGGCGUAUUGUUUCAUACUUCCCUGUUAUUUUAGGUUCCAAUGUCAUCAAUUUUGGUAAUCAAAAUGCAUUCUGGAAAUGGAAAGUUGCAGAUAAUUCAGGAAGAGUAGCUAUACUGUUAGUGACAUUCAUCAAACAAUAAUAAUUAUACGCUCUUUAGUCUGGAACUGACUUCUUUUUCCUGUUGAAGCAAGACCAGAUGAUGAUAUUUUAUCUAUCCUGUCUGUAGGAGCCAGUAGCAUUCAUGGGUGGUGUGUUUGCUGGCCUCUUGAGGCUUGACCUGAAUGAGGAUCCUCUCAAGGAAUGGAUCACUCGGACAGUGGAGGCUUCUGGAAUAGCUGAGGAAAACAGCUCUGAAGAAUCAAGUGAGGCAGAUCAAAAUGAUGCACCUCAACAAAUUGAAAUUGAGUGAGGUGCACUGGCUACCUUUUGCCUGCUUAACAUAUUUUCCCUGUAACUUAUCCUGAAUAUCUGUAAUACCUGAGUCAUGACAUUCUUGCAAAAACUUUUAUGUGCUUAUAUUGUUUUUAAGUCAAACAUUGGAUCAACAUUGAUAAUAUAAAACACUGGGCCCUGGUUUUGUUCUCCCACUCCUAUUUCAUAAAUCAUAAUAUGAGAAAUUUUAGAGUGCUUAAAAAAAUGAGAGCCGUCCAUCUGGUGAAAUCAAACGGUGGAAACAAAGAAAGUACCAUGAAGUACUAAAAGAGAAGUACCAAGAGGUACCAAUUUGGUGGGACCAAGUACCAAAAAUAGUGAGAAAUUACUAUGAUGCCCUUUUAAUUAUGUGUAAAUCUAUUUAAUUCUUUUUUGGUAAGAAGGAUAAGAAAGGAAAGUACCUGCAAGUACCACUGGUACUUUAAAAGCAUUGUAACAAAGCUCAAUAUGAUGUGUCAGUCCUUAAGAUGUGUUCCUUCAAAACUGAACUUUGGCCAUUAGUACAGCUACGGAAUGUAUUACAAGUACAUGAAAGGUUAUAAAAGUGAACCAAAUGCAAAUAUGAUGGUUGUAUUUUUUUUUUGGCGACUAACUCUAAAGAUGAUUGCACCAAUUCAUUUCUCAAAUGUUGCAAACUUUGACUCUCAUGAUGUUUUGGGGCCUAUAUUGUUAAAUGGAGGCAGUUGAUGACCAACAAUAAAAUGAAUUUUACUGAUACAUGUAUUAGGGAGUAUUUGGAUAAUCAAACAUCAUGUCUCCUUUUUAUACUUACUGGUAAGCACCUUCAGUUUCAUUGGAAAAAUAGGAUACUUUUGUCCCUUUUGUUCUAUUCCUGAUAUCAGAACAGUAUAGUGUCAGCAUCAUGUAUUCAUUGGCUUCAAGUGAAGUUUUAUGUGGACAUCAGUUGAAUAUUUGAAUGCAUAAGAGACUACGACCAGGUUACUAACCAUCAGUUCACAUGGAGAAAGGAUCUUGCAGAGGUUUUUUGGUGAAUAGGAUUUGCACAUCUGAAUUGGAGUUUGAAUAUGUAUGUCUUACUGAAAAUGCAGUCUUUUGAUCCAUGAACUCAUAAGUCUUGGACAACGAUUUAUAGAGGACUUAGUUGUGUAUUCAAAUGGACCAGUCUGCUAUACUAACUACCCUUGAAAAAACAUCAUGUUCUUUUUUUCUUGUUUUGCUCCAUAUAAAUUACUUCUAUGGAGCACUGCUGCUUAUUUUUGUAAGAAACAAGGUCUUCCAGCUUUAUUUCAACAAAAAGGCACAAAUAAAACAAAGGGUCACGCAUUAAGCGUAUUCGAGGCGUGCCCGCCAAACACACUCUCAAUGACAGCCGGCACGUUACUGAACUCCACAUGCACUGCUGCUUAUACAUAGUUUUAGUUUGCAUACUACAAGGAAAUAAGAUAUAAAUAAUUUGCUUUGCAAAUAUCGAAUAUAAAUAAAAUUUAAAGAUCCUGGCAUCUCCAUUACAUGGUUUAGAUGGAUUUUGUGAACAAUAUAGCCAAAAAAAUUUCAAGUAAACAACGUGUCCUAGACAGAUUGCUGUGGGUUGAAAAGGGCACGUGUUCUUGUUGACAAAAAGAACCAGAUUUCUUUGGAAUAUAAUAAAGGGUCCAAGAAAAAUAUCAUUUCGUCUCUCUGAUGUAUUGCAUAUUCAUGAGGUAUACUUGGUGAUAAUUUUCCUUUUGAAUGCUAGUAACUGUUUAAUUUGUCUAGAAUGAUGCUACAUAUUGGAGCUACUUCUGUGCUUCAACAGGAACAAUGUUCGUGUCAUGUCUGAUGGCUCCCUGACAUAGUUAAUGCUGAGAAACCUAAGAGUGAGACAGUCAGUAUCUGAUUCAAAAUAUUAUCACUUAAGGAAGGUGUCAUUCUCAUUGUCCAAUUGAAUGAAAGAUCACUAUUUUAGAACAUUUUAGGUUCCGGGAGGAUAAGAUUAUUGAGAAAACUGAAUAUAUUUGUUAAUCAGUCCUCUUUUCUCUUGUUUUCUUGAGCAAGAAAGGUACCAUUCCUUGUGAGCUUGGUGGAUCUUCUCUUGCCUCCCGCUUUCCUGUUUGUGGGACACUCUUUUCAUCCGGUUUUCGCACUGUGAUAAGUAUCCCCGUAUUCUUCUCUUCCUCAUAUUCCUGUGUGUACAUCAGGACAAGAAGUUAGGUGAUGAUAUUUCCCAGUUGUUUGGCUUCUCUCAUUACUGAUUCAUUUAGAAAUACAUCAAUGGUUUUGCACAUUUAUAUAGUUAUAUUUGGUAUUGUAAGUUACUACGUACAGUUACGUGUAUGGUUCCCAAAACAUGCCUUUGGCAUUUUGGCAAGACUUUGGUUAUGGUAUAAAAUUGAAGGUACUUUUCAAGAUAAAUCUGCAUACAUCAUUUUUAUGUGUUCAGUCUACUAAAUGGUUGGUAAUACAUUGAUAAUCAUAUUUAUAAAUUUUGAUCCGUUAUAUUACCACUCUUGUGUGUUCGGAGAGGGUAGGUGUAAACACCAUAUGCACUGGCAAGACUAGUGAGGUAUGCUACAGUGGAGUUUGUUCUGUGUUUGUUGGGAGAUUGGUCAUUUGUGGUUCCAAAUUAAAAUGGAUGGACUCUGUUCUGUUCUAUCGUUUGUAUGUUGGGAGAUUAUUGUGCCAUGCCUAGCGACAGGUGAUAUAUGAAGGUUAGGCAGAUUUCUUUUAAUGCACUGUACCCCACAUGAGACUGACUGAUAAAAAACUAAUUUAUCUUGUCAGUGGAUUUUCGUUCUUUUCCAUUUUAGAAGGUCUCUAUAUAAGUCCACACUUGAGUUUGAACUUUGACUAAUUCUGAUCCGGGUAUUUUUCUUCUACCUGCAUAAUUUAUUACUCAUUGCAAUUUGGUCUCUUCUUUCCUUCCUCUCAACCGUGCAGGGCAAAUCAGACUGUUGGGCGGUGCUUUCCAACUAAUCCAAUGAUGGGCGUGGAUCAAACAGGAAUGGCUAUCAGAAUAUCCUUCGCCUGUAAGUCUCCAGCUCCAACUUGCGAGGCGAGCUGUUAUGGCAUAAUAUGGUUGGCACUCUAGAACCAGAAGUCGUUAUUGUUGAUUUGAUCUCAAGCCACUGACGUGAACUCAGUGAUAUACCAAUGCAACCACUAACUACGUGAUGAUGACUGGAACAUAUUUCUGCUAGAAUGUUUUUGGUUCUCACUUGAUGAUGACUGGAACAUAUUUCCGCUAGACCUUUUAUGCUUCUCAGUGGAAAGGGAUUGCCCUUUAAUGCUGAUGAAGAAACGCCAUGAACUCAAGUUCAGAACAUUUCCCGUAACAUGGGAAAAGUUUCGUAAAUUUUGUCACUUAAUAAUUUGGAAUAUGAUAUUAGUAGAUACUGAAGUGAUGAAAAUAAGUGAAACUAGCAUUAGGAUAGUGUGCUCAACACAGAUUUUUAUUUGCUACUAUUUGAAAAUGGGGGAGAGAAGCAUGGAUAGAGCAUCCAUGAAGCAAGGCAACUUAAAUUCAUUGCACAUCACAUUACUAUUUGUGAAGACAAAGGGUACCAGGAGCAUGUACAGAUAAGAUAACAAUCUUUCGCGCUAGCAUACUGACAUUUCAAUUAUACAUCCUGUCAUGUCGUUGUAAGAAUGGUAUGAUUGGAAGCGCUGCGACACAUGAUACAUCACUGUUGUGUGCUGAUUUACAUUGUUCAGCAGGUCAUAGAACAGACACCUGGCUAAUAAUCAUGAACGAAAUAAUUUGUUCUUUUUGCUAGUAUAAAAUAUGGCGAUUGGUGCCCUGUCACCUGACAUGUCACUUUCUUUCCUUUUCUUUUCUGUUUACAAGUCCAUUUCGAUACACAUAUAUUCCUGGCACGUGGACAGGAAUUGUACAGUCAUGCAUGCAAGUGACUAGACAAAGGGCCUGCAAUCAGCUCAAAUGACCUCAUCGAGUUUGCCAGGAAUUUUACGAGGGAAAAGCAGCAGGGGAGAUUUCCAUUCCAUGCCAUCUUGCGUUUUACCGGCCGGUUUAUCUACUUCGAUCCAACAUCCAACCCGGGCGGCUCACGCUUCACGCCCCGCCUGCUCGUCACCACGCAUUUGACGUUCGCUCGAAUUAGGUAGCUCAUGCAGAUGUUUCCAUGCCAUCCUGAGGACUUUCUCCUAUAUAAGAGUAGAGUUUUAACAGUAUUGAUUAGCGUGAGUUGAUCUGCUGGACAGAUCACGGUCAAGGUGGCCGACACGCCAGCAAGCAUGAAGAGCUCCGGCGUCGUGCUAGUGCUCCUGCUGGCCAUCGCCAUGGCGAGCUGCAGGCUCUCGCUCGCUGCCACCGCCGCCGCCACUCACGAGAGCGGCGCCAGCAUUCCCGCCAUCCUGGGCCGCGAGCUGCGGGAGUUCAUCGCCAGGGCCGGCAACAUGUUCCGGUCGUCGGGGGCUGACGGCUGGCGCGCCGCGGCCACGAACGCCACCGCCGACGCCGACGCCGACGCCGAGGCGAAGAACCUGCGUGCCGUGGCGGCGUCCCGGAGGCGGCGGCCCGCCAGGAAGUCCGCGGGCUGCGUCAGCGCCGCGGCGUGCCGGAAGAGGCGCGUGAUCUGCGCCAAGAGGUGCUACCGCGCCUUGCGCGCCGCCAGCCUGACCCACGUCCCCUCCCGAUGCGUCGUCAAGUGCAGGAAGUGCGUGCCCACCUGCUAGAUCGCGCAUCGCGCCGCGUCGCGUACUCGCGUCGCCGGAGUUGCUACUUCUUGUCGUCGUAGGCUCGGUGGAAUAAAGAUGCAGAACCCUGUUCCGUGCGGUAGUAGGUCGUAGUGAAUAUUGUGAUUUCUAUACUGUACCCCGUCAGCACGUUUUGGAAUUUGGAUUCGGAUUUUUCCACUUGAAUAUCAGUUGUUACGCUCACUUCCAUGGUAGUAGUACAGUACUGUAUGGUACACUGGCAACUUCUGUAGCGGCCAUUUGUUUUGUUUUUUUUUUGGGAGGAAAGUGUAGAAGCCAGCAGUUGUGGGGGUAUGGGAGGUGCGUGUGGGCUUUCAGGGUUGAGCUUCCUGACGACUGACGGGAAAGCUGAACGAACUGCUAACCGUCUGCACUUUUAAUCAAGGAGACGCGUGCCAAGGACGGUGUCAGAUGGGCACGAUCGAUCAUUGCCCGGGGAAUACUAGGGCUUGUUUAGUUGUUCAACUUUGGACAACCAAAAUUACUGUAGCGUAACUGUAGCGUUUCGUUUGUAUUUGUAAAUUAUUGUCCAAAUAUUGACUAAUUAGGCUCAAAAGAUUCGUCUCGCAAAGUACAACAAAAUUGUGCAAUUAGUUUUUGAUUUCGUCUAUAUUCAGUACUCCAUGCAUGUACCGCAAGUUUGAUGUGAAGAGAAAUCUUUUUUUUACAUAGUAUCAAAGUUGAAAUUUGGAGUGCCUAGCUCGCGCGAGCUCAUUCGCCGAAUCCCCCGCCAUCUCACCUAACACGAUUGACCAAGAAACGAAAGAGACCUCGCUAUUACUCUGUGUGGUUUGCGGUUGAGAGUCCUGGCUGUUGGUUGCUGCCUCUGCCUGCCUAAUAACACCCCGGUUUCUCGAGUGCUACGAAGAUUUCGGACAGCCAAAAACCUGCGCGAGCCGUACAGUACAGGGAAAACCCCUGUCUGUUUCAGGCCGCGGCAUGACUCAUGCGUCAUGACCGAUUCGAACCUACCGUGCGCGGACACGCCAUCUUGUAGCCUACUUGCAUGCUCGGCCUUGGCCGGGAGAAAGCUCAUCUUGCCAUCACGAAUUGGUUCAACGGUGGAUCGUCCCAUGCUGCGGUGUUGUCACGUCGAUCGGUAACCGCUGGUCAUGCCAAUUUUUCUACUUACGGAAGUGAAAGCGGCGCACGUCGCGGUGACCGUAUGAUGCUGGGAGAACGCGAAUUUUGGACAGCACUGUAGAUGGAUUUAGACGAGUCCUAGUAGUACUAGUACAACACGUUAUGUCCCGAUUAAUCCAAAAUAAAUCAAUUUGUCCUGACAUAAAUCGAUUUGUAGGCUUAUCCAUCACUAUCACUCCAUCCGUUUUCAAUUUUCAUGUACCACGCUGGCUCCGGCCACCGAAACAUCGAAGACACCUUUUGGAGAGGACAAAAACCGAGGGGGAAGUGGUCUUUCAUUACUGCCUCCUCCGUCUAAAUCUUUAUAUUUAAAAAAUAAUAAUUUUGAAUGGAGGACAUGAUUUGAGACUGAAAACAUGUAGCAUGUGCCCAUGCGGCGAGAGGGUCCAGGGCCCAGCUAGCAGGGAUCCAAGCGGCCGGGGAACAGGUGACGCCGCGCAAGCCGCCAGGAACCGAACAGCGCGAUGCCCACUGCUACGCUAGAACCGCGCGCAGCUGAGUCAGGCCGAGCGCGCUCGUUUCGCACGCGUGGCACCCUCGCUGCCGCGGCUUCCGAUCCGCGACGCGCAUCGCCAUCGCGCGGUUGCGCAUCGCCGUUCCGUCGUAAACCCGGCGGGGCGGGGAAGGAGCGAAGGGAUGGAUAGAUAGAUGCGUGCAGCCGUCGCGGAUCGGUGGACGUGACGUGCGCGAGCGGUUGGAGUUGGAGCGCGCAGCCCCCGGAGGCCGGACGGAGGGCUAGCUAGGCCAGGGCUCUCAUUACUUGCCCGGCGCCGCGAGAUGGACGUGCAACUACACGGCACGGCACGGCACCCCCAAUGCAACGGACAACGCCACCUGCGUGAGUGCGACCACGCGGUGCCCGCCCGGCUGCCCCCGUCCAGCGGUCGCGGCCGCGGCGAGGUUUCCUCCCUCCAGGACGGCAGGGCGGCAGGCAGGACCCGUUCCCAUCGGUCUUUGCCCGCGGCACGGGGUUUUCGUUCUCUGAUUCUCUCGCCCGCGCGCGCCUCGGCUAACGAUGUCAUUAAUGGAUUCCCCGGCCCGGUAGCCAGUAGCACCGGUGCUCUGUAUGUGCAGCUAGCUAGCAGGAUCAGGACUAGCAGUCAGUAGCGUGGUCAAACCCCUGGCGCGGUCUCGUCUACCACUCGUCUUGUUGGGAGGAUGGCAGUUGAGGAGAUCUCAGCUAGUAGCUCUGCCUGGAGUCCGAGUUCUGAACUCGGUCUCCUCCGCUGGUCAGCAUGGAGGCUUCAGUCAUAGGCCGGCGGCCGGCCGGCCGCAGCAACAGCCAACCGUACGUGUCGGUCCGGCCGCCGCGUGAGAGUUUUGAACGGAGUUUUGGAGGCAGCAUGCCGGCAUUCCAUCAGCCGGCGGGUUUGCCAGCCAGCCGUGUCACGCAUGGCUUGCCUGUGUGCCGACGCGAAACUUUCUUGUUUGUGCCAACCGCCCAGGGGUGAGGUGAGAGGUGAGUCGUACGGUACGUUGGCUGCGACUGCGAGGACGGGAACCGAUCGAGCAGCCCGCAGCAAGCGGCCAAGGACGCGUGGGGUCUCGGAAGUUGGAGGCGAUUUGCUGUUGUCAACUUUUUUUUUUGGUCACCAGCCAGCAGCUGCUGGUGCCGGAUCUGAGCUUAAUGAUUCUGGGAGCGGCUCUCUCGGACCGGAGCUUAAUGAUCAACGGAGGUUGACACAUCGCACCAUUUUCUGUGUCCUCUCGCGGUCCAUCAAUUCGAACGUCGAGUACCACCACUAUGUACUCGUACUGGCACCAAUAAUUUUCUUCUGACAAUAUCAGGUUUAGUCCAUCAGCUAUACUACAUCAAAACAUGAACUUAGUUUCUUCCAUCGUUCACCAAGAACUGGGUAACCAUCAUGCGAUGUGAGGUUUGCUACCUUAAUUACAGGUAGAAACCUAACACUCUGGUAUUGUAUUCACGCUCUCCGAAUGAUUGUCUUGCACUGAAACGAUAUACUCAAUCACAGGUUUAUCCCAGGAUUGUCACGCCAUAUUGGCACAACCCAUACGCCCUUUUCAUGACCUACUCAUGGUUAUUAGUAUCUGUCAUGCCAUAUGCUAUCUCGAUCAGUCGAACUGCACGCCAUCGCUCGCUGUCGUCUGCAUCCGUUCCGGGUGCUGGCGAUCUGAAUCCGCUGCGAAACGACUCUCAAUGAGAGAAAAGAAAAGGGAGACGGGCCGGCGGGGCGCGAUUGAAUGCUCGCACAAGAACCGAGAAUUAUGGGGAUAAAAAGGGGGCGGCGAUGAGCCAUCGAGCCGGAAGGUAUGGCGAUGAAGGAAAGUACAACGCCAACGUCCACCAGUACCCGCUAUAAAUGCGGCCUGCAGCUGGCUGGAUCCAUCGAUCUGAUCUCUCACCCGUCUCCUCUCCUCUCGCCUUCAUCAUGUGGCGUGUGCGGCCAUGUGUGCAGUGCCUGUGGACGGCGUCGGGGCCGUAACGUGUUGCCGUCGUGGCCUGCUCGCUCUGGCCCGGCCCCAGCCCUCUUGACUUCCGUGUUCCCUCGCCGGACUCCGACGAUCCGCUCCAGUUCGAUCGUCAACGUCGUUUUUAUACUAGUCGUGUUUUGCUGUAACCUUGCGGCGAUACUGCUGUUGCACGGGUUUGUGCAGUUGACGACGUUAAGUACGAUACAGUUCGUGAAUUGGCAGUGUGCCUCCAAGGCCAUCACAAGGGUUGGAAGCCUAGCCUUCUUUAUAUAAAAAAAAAUCUUGGAAGUCUUAAAAAACAUCAAUUUUCCGUCCAUCGCACGCUUGGUGUGAAUGUGAUGUGAUAAACCUUAUUUGGUUUCAUUGUAUUUUGAGACUGUUAUAGAAAACCACAACUACACAAUCAAAAUAGUGGCAGUACAGUACUCCUACUUAAUAAGAACUGUAGAGAGGAUGCAUGAUGAGGUGAUGAGGCGAUGGAAGGAACCCAAAUGACGGAGACAAUUUGGUUGGCAGUUUAUUAAGUGGUGGCCUCAGUGCAGUGACUCGCUCUCUCACAGCUCCAUUGCUCGCCUCGCUGCUCUCUGAUUGCUCCGUCCAUCCAUUAACUCCUCCCCCCUCUUUAUUGUGCAUGCAUGCUUUCCUCCUUUAUAACUCCUGCCCGCGCUAGCUGCCCUCUCCACUGCAUCGAAACCGGCCGCUCUCUCCAGACGCGCCUCUGGCUCCCGGUCGCCCCACCACUAGCCCUCUUCCUUCCUGACUUCCCAGCCCUCGAAUCCUCGCGCUCGAUCCAGCCAUGAGACCGGGCGGCGGAGACCAGCAGGGCGGCGGCGACGGCACGACGCCGCGGUCCGCGGCGGCCGGGCGGGCCAUGGUGGAGCUGCAGGCCAACGCGUCGGCGGCGGCGGCGGGCGGCGCCAUGGUGGUGGGGCUCAGCCCGCUCAGCGAGACGCUGUGGCGGGACAGCAAGGCGCUGCCCCCCGGCGCCGGCCCCGCCGCGCUCAUCGGCGACGUGUCAGCCAGGCUCACCUGGAAGGACCUCUGCGUCACCGUGGCGCUGGGCCCCGGCAAGACGCAGACGGUGCUGGACGAGCUCACCGGGUACGCCGAGCCCGGCUCGCUCACCGCGCUCAUGGGGCCCUCGGGCUCCGGCAAAUCCACGCUCCUCGACGCCCUCGCCGGCCGCCUCGCCGCCAACGCCUUCCUCUCCGGCAACGUGCUCCUCAACGGCCGCAAGGCCAAGCUCUCCUUCGGCGCCGCGGUACGUACGUGUUGUAUGACUUGUGUCCAACCAUUUUUGCAUGCACCUGCUUCUCGCUUCAUCGCAUGAGCUAUAAGCUUUGAUUCACUACUCUCAUCUGAAAAGAAAUAAAAAAAAUCCACCGUUCUAUUUCUGAGCAUCAAGCGUUCCGUACUACCACUUCAGUUCAGAUCAUACAAAUAUAGCAAGGUAGCAGUUCCAUUAGGGGUUUCUUGAUAGGAUCUGUCCAAGUUCGAAUCUACCGCCCAUAACUGGCACCUGGCAGCAUGCAAAUCGUAUUUGAAAGGGCCAGGAUCUGGUAAUCUGCAUGCAUGGUGUGCUUAAACACAGUGCAGUGGGCAACUUUUAAAAAAAAUCAUCUUGCUAUAUUUGCUAUAAUCGUAUUUGUGCAGUGUGGUCAUAUAUAGGUUUCCCCAAAAAUGAAUAUGUGUAGUUAUACAUACAGUCACUUCACUAGGACUGCUACUUUCCUUUUAGACCUAGAUGCACAGCUACACUUGACUACAUACCAGUGCUACGAGAGAUACAGAACAAACGGUUUAUUUCAUGUCGUGCAAGAGAGAAGCGAGAGAUCGGCUAGCCGGCUCGGUAGUAAUUAGCGACGGAUACACUUCCAAUCCAAUCGAUUCUGGCCGUUUAUUCUCGCAUCCGUCCCAGAUGGCGAGAGCACGGCUACGCGUCGAGCUCUGGUCCGGUCCGGCGUGUAAUGCAGGUAGGUGCGUGGAUUUAAUUCGCCCCGGUGGCUCGAUGGCGCCACACCACUCUCGAUGCCAAAAAUUUCGUACUGCCAUCUCGUGUUAAUUUCGUGAGGUGAAAAGGAGGGAGAGGUCGGCUGUCAAUAUGGCUGCUGUGAGAGCGAGCCUGAACGGCUGAAGCCACCUACACAGCAUAAAUUCUGACAGCUGGGCUUGCUCUCUGAUCCUGCUCUGAAUUUAUGGCGUUACACGGAGAACGCGUCUCUGCAGACGCAAAAGCAGUUGGCUUGCUCGGUUAAUUAGCGCCGAGUUUUUUAGUUAGAGAAACUGGAUGGAUUAAUUUUUGUGUUUAUGCAGGCGUACGUGACGCAGGACGACAACCUGAUCGGGACGCUGACGGUGCGGGAGACGAUCGGCUACUCGGCGCUGCUGCGGCUGCCGGACAAGAUGCCGCGGGAGGACAAGCGCGCGCUCGUGGAGGGCACCAUCAUCGAGAUGGGCCUCCAGGACUGCGCCGACACCGUCAUCGGCAACUGGCACCUCCGCGGGGUCAGCGGCGGCGAGAAGCGCCGCGUCAGCAUCGCGCUCGAGCUCCUCAUGCGCCCGCGCCUCCUCUUCCUCGACGAGCCCACCAGCGGCCUCGACAGGUACCUUAGGUCGUCGGAUAAGAGGACAGGCUGCUAGUAAAUGUUACCGAGUAAACUAACCGUGCGACGGUUGUGUAUUUGUGCAGCUCGUCUGCGUUCUUUGUCACGCAGACGCUGAGGGGCCUGGCCAGGGAUGGCAGGACAGUGAUUGCCUCCAUCCACCAGCCCAGCAGUGAGGUGUUCGAGUUGUUCGACAUGCUCUUCCUGCUGUCCAGUGGCAAAACCGUCUACUUCGGCCAAGCAUCCCAAGCAUGUGAGGUAGUUAUUACUUCCUUGCCCCAUCUCCCUCACUGUUAGCAGUUGGCAGCCGGAACGCAUGCCUCCACAUCACCGUAACUGUAAUUACACACAGCAUAGCAUGAUCAGUCGACUGACUCCUUGCUCACCUGCAGUUCUUUGCUUCAGCCGGUUUCCCUUGCCCGCCUCUGAGGAAUCCGUCUGACCAUUUCCUGAGGUGCGUCAACUCUGACUUCGACAAGGUGAAGGCCACCCUCAAAGGAUCAAUGAAAGCAAGGGUAAGCAGCUAACUGGUCAAUAGACAAAUACAAUAAAAUUUGCAAAUUUUGAUGCUUGUUCUCUGCUGUAAAUAAAUGAUCUAACAUUUCGUGUUCAUGAAAAGAUUGAGAGGUCUGACGACCCCCUGGAUAGGAUGACCACAUCAGAAGCCAUCAGGAAGUUGAUUGCAUCAUACAGCAGGUCCCAGUAUUACUACGCCGCAAGGGAGAAAGUCAAUGAUAUCUCGCGAAUAGUACGUGCUCUGAGUCAUCAAAAGCAACAUUGAUAUGUUGUACCUGUUUUUGGUGUCCAUAAUUAAUAUCAUAUCUGGGGGCAGGAAAUAACCAUCUUGUUCGUUGCAGAAAGGAACGGUGCUGGAUUCAGGCGGCAGCCAGGCCAGCUUCCUGAUGCAGGCUUGCACCCUGACCAAGCGUUCAUUCAUCAACAUGUCACGGGACUUUGGGUAUUACUGGCUCAGGCUCCUGAUCUAUCUCCUUGUGACCGUUUGCAUCGGCACAAUAUACCUGGACGUCGGCACCAAAUACACAUCCAUCCUGGUAAGCAUGAAGAAAAGAAAUAUGAACUUCUGGGCCGGACUGAUAUGAAUGCACAAUAAUGCAGUCACAUGAGCAAUGUCAUGAAACAUAUGAAUGAUUAAUGCAUUCACUACCUUGUCUCUGCAGGCCAGGGCUGCCUGUUCUGCGUUCGUCUUUGGGUUCGUCACAUUCAUGUCCAUUGGAGGGUUCCCUUCAUUUGUCGAAGAAAUGAAGGUGGACUUCAGGCUGUGAUAUUUCACCUGCAAGAUAGAAAUGCUAUGAACUGUCCUCACCUUUUGUUUGCUUCAUUUAUAUAGGUUUUCCAGCGGGAACGGCUCAAUGGGCACUAUGGUGUUGCAUCGUUUGUCAUCAGCAACACUAUCUCAGCAACGCCGUUCCUGAUUCUAAUAUGCUUCUUGUCGGGAACCAUAUGUUACUUUAUGGUGCGCCUUCAUCCUGGUUUUGAACACUACAUCUUUUUCGUGUUGAACCUCUACGCCAGUGUCACCGUGGUGGAAAGCUUAAUGAUGGCAAUUGCCAGUGUCAUUCCCAAUUUUCUCAUGGGUAUCAUCAUAGGAGCUGGAAUUCAGGUAUGGCAUUUUCACCCCCUUUCUCAUGUCAUUUUCCAUGCCCCUACAAUAUGGCACAAGUUGACAUAAACGACCAUGUGACAUUUAAGAUGAAAUCAUGAAUUAUAGAGCCCCUAAACUUGGUAAGGUUUUCUGGGACCACAAUACGAAGGACUUUACCUUGUGCUGAUCCAGUAAGGGUUGUAAGCUUGUAAGGCAUCCAGCUUGUCAUAUAACCACUCCUCACCAGUAUUAUUUGGAGCUUUACUACAUAUUCCAGUACAAGUUCAGCAAUUUACCAUUGAACUUGUAUUUACUAUCUGUGGCAAAAAUAUUUGGCUUGCUUUAGCUAUUACUGCAAAAGAUAUUUAACAGUAGUCCAAUGUUUCAGUUAUGUUGAACAGUUUCAUGCCACCACAAAACAAACAUCAAUUUACUUUCCAUAGAAAGCUCCAGCUCUGGGGCUUAGCAAGAAGAAAUUCUCACAAUUUUCCUUGGACAGGGAAUAUUUAUGCUGGUCUCGGGAUACUUCAGACUUCCGUAUGACAUCCCAAAGCCAUUUUGGAGAUACCCCAUGCAGUACAUCAGCUUCCAUUACUGGGCACUGCAGGUAAAUUCGGUUCCACACAGUAGCAGAUAAAUACAAUGCACACUACACUCCAACCUGAAACUUGACAUCAAACUCUAUACAUCUUACAGGGCCAAUGCCAGAAUGACAUGAAAGGCCUCGUAUUUGACAACCAGUACCCGGAUCAACCCAAAAUCCCUGGUGACUUCAUCCUGAAGUACAUCUUCCAGAUCAAUGUGGAUCGGUCCAAGUGGAUUGAUCUGUCGGUUAUCUUCAGCAUGAUCUUCAUCUACCGCAUCCUGUUCUUCCUCAUGAUCAAGAUCAACGAGGACGUGCUGCCAUGGAUCCGUGGCCACGUCGCCAGGAAAAGGAUGCAGAACAAAGGCCCAAGCGCCACCUUCGGCAAGACACCCUCCCUACGAGGCUAUGUUGUUGAUCCAGAGCUUGGCUCCAACGAGGGCUAGAGGAUAAAGCUGUUGUUUUGGGUGGUAGCAGGAAUAGGGCAUUUCUCCCCCAGCUCUUGGUGUUAUAUUGUACGUAUUUAAGAUGAGGAACUGGUAUCAUACGUUUUGGAACUGAAGCUAAUUUGGGUACAGGUAUACAUACAUGUAAUGUGAGCAAAGUGGCAUCGGAAAAAUGCAGAGUGACACAUAACUGAUUGUUCAGGAUUUAUUGGCUCCUUUUGAAAACAGAUGAAGAAAUGGUUGGCGCCAACAACGCCAGUCUCAGUGGUAGUUUCAUGAAAAUAAAUAAGAUGCUACGUAGAUGAUUAUGAUGACAUGGAACCAUACGAAGAAAGAGAAAACAAUCGUUUCACGGUGAUGAAACGAGCAAGCCCCAGUUACCCAGAUGUUGGAAACCGGACGACACUGCAUUGAGGGGCUUCGUUUCAUCUAGACGCGGCGGCGGGGAUCCCGUGCGAAGCGCGGAGCUCCUCCUGUGAUUAUGUCGAUCUCCCGCGUGGCGCAAGCUUUCCCGCCGGGCUUCCCGCCAAUCUCCAAUCCAUAUCUCGCCUCACUUCUCCCUUCCAAUCUCAUCGAGUGGCCGAUGGCUAUGGUAGGUCUCUGCGACGUUGCCGACGUAGGCCGCGCAGCAGUGCCAUUCGAUGGCGGGCCUAGAGAAGAAUGGCGGCCCCUGCAAACGGACGGCUUCUUCACCGAGAGGUCUAACUUACGCGUCACCACAUCAGGGAUUCGUGAACCUGGAAUCUUCACCAUGACAGCCUCCGCCAAGUGCAGCAUGUUGGCAGCCACGGAGGUCAAUCCUCUUCCACAAAUCCUAGGUAAUUUCCCUCUCGUUCAGUUUGUGCAUCAGUAGAAAACAAAUCCCAAUCAAGGUGUUGUUCGGGUUGCUUUUUUUGACAAAAAAAAUUGUUUGGGUUGCUUGAUUGCUUAAUUGGAUAGCUGAGGAUGCCCUGCUCGUCAGAUUUAUGGGCUGGCCGGGUAUAGGGUCAAGUAGAUCCGGUUCACAAAUGUAAGGUUAGUCAGAUUGAUUAAACUGAAAAACCUAUGUUUCUUUUUAUUCAUGAAGCAGUGCAGAUAAAUUUGGCACUAGCUAUCAUCUGGUGUAGAUGCUAGCCUGUUGUAGAUGCUAGCCCGUCAAUAAUUAUCAGUAGGUAUCAUCUUCCUAUUUCACCAUUCCGAUGUUUUAUUCAGUAAAUAUUAUUUUGCCAUUUUCACUCCCUGUUUUUGUCCAAUUGGUAAUUAUAUGCAUUGGUUCUGAAGUGUGAGACAUAUCUGCUUGUGCUGCUAUAUAUAUGCCAGUUAAAUCUGGCUCUUGAAAAUUUUACUUGUGAACAUAUUAUUAAAUAUUGCCGUCCAUUUUCAGGAGACAAGGUGCCAGUAAAUAGGAUGAUGGAAGGCUUCAGAAGAUGGGAGGCACUAUGUAGGAAAUAAGAAGAUGAAAAUUUGAGUGGCAGUGGGGUUUUUAAGUUUGCCAGAUUCCAUAUUUUGGUCAUUUAUCGCUUUAAUUUGGGUGGCAGCGAGCACUCUAGUCUGAAGGUAAAACUAAUCCAUAUCUGAAUGUUAAACUGCUGCAUAUCUGAAUGUGGAACUUCUUCGUAUCUGAAUGUGGAACUGCUACACCGAGUAACUCUAUAUAUGUCAGCAUAGUACUAUGCUAAUACUUAAUUUAGAUACAAUUGUAGAGGCUACAAAGUUCUCAUGGCACAUUUGAUAUAACUGUAGAGGCUACAAAGUUCUCAUGGCACAUUUGAUCACAACAUCUUAUAAGAAUUAAAUGCUGCAGUCUUUCUAUGAAAUUGUGCAACGAAACUCUGCAUUGAGAGAGAGAGUUUUAUUUCAUUGAAAAGCUGAUGUGGCAGUCUUGGUAACAUUGCGAUCAAACUGUGCACUGAGAUUGGUCUAAGGGCAACCACAAUGUAUGAAAAAAGUAGCCUUAAGCCACUCAUUACUCUGAAAAAGAUAGCAUUAAAACAUUAUGGGGAUGCACCUCAAGGAAAAAAGCUUAAAGGAGCACCUCAAGCUUACGGUUCACCAUAAGGAAAGAAGAAUUAAUUUCUUCUCUCUCCUCUCCCUCCUUUCUCUUUCAUGGCAUGUUUAAACAUGGGGCGGAGAGAUUGACGGAUGGGGAGUUGGAAUGCAGGAUUUUUUUAUCUUGUGUGGACCUCCGGGGUGUUCGCUUCAGCUUAUUCAGCCGGCUUAUCAGCCAUCAAACAGUAUUUUCCUCUCACAACAAAUCAGUCGUUUCAGCUUUUCAGCCAGCUUAUAAGCUGAAGCGAACAGCCCCCUCAUCUUGCGGUCCAAUUUAGACAAUAGCAUUGUGAGUAUGGCUGAAACAAAGAUCAACCGUUUAUGGGCCCACUCUUAAGGUUAUGGUGGACCAGAUACAUUGAGCAUGCCCUAAAGGCUCAAGAGUACGGCUCACAUGGCUACACUGUAUAGUCACAUUGAUUUUGCUGGCUUGAGCGUUACACAAAGUGGUAGUACUACAUAUUAAAGGAAUUGUAAAUGCCCCAUUUGAAUCUAACAAGAUCAAUGUGGUACUAUUUGUGAUUAAAAGUAGGUUGACAAGUUUCAAACAUUUCACAUGGAUUCAUUCAAGUUGUGUUUGUAAUGGUAAUGACCGACACAAUUUCUACAUGACCAUGUUAUAGUUACUGAUCGACCUUAAUUGGUGCAGCCGCCAGUAGCAACAGGAGCUAAGUAUAUGUUUCAAGCCAGAUCAAGAACCCUAGUACAGUUAUUAUGUAAAAAAAAAGACGAUAGUACAGAAUGAUUCAGUUUGGUCCCCUUGUGCCAGGCACAGGACAUGGGUUCAACACUUCAACUUCAAAGCCUAUAUCCCAUUUUCCAUGUUCCAAGCACUAACAAUUCUCCCUAAUUUUUCCUGUGUUCUACAAUGCAACCAACACUAGUAUUUUGGAAUGUUGCUAAUAGGAGAAGAAAAUAAUCAGGGCUGAAUCUAACAUGUUUGUAUUUCUUGGUGCCGUAAAAAUAGAGUAAGAUUUACUAAAAACACGAGUAGAGUCGUAGAGAAAACCUGGGAUCUGAAUGGAGGUGUCGGUCAGAUUGAUAUGUGCUUUGGCCUUCUUAAAUGCCAUGGUAGAUGCAGAAGGUAACUAGGGCAUGUUUUCUUCCACUUGCUAAACUUUAGCACCCGUCACAUCGAAUGUUUAGAUACUAAUUAGAAGUAUUAAACGUAGACUAUUUACAAAACCCAUUACAUAAGACGAAUCUAAACGGCGAGAUGAAUCUAUUAAGCCUAAUUAGUCCAUGAUUUGACAAUGUGUUGCUACAGUAAAUAUUUGCUAAUGAUGGAUUAAUUAGGCUUAAUAGAUUCGUCUCGCCGUUUAGAUUCCACUUAUGUAAUUGGUUUUGUAAAUAGUCUACGUUUACUACUCCUAAUUAGUAUCUAAACAUUCGAUGUGACACGUGCUAAAAAUAAGACACGGGAAGAAAAUAGCACCAGAUAGAGAGGCGCCGUACAGAUAGUCAGAUAUCAUGUGGUAUGCAGGCAGACUCUUGUUCAGAUAAAAACGCAGUAGGAUGGGGGGACACUGUCGAGCGCAUGGGCUCUACAGAAAUCUUCAAGAAAGAUUCGGAGCAUCAACCCUCGGAUCCAUUUUUGGGAAAGCGUUUUCUCUUUUGGAUUUUGCUCAGUUUCUUUUUUUUUCACAACGUUCUAGGCUCAAAGCUAAAUUGAGCAUCAGAAAUAAUCGUAAGUUUUCGUAAACUCUGAAUAGAUCUCACCUCCCUGCAAUUCCCUGUGGCAGUUUGUUGAUAGCAGAUCAUAAACAAUCUAUGAAAACCGGUGUUUGGAUCCCCGAACUAAGUUGAUAGCAGAUCAUAAACAAUCUAUGAAAACCGGUGUUUGGAUUCCCGAACUAAAUUUUAGCUCCUGUCACAUCGAAUGUUUGGACACUAAUUAGGAGUAUUAAAUAUAGACUAAUUACAAAACCAAUUUCACAACCCCUAGGCUAAAUCGCGAGACGAAUCUAUUAAGCCUAAUUAGUUCAUGAUUUGACAAUAUGGUGCUACAGUAAACAUUCGCUAAUGAUGGAUUGAUUAGGCUUAAUAGGUUCGUCUCGUCGAUUUAGCCUAGGGGUUCUACAAUUAGUUUUGUAAUUAACUUAUGUUUAGUCCUCCUAAUUAGCAUCCGAAUAUCCGAUGUGACACGGACUAAAUUUUAACUCCAGGAUCCAAACACGUCAUAAAGAUCCGGACACCCUCUUGUACUCUUCAAAAUGCUGGAGGAUGGAUGACAUAUGCAGCCCGGAUGCGGAUCAGACGCAGUCUGACUUGGCCGAGCCACAUGCUUCGAGGACGCCGGAGUCCCGCCGCUGCUUAGCGCCGGAGGUCAAGCUCAGGAGCUGCUCGCUCCGGCAGUGCAUCCGUGGUGCUAUGCGGGAAACGAAAUGGCCGGGCCGAGCAACGCCUUCUGCGUGCCGCCGCCUUGGGCCGAGCCUUGCCGACGAACGCGUUCCCAGGACUUUGGACCGCCAUGUCUGCGGCGAGCCAUGCUAGCGCAUCGUCGACAGCGAUUGUUGUGGCUCGAUCGAUGCCUGUGCGGAGGACAAGGACGAAGAGAGUCAACGUAUUGCCGCGAAGGCCACCAUGGCGCACGCACUGCAAGUGAAUGUUCCAAGUUUGUAUGCAUUUCUUCGUAUUCCCUGUUGGCUCUUUACACUGCAGCCAGAAUCUUAGGAGUAACUUUUCUGCCUGUCUCAAGGUGCUACUUGAUUUGCUCCAUUCAUGAACCAAACAGAGCAUCCAGGGUUUGACACAUUUUGAACUGGACUAGGCAUUUUUUGCACGGUUUACCUGCACAAGGAAUUGAACCUGGUUAAUUAUGCACACAUCCGGAGCAAUAGAAGCAGGAUGAGUUCUUCGGACCACUGAAGCAGGCGCACUGACGAACCAUGUCACAUCCUGCAGGUGUAGACAAUCAGUCGAUCAGUAGCAACCACGCUCGCGUUCGUACCCGAGGCGCAGUAGUCCGAGGUGCGCAUGCCCAGCCGGCGCGGGCACAACCGCGGCGUGGCCCGGACACGGCGAGCGGUGCCCGCCUCCGGCGUCCGGUCGUAGCUGCGGGAGCAGAGAUACUGCUGGCGCUAGCUGUUGAGCCAGGGAUUGGCCUCACGAUCUCCGCCGGGACCAAGGGCGGAAAUGACGGCAGCGGCCAGCGGUGGCGGACAGCGCCGGACGGAAGCCGAGCCGAAUCAGGGGUGCAUGUGGGCCCACACCAUGGUUUUCUGACAGCUAGGAGCAAGCGGCCUGUUCGCUUCAGAUUAUUCAGCCGGUUUAUCAGCCACCAAACAGUGUUUUCCUCUUACAACAAAUCAGCCAUUUCAACUUUUCAGCUGGCUUAUCAGCUGAAGCAAACAUGAUACGAAGGCGGGUAGCUGCUGGAACGCGGCCGCGCUCUGGCGAGCCGGAGCACCAAGCAGAUGAAGCGCUUGUACCCACGUCGGGUGCUCGGGGGUGGACGGUAUUUCAUUUACCGUCCACCCCUCGAGUCACUGCGGGCCGUUCGAUCGCACACGCGCGGCCCGGAUGCGGCGCGGUCGCGGUCGGAGCCUGACUCGGUCGUUUCCGAUCUCGGGAACCACAUGGCGGAGGCCGGAGGUCGGGUGGCGCUGGCGCCCCUACGACCGCUGCUCGACGUCGCCGGCAGCCUGCGUGCCGCAGUGUCGUCGCCGUCUUGCGCCGAGCCUUGUCGAUCUGCGGCGAGGACGGUCUGGGGCGUUGUGAGCGCGCCGCCGCAGGGCAUCGCCGACAGCCGAUCCAACCUUCAAGGUCUUGGCUCGAUUGAUACAUGCACUGGCUUGAUGCUGAGGACAAGACGAUCAAUGUAUUGAACGAAGCUGUGCGUGGAUCAUCCAUCGGUUGCCGCGCGCGGCCACCAAGACGCGCGAGCUUGCAUUGCCUGGUUUUCCGACCGAGAUUCAAGUGAAAUCGAGCUGCCCGGCCUUGUCCGGGAACGUGUUGCUCACUACGGUCUCAACAGCUUCGACGUCGGCGGCAACAGAUUCCCGUGGAGCAAUGGCAUACCCGAGGAAUUUCCGGGGUUGCUCGAAUGUGGCAAUGCGAAUUCUUUGCUCGUCAUUAAUUUUAAAAAAAAACUUUGCUGCGAACAGGAACUCUGAAUACCCACCCAAACGAGAAGAAACAGGUGCACUACUCAAACCGGAUGUUUAAAGAGAGAUCCAACAACAACAAGAAGAAGAAAGAAACUAGACGUAAGGGUAAGGCUGCCUCUCUCUUCUACGGCGAGCUGGAGCUAGGGGAUGCCCCGGCGAUGAUGAUUGGCCAGCUAGACGCCAGAGGGACCUUCACUUCAGGCCACCUUCUUCAACGAGAUGGGCUUCGGCCUGCUAGAGCUUUGUGGAUACAUGAGCCUUCUCGGGCCAUCUAUAGUAAGUUUUAGGAGCAUUUGUGUUUGUACCCUCCUUUGAAGUAUAACUGUGAUUUUACCCUCAUUUUAUUAACUUUGUGAUUUUACCCUCAACUUUUCACAAGUCAAUACGAUUUUACCCCUAAUCAAUAGUCAAAACAGGGGCAAGUACACAAAAACCAAGGGCAAAAUCGCAUUGACUUGUGAAUAGAUGAGGGCAAAAUCAUAAAGUUCAAAAAAUAAGAGUAAAAAUACAAUUGCACUUCAAAGUAGGAGCAAGAUAAAAAAAAACCUAAGUUUUUACCAGUAGGAACAAAUUAGAAAAGUCAACAGUAGCAAGAAAGGGGGCUUUGAAGCAGGAAGAAAUUGUCAGAAUGAAUCCCAUAGCAUUGAACGAUUCAAACUUGUGAGCCUUGCAUAUAAGAUGUCCAAAAAAUGGCAGUCACGAGUCUAAAGAGGUGUUUGGAUACACCCCACUAAAAUUUAGCACAUGUCACAUCAGAUGUUUAGAUGCUAAUUAGGGGUAUUAAACAUAGGCUAAUUACAAAACUAAUUGCAUAGAUGGAGUCUAAUUCGUGAGACGAAUCUAUUAAGCCUAAUUAGUCCAUGAUUUGACAAUGUGGUGCUACAGUAACCAUUUGCUAAUGACGAAUUAAUUAGUCUUAAUAGAUUCAUCUCGCGAAUUGGCACAUGGUUCUGCAAUUAGUUUUAUAAUUAGCUCAUGUUUAGUCCUCCUAAUUAGCAUCCAAACAUCCGAUGUGAUACUGCUAAAGUUUAGCAUCUAGUAUCCAAACACCCGCAGCCAUGGCUCUACUACGCUGAUGUAAUGCUAUCGUUAAGAUCCAAUGCCAUUAGAAGUUGCCGAUAGGAGUAGAAAUGCUGUUUCUGUAAUUGCAAAGAAAUAGUCUGACACUUGUUUUUUAUUGCCAACAUACUAAAACUAUUGGAGAGUUGUACAUAUAGCUGCUAGGUUAACACAUCCAAGAUCUAUUAACUACAUGCUUGAUAAUUGGUUAAUGGGCAUUGAAAUGAAAGAAAGAGGAUGGCUUUUUGCAGGGGCAACAACCUUUUUAUAGGCAACUUGGUACACUCGCAAUGAUCCAAUAUUUGAGGGGGGAAAAAACGGUUUGCCUGCUUUACACAGGCUACCUUCAUAGGUAUAUCAUCAACAAAGCACACAGCACAGCAAAUCAAAUUAUAAAGAAUCAAUUCAGAGACUCAAAUAGGUAAGUGAAACUUAACAAAUCCAAGCAUAUGUUUACAUGUCAAUUAAAGUGCCAGCAGAUUGCCAAAAUGGCAAUAUGGCCAUUACAACGCACUUUCAAUAUUUUUCACAUAAAGCAGCAGAUCGCUAGCUGUGAAGUCAAUAUAUUGCAGCUACAAACAAGUCAUGAGGUAGGCAAGAAGAAAUAUGCAACAGCUAAGGCACUAAGCUAAUAGUCUCACCUAAAAUUCUUUGCUGAUAUAUAAAGCUAGUUAUGUACAGUAAAUUAUUUAACUGGAUCAAGGGUCGAGGACUGGAAGCCUGCAGUAGAAGCUAAUGGACUUGUCUGCCAAUCUAGUUCCCGGGAUGAAGUACUGGAAUACCACUGUUAAGCAAGCACCACCAGGAGCAAUGCCUAUACAAAUAGUGAGAAAAAUGUAAGGAAAAGAGUCUCUGUUGAACACAACAUGUCACUGAGAUUAGAGCUGAAAACAGACCAUAGAAGGUAUAGUCUGGCUUGGCGAAGUGACAGUGUAGACUCUUAACAAGGUGCUUCAUAUUCACUUGCUGCAAGAACAUAGAAAGAAAAGAAAUCAAUGAAAUAGAUGGCACGAAGAGAAGAGUGGGAGAGUAAAAUAAGUGGAGCUCAGGAACAAUACCACUGAAAGUGCUUCCCCUCUCUCAACCGCCAUAUCCAUACGAGUCGAAGCUGUCAGAUUUUGAUCACCAACAGGUGCAUUUGCUGAAAUGCAGAGCAGUAUGGUGCCAACGGAGUUAAAAAAAGAGGCCGGAACAUGAACAAAUCAAUGCUGAUUGAAACUACCCAGUGCCAUAUCUUACCACGAUCGCCAAUAACCCGAAGCUUCCUGAAUUCAGAGCCAACCGUAACAAGAGAAGUGGAAACUUGAAGAUGGAGAUCGCCAUAUUGCGUAACAGCUACUGUUAGUAGAUCACCAACAUUUUUUAGACGAUCCACUAAGCUUUGCAAUUGUGGCAGAUCAGGAACCUGGACUAGAGUCUGCACAAAGGAUACCCGCCAUGUAUCAUCACCCAUUAGGGCUUCUGUCAGCUAAGCAAAAAGGUCACACUAGUGCUACAAGCCUUUGGACUUAUAAUAACAUAAAAAUGAAUAAAUACAGACCCCUCCAAAUUGCAAGAACACUUCCCCCAGGAAAGUGUAGUUGGAUUGUUUAAAGCUUAAAACUGGUUUGCCGAACAUGUAUUAGAGAGUGUAACUCAAUUUCAGCACAAAGAGAGCAUUUAAUUCUGCUGCAAUUUAUUGACAAUUGCUAUUAUAGGUUGCUCUUGUCCAGUACUGCAGGCAAGUGCAUUUUCACAUAUUUUUUAAGAAUAAAUUCCUGGAUCAAACCCCAUUCUAAGAACCAAAAUAUCUUUCAAUGUUUCAACAGGAGAAAUGAGUUCAGAGUUGAAUCCAUUCACUUCAUGAACCAGUCUUUCAACUAGGAACAUGUAUACCAACAAAAGCACGGUAUUAGUUCAUCCAUCCAACAAGAAUAUAAUCCCACUAAAAAUUGCAUAGUCAGAAUCAUUUCCAUUAGGCUCAAUUGUAACUUUGAAUAGUUAAAUUUGGAUCUUAAUUAAUCGGGUGAACCUGAACCAUAGGACCACCUUUUGGUUUCAAUACAUGAUUAUUGAUUAGGAACCAUAAGAUGCUACAUGAACUGAUGAACGCCACACACCUGAGGGAGAUCCUUGGCGGCGUCAAGGGCGGCCUGCAACCGCUCGACGUCGGAGCGUGAGAGAGGCCGCGAGAUGGGCACAUCCUGCACGACGGCCGCGCGGGAGCCCUUGGUCUCGAAGGUGAGGAACGGCGUGGCGGAUCGUGACCCUGCGGGCAGCUUGUUGACGAGCCUCACCUGUAUCGCGGCGGCGCCGGCAGCGUCCCCGGCGGCCGGCGGCUGCGCGUGGACUGCGAGCACGCUGCGGAGCGCGCGGUGAAGCAGCGCGACCUCGACGGAGAAGGCGAUUUGGUUCCCGUUCCGCGAGGACAGGUUGUACUCCCGGAAGAGGAGAUCCUUGGCGAACUGCGCGACGCACUGCGGGCCGCCGCCGUCGGGCCCCGCGGCCGUGGCGCCGAGGAGGUUGUGGAGGAGCAUGGCGUGCGUGGGCGUGAGGAAGACGUGGCAGACGCGCCCCACCUUGUCCAUGGCAGGUAGGAACCCUGCGCGGCAAAAAUCGCGGGGGACGCAUGAGACGUGCUCGACGAAUUGCGGGAGAGAGGGAGGGGGAGAGGGGAGGCUGUGCUUGUGUAAUAUGGCGCUUACGCUUGUCGAGGAGGGAGAUGCCAUCAUCGGUGAAGAAGGCCUUGAACUUCAUGGCUUGCGCUCCGCGACGGCGGUGGCGGCCUCUGCCUUCGUCUUCUCGUUGUGCGGCGAGGGAGUCGCUGUGCUGGGGGCUUGCCGCUGGGGAAUUUGGCGCGGGUUUGGAAAGGCUUCGCGCCCGUAGAAGAGCCGGCGGCGUCGGGCGUGACUGGUGGUCAGUGGGGUUCCUUCUUCGGCACACUUGGGCCCUUUGUUGCUUUUGCGCCGUGGGCUUAACAAUCAUUUCAUACGGGUCUAUUGUGAUUAUGGGCUGGAAUUGUGUGUGCUGAAUCAAGAAUGAAUUUUCCAAUUCGAAGCUAGAAAUCAGCGAAAACACAUUUACUUGAAUAAAAUGAUUUUUUUAGGACUGAGUAAAAUGAUGUUCUGCGUGUUGGUAAAACACAUUUGUUGGUCUUUCUUGCAGGGCGGGAGAGAUUGGCUUGCGAAAUGUGUAGGUUCGUAUUGGUGCAUGCUGCAUAUAUAUUGAACACGAAACGUAGCACAGUCACGGAGCAUUCGUCAAAGUUCAAACUGAGUUAGGUUAUUAAAAACGCAAAAAUUCAGGAAGGAGUUGCUUUUCGUNNNNNNNNNNNNNNNNNNNNNNNNNNNNNNNNNNNNNNNNNNNNNNNNNNNNNNNNNNNNNNNNNNNNNNNNNNNNNNNNNNNNNNNNNNNNNNNNNNNNNNGGCAGGACCUUUUAAAAUCUUUUUUAUUCUUUCGAAUGUUUUUCUUUCAUUUAAAGUGUAGUUGUAUUGUCCGCAUAAAGACCUGGCCACAGAAUUCGUGCAAUUGGUCGGGAAACAAUUAGAUAGAGUGCCCCCACAGAACCAAAUUCAUUUGACGAGAUGGGAACUUUUUUAUUUUUAAAUUUUUUAAAGUUCUUAAUUUUAUUUGUAGGCCAAGAUCCUUUUGCCGGGCCCGGGCCCCAGGGCGCGGUAGUCAAUUUUUCCCGCCCCAGCCCGGCGCUGAUGGGGGGGGGUUGUCGCCCCAAACCAUGGGGGCGCGCAACCCCCCGGGCCGGCAGGGGGUUUAAUUUCUUGGGGGGGUGGGUUUUUCUUUUUCCCCCCAAAAACCCCCUCCCCCCUUCCCCCCCCCCCCCCCCCCGGGAAAGUGGGGGGCAUCGACCCCGCGUUGUUUGGAAGGUAUCCCUACUUUUUUCCGUCUUUUACCGUUCCAUUUAGUAGAUCGGAGGGUGUUUAGGUGAAAUAGGUUUAGGAUUUCAUUUUAAAAUUUUCAUGAUUUGCAAGUUUGUUAUGUAGUAAUGAAUGCUUAGUUUAUACGCAGUCGACUCUCUGCCCACGAGUUUAACAUGUAGAAGUAGUUGCAUGCAUCGAUUUAUAUAGUUGUUGAUGUAUUUGCGUAGUGUGCACGGUAUGUGUAGGUUUAUUUGUCUAAUAUGUUGAAAAUUAAUGUAGUUUAUUAUUGUUGUUUGUAGUAAAUGAGCUAUAUUUGGUAUGUUAGAGUCUUUGUAUUUUUAGAUGGAUCGUUUAGUUCGUAUGUUUCAUGGUGGGAUUGUAAAAGAAAAUAGGGAGUUUGAGAAUACGAUUGAGGUGGUAGAAUUGUUCGAUGCUCGUCCAAGUUUUAAAGAUUUAGUUGACCGUGCAAUGACAAAAUAUGGAUGUGGAGUGGAUGAGAUGACAUUAAGAUGCCAUUUUGAUUGUGGGAAAGCUAGACUUUAUUAUAUUCUCAUGAAUUUGGCAUCCGAGUCUAAUUGGAAGCGGAGGUAGUUGAGCAUGCAACUGUUGUAUAUUUGGAGGUGCUAGUUGAUAUUUGUCGUAGGCCUAGCGCAAAAGUUGCAAGUCCGGUUAGUGGUUGAGAAUGGUACCCAAGAGUCAACAAUCUUACAGCAUGGUUCAGGUGAAACCCAAUCUGAUUUUGGUUUGGCCAUUGCAAAUGAUGGUUUUCCUAAUGAUACUUUUGAGCGGGAAGAAGCAAACAUAGAUGAUGUUGACAUAUAUCUCUAGGUUCGGAACUUUGAGGAGGAGCAUGGGGUAGAAGAUGUUCAGGCCAACGCACAUGAAGAUGUACUAGUCGGAGAUGGACCCGAAUGUGAGGAGGAGUCACAAUCUGAGAAGGAAGGGCCUGAAUCUGAGGAGGAUGGGCCGCAGGUCAACUCUACAAAUGUACAUGAUGUAGAGGACAUUGAUCUUGUGAACGAAUGUUAUUUUUACACUCCUAAUGAGUUGCAGUUGUUGAAGGAAUGUCACGUUGAACUCCCAACCGUUUCCAAUACUAAGGACAUAAGCAUGGUGUUGCCAAUGAAUAGAUCUAACCACAAUAACAACAACUCUUUGAUUCAUCUAUAUUAUUUAUCUACAUUGCAUGCCUCCAACUAAAUCAUUAUCAAGAUCUCAAAUCAAGCAUAUGUUACAUUUUUUAAACGUCAAAUCCAGAGGCAGAACGAUACCUACAAGUGUACCGCGAGUCUGAUCUAUCAACACGAACUUGCAUUAAUUCAACAUCUUACCCUAACCCUAGCCUAACCUAGUUGUUCAAAUAUCUACUAAAUGCAAUGGUAAAAUAAGGAAAAAAGUGGGCAAGAACGCGGGAUCGAUUCCCCACUUUUCCCACCCCAAAACGUAGGAUUCGGGGGGAAUCAGGGGGUGUGGCGGUCGGCGGUGAGGAGAAGGAGCGGCUCGGGCAGGGACAGCAGCCGAAAGAAAGGAGGGAGAGGAAAGGAGAAGGGCACGUGCUGGCCUGGAUGUAGGCGCUGUCGUGCCAAUUCAUGUGACGCGGUAACGCCUCACCCCGUCAGCGCCGCGCUGUCCCACCACUGCAUGUGGCACGGCAGCGGCUAACUACUGCGCCAUGGAGCAGGCGCAACCAAAAGGAUCAAGCGUGCAAAUAAAGUUGGGGAGGAGUUAUUUUUAAAAAUAUCUUUAAAAAGAGUUAAAAAAAAUAUUCAAGAAAUUGACGCCCCACAAUAAUGCGGCCAAAUACUGGAGCGGCUUGCUUCCAAUCAAUAGUCGAACAAUAAGCAACGAGUGAAAGAAAGAGAUAUACAUUGCCAAUGUCACCGCCUGAUUACAUCUGAACAAUGUAUCACCAAACUAGCAAAGAAUCCAAAACGCUGGAAGACUACUCUGAAACAGCAACCUAUCUUGCCAGAACUUCAAACCAGAAACUACCAUUAACACCUAGAGCAUUACUCCUAAACUGCCCAGUAGCAUCGUUAAACAACCGAAGAGCUCGCCGAAACACCGCGACCAUCGGACCGGCCACUGACGGCACUGCCACGCACGCGUUGAACGUGAACAUUGCUAGUUGAACCACGGCGGCUGGGCUCCUGCGACGCCGCCGCCUUCUGCUUGCUCUGCCAUGACUGCUCCGUGACCUGCUCCACCUCGUCACCAUUGUACUGCCAUGACUGCGAGGCCGUCCUGGUCCGGUCCGUGGAGUCGACGGAAUUGGGCUCCCAGGAGCACGUCCAGGCGUUGCCGGCGAAGCUGUUGCUCCCCGCGGACUCCUGCGGCUCGGUCUCCCCGACCCCGCGGAUGUCACGCACCGAGACGUAUUUGUGCAUGCUCGGCUCCAUGAGGUCGUCCUUCACGCCGACCUCCGACUCGACCACGAGGCUGGGGCCUGGACCCUUGCCACCGUACCUCCCGUUGACCGACUCCUUGUCGUUGACCGACCUCUCCAGCUCGAAGCUCUUGUUCUCGGACGAAGAGGAGUUGAGGUCAGCGACGGCUUCAAGGAUCGAGCAGGCCUUCGACACGCACGCCGGGAGAGCGAAGGUCGGCGCGGCAGUGGCAGUGGCGGCGCUGGUGCUCUGCUGGUGGUAGUUUUGGAUGUCCUCGAGGAGCAGGGACGCGUACGAGUUGCCAUUGUGGUCGAAGUCGCGCGAGGACCGCCUCGACGACCGGCUCCCCGGCUUCAGAUUGGUGACGUUCUCGGCCACGAUGCUCACCGAGUGGGUCGCGUUCAUCCUUGCAGACGAAGCCUUUGUGUCCGACGCCACGGCCUCGUCCACAAUCUCCUUCUCCUUCACAGCUCGGCUGCUGGGGAUCUGAUCCUUUGCCCGCUCCACUGUCUUCUGCGGCAAUGCGACGGCAGCAUCGGCGGAUUUCUGCAAAUCAUAUCGAGAAUUUAGCCAUUUAUUAGGUGGGGAACACUGACGGCUAAAAUGAAGAAAAGUUUGAAGCAUUCGUUCAUCCGUACCUUUUGGAGCUUGCCGUUGUUGCCAUUGUUGUGGUGGUGGUUGUUGUCGAGAGCGUUCUCGUCGAGCUCCGCCAUGGGGUUGCGCCGGAAGGGCGACUGCUCGGCCUUCCUCGAGGAGCUCCGGCUCAGGGACGGCCCGUGCGUCGGCUGCACCAGGGCGUUCUCAUUCCCUGCGGCGGCCGCCCUCGCAGGCGAGUUCGACCUCAGCGUCGGCGAUGGGUACCUCUUCCCAGACGACGCAGCCUUCACCGGCGACGGCGCGCGCCCCUUGUCCCUAGCCGGGACCGACACCAUCUUCCCCGGCUGCUGCCGCGCGCCCCGCUCGCCGGUCCCCGAGCUCCCCGCGGCGGGGGCGACGUCCGCGCGCCGCCCCGGCGACCGGCUCACCCUCCCGCUCCGGCUCCCGCUCCCGCCGCCAGUGCGGCCGUCGUGGCUCGCGGACCGCUUCCGGUCCGGCGUCCGGCGGCGCGGGGAGGGCCUGGACACCGCGGCCCCCUCCCUGCCCCAAUCGCACUCGUCGGCGCCGCCCCCGCCCCUCCUCUCGUGGUCGAAGUCGUAGCUCCGCUUGGAUCCGGCGUACCUCCGGUGCCCGCCGCCGUGCUCCCCCGACGGCGCCUUCCCGGACGCCGACGAGCUCCGGCUGAGGCGGCCGCACUGGAUCAGGAUCGCGUCCACCUCCUCCUUGGUGCAGCUCGACGUGCGCACCGGCGCCCGCACCACCGCGACGGGCCUCGGCUCCUCCUCCUCCGGCGCCGCCCGCUUCACCUCCGCCGCCUCCCCGGACCCGGCCUUCGCGGCUGCAGCGACCUCCGCGGCCGCCGCCGCCGCGGCUGCCUUGACGACGAACACCGUCCUCUUGUCGGCUGCCGGCUCCUCCGGCCUUGCUACGGCCUUCUUGGCCGUCGCCGAAGCCGGCGCCUUUGACUGGGGCGCUUUCUUGGCACCGACGACCGGUGCGGCGUCCCUGCCGGAUUUCCGGCUGCCGCUCUUCUUGGCGUCGUUGCACGGCUGCCCGUCUCGCCGCUUCGCGUGCUGCUUCUUGCUGAAACAGAGCCCCAUGGGAUUCAGACGGGGGGGAAUGGACGGAGUCGGGAGCUAGGUAGGGAGGGAGGUGGGUGAGGACUGACGGUGAGCCGAUGCGGUGGUGGUGUUUGGGAGGGGCAGACGGCAGAGCCUUGGGAGGCGUGGAUUGGAGUCUUGCGUUUUUGUGGUGUGCGCGGAGCAGUGGAGAACAGUUUCAACAGAGACAGGAGAGGGGCGGCGGCGAGGGGGAGCGAGAGGGAUUUCAAAUUUCCUGCUGUUUCAUCGGGGUCUGCGCCCACAGCGGCCGCCGCACGACGCGCACACAGGAUAAAGCCGUUGAGCUCUGCGCACGGGAGAGUGAGCACUGAGCACAGUGAAGACGUGUGCCGUACCACACUUGCCACGCUUCUCAGCUUCUGCCUGAUGUAAAAUCUCAACUCUUUUUUGUAAGAAAAAAAGGUAAAAUAUCUGUUAUUGCGUUGUUAAUCAGAAAUGUACACAUUCAAAAUCCUUUUUAGAAGGUUUCACUACUUUCCUGUCACCACUGUCUAGUGUCUACUAUCACUUGUAGAUUCAGCUCGACAUCCGCUGCAAUCACUGGCUGACAUGACCCCAGGCACGUGUUCGCGUAACGCACUCUGGGUUGGGAGAGACGGUAGACGGAGACGGAGACGGACGGACUAAUAGCUAGAUUCAAAUUGGAGGAGCAGUGCAGGUGCAGGAGAGCUGGAGAGGGACUGUUGAGCUUUUCGCAUUGUUUAUAUUUUUUUAACCCAAAAGAACCGACCGUUGCAGGGGUCAGCAGAGCUGAGCGUAGGAUUGGCAUCUGUCUACACCUCGCAUCACAUCAUCCUAUUGCAUUGGCUCGAGGCCGGAUCAUGUUUUGAGGUUAAUUAGAAAGAUUAAAUAAUAAAAAUAAUUACAUAAAUGAGGGUUAAUUCGUGAGAUGAAUUUAUUAAGCCUAAUUAGGGUCUGUUUGGAUACACUGCGUUAAAAUUUAACAAGUGUUAAAGUUUUAACACUCUCAAAUAGAGUGCUAAAGUUUAACACAUUGGGGUGUUUGGAUGAUAUGUUAAACUUUAACAUCUUUGGUGGAAAAUGACUCCAUUGCCCCCUCAUUUAUGGCCGGCGGAGAGAGAGGGAGGAGAGAGAAGGGGUAAUCUGGGAAAAAGUGGAGAGGGGACCACUUUUAACACCUUUAGCAAGUUUUAACACCUCCUUGAUGUGUUUAUGAAAAAUGGGGUGUUAAACUUUAACACCCCACUUUUAACACAAAUGUUUGGAUAGGAAAGUGUUAAAAAGUGUUAAAAGUAGGGUGUUAAACUUUAACACCUCCUUCCCAAAUAGGGCCUUAAUUCAUGAUUAGCACAUAUUUAUUGUAGCAUCACAUGUUUACUCCGCAUGAAGAGCAUCCAGUAUCCAAUUUCUUUUUUGACGAAUUCACGUGAUAGCAGAUAAGAUUUGUUCAAGCCUUGCAGAGGUGACACCCUUGAUUCUUUGACGCAACACUUUCUUUGUCAACGUAGGAGGGAAGGGAAGCUUGGACCACAUCCAAUGAUGAUGGUAUUGAUGUCAUGGUGAUCCUAUCUUGGACCUUGCAUAGUACAGAUGAGAGUCACUCUUUGCGUAUUGAGAUUGUGGAGUAGUAUUUCAUUAGUCAUUAGAGAUUUUAAGGGCCAGUUUGGUAGGGCUCACUCCGGCUCCAGCCGUGACUUCUGCUAGAGCCCUCCCAAAGGGCAGCGCACGAAAUGGCUCCACGAGCGAAGCACCCAGAGUCGGGGCCCUUUUUGUACCGGCGGGGAGGAGCCAAAAAUAGUGGCUCCUCCUGUCUCCCAAGUACUAAAGGCCGAUGGUACCCUCGGCGUGGAGUGGCGGGGAGCAAGGUAGAGGGCAGGUUGGCACGAACAACUAAUGAGAUGCGGUGGUGCAAAAGAGAAGGGGAACGACGAAGCUAAUGGCGAAGAAAGGGUGAUAUGGGGCCUACCAGUAGGGAACACCUGUGGCGGGGUGGAGAAAUAGUGACAUGGAGCCGCUGCAGCCAUGGAACUGUCGUCUCCCACCAAUUUGCCGUCCAUAAGGUCGCCUGCCAUGCCACCAAUGCCAUGGGGCCACGAGCCUACGGAGGAGAGGAGGAUGGGCGGGAGGAAGAGGAAGGAGAGGUGGAGGACUAGCAAUUGCAUCUUUGGCAUGCCGUGGCUGCAUCCAUGAUGCAGGAAGAAGGGAAUCUGUGAGGACGGAAUUGAGCGACGUGGCGGCAUGCGGAGAAGGCAGCGUUGCGACCUCACUCAUGGAGAAGAUAAGGAAGUAGGAACAGAUAAGGUGGAGAAAAGAAAGGAGAGAAAAAAGAGAGAGAAAAGGAGAGAAAAAAGAAGGGUCACCCGUGUGUCUUUUGGGCCUAAAGCUCAUAAUUACCGUGUAAAGCCUGUUAAACAAUUAUUUGUUAAUCUAGAAUUUAUAUUCAAUGCUUUUUUAAUUUAUAUGAAAUUGCAUUAUAAAAUGAGGGCUACUAUUUGUACAACCAAGUCAAGUAUGCAAGGUACAUUCGACAUUUCAUCUCUUCAUCUACUCAUGAAAACAUAGGUCAAAUGUUUUUCAAAAUGACUUCAGCUCCACUAGAGAAGUCGCUCCACCAAAGAAGCCAGAACCGGAGCUGUUUUUGGAAAAGCCGAAGCCUUGCCAAACAGGCUCUAAUAGUUGAAAUCACCUAGAUCUUUUCAAAAAAAAAAUCACCUACAUCUAAAGCUCAUAAGACCCUGUUUGGAUAGGGGUGUUAAAAUUGAACACCCUACUUUUAACACAUUUUUAUCAUAUUAUCUCCCAAACACAUGUGUUAAAAGGGAUGUGUUAAAGUUUAACACCCCCAAUUUCAUAAACACCUCAAGGGGGUGUUAAAAGUUGUUAAACUUGUUAAAAGUGGUCCCCGUCUCCACUUUUCCCAUUGCCCCCUUCUCUAUCCUCCCUCUCUCUUCGUCGGCCAUAAAUGAGGGAGCAAUGGAGUCAUUUCUCACUGAAGGUGUUAAAGUUUAACACACCAUCCAAACACCCCAAUAUGUUAAACUUUAGCACUCCAUUUGAGCAUGGGGUAUCCAAACAAGCCCUAAAUACGCCAUAUGGCUUAAGAAAGAGCAGAUGCUCAUAAAUACAAAACGGUUGUAUGUGAAUCAUUUCUCAUUUCUUAAGGCGGAAGAGGUAUUUCCACGCUCAAACUUCCCCAAGGCUCAAUUUCAAUCAUUAACUAUCACAUUUUUUUAAAGAUGUGCAUAGCAUGUUUUUCAUUAAGAAAGAGAGAAGUACAACGACGCAACUUCAGGAGAAACCCCAAAUGCAGAGUUACAAGAGACACCACCGGCGACAAACAAUACAAACACGACAACAGAAAAGAAAAAACACCUCACCACCACGACACUGAACACGACCAAGACGACUGAAGCCAACAGGAGAGAUGGACACGCACAUCACCGAUUACCUAACAACUCGGAGCUAGCGGAGGUCGAGUGAGGAGGUCAUGGAAGAUGAUGCCUCCAAGAAGGGAGCGACGCCAACGCCGCCAUCGUCCGUCUGUCCACAGAGGAGUAGACCAAGUUUUCACCUGACAAUUCCACACAGCAUACAGCCAAGGUCUGGAUGAGAGCCAAUGCGAUGGUAUGGCAGCGAGUAAUCCAUGGCGACGACGAUGAGGAUCAUCCGCAGGCACAGCCAAAGAUGACCAAGGAGCGACCAUGCGGCGACCCAAAGACGACCAGUAGGCGAUGGGCGGCGCUAGCAAGAAAAGGCGACCUAGAUUCGUGGCAGACGACCACAAGCAGAAGAACAGAGAACCCCACUCACCCCACAACAACAUCCCUAACUAAUGGGGCGGCCAAAACAACUGAAAAUUACGACCCAAACAACUGACAACCUGUAAGAUUACAAAGAAACAUUGCCUACAGAACUGCCAAACCAAGGUCACCCGAAGUAGUUUAGAGGAGGGAUAUGCAAGACCACGCCUCCAGGGAGGGAACGGUGUCAAAGAUGUAACCAUCGUCCGUCCAUUCAAGAAAAAAUGGACCAAGCUUUCACUUGGUGUAACCAAAGUGUUGUGGAUGACCUCGACAGUGCCCCCAACAGAGUGAGCUACACCCACGGAUGUAGCCACUGCCGGCACCGGAUAACACCGAGCAGAGCUUUCGCUCGCGACAUCCACAGCCAAGCACCGAAAACACAUCUUCGGAGACCUAAGGUUCGGGAAGAGGGCAGCCUGACAAAGGUGGCAGACCAACGCGAAGCCGUUAAUAGAAGAGCACAUGCAGGCGUAGAUGAAGCCCUCCCCCACCCAGCAACACUCGAUGACAACGAUCGGGGAUGACCCGUAGCGGGACGGCCGCCAUGGGAGGCGGCGGCACCCUGAAGGAACAUGGGGAGGACAAAGAUGCAUUCUCCCAACCCUACCAACGAAGAAGACGGCUAGCAGAGGCAUGGCCCCACGAGCGACCACCAUCGGCAACUAAGAGUGGGCGACGGAUUCGGACGGCGACCUUGGGGAUUGGGUACGGUGGGGUGAGGGAGGAGGAGGGAAGGGAAGGGAAGAAGAGAGAGGAGCGCGUGCGGCCUGCUGGCCAGAGGCAGGUGGCAGUGGCAACAACAGGAGGCAACGAAGGUGAGGGUAAGGCCACCCGAAGUGGACACUGCCGCCACCAUAGGCCGCCUUGCUCGGGAAGUAGCAAUGCGGAGGUGACAUCGUUGACAAGGAGCGACCAUCGGAGAAAGGAGCGACCUUUGCGACCUGGGCCAACCUUUGCGACCUGGGCCGACUGGGGGCAGUAGACUGGCGUCAGCUUGGCGUAGUCAUUCCCGGCUGCGGCGUCUUCGGCGUGUCGUCAUUGUAGCUACGCCGGCACGGUGUCCUCGUCCUCACGGCCGUUGUUGUCGUUGGCAGCGCCCCGGCGUGCGGCCGCCGCAGACCACGUUGCCGCCGCCACAGACCACGCUGCCGCCGCUGUAUGCCGCUGCCCACUGCGGACGCUGACGGCCGUGUGAUUACACCACCGCAAUCGCCCAGGCCCGGUACCCCGCCGCCGAGGCCCCAAGACCCCGUACCCGCAGGGGCGCCGCAGCUGGGCGCGCGGGCCGUCGGACACCGCCCAACGCUGCCGCCCGUCGCGCUCGCCACCGACGACGCCGGUGCCGGCAACCUCCAAACACGGCACCGGGAGACCGCGCCACCGGGCAGGAGCCAGUAGAUGCUCAGCACAGCGAGCCUGUCGGUGAGGGUGGCGGCCAGCGCCAGCGGCCGCCGCAGCCGCUGCUCCAUGCGCCAGAUCCAGAAAUUUGGGGCUUGAUUUCGUUCCUCAUAGUCAUACCCAGUGUCACAUUGUCGCGCGCUGUGUGUGGGAACUGGGAACCCUGCUCGAGAUACAUAGCUGCAAAUAGUAUUUCCUGAGGAUUGAAAAGACUGAGAAAGGAAUCAUAGGUAUCUUUCAAUCUUUGCGUUCUAAUGGAAUCCCUGGUUCUCAAAAGCAUCAGCAGAAUGCUGCUGAGUAAAACUGAGGAAAACGAAGGAGGGGUUACACAAAAAAAUGGACUGCUUUUUCUCAUCAAAGAAACAAAGCAAAAGCUGAUUGCAUAACUCCUCACGGUUCUGCUGGGGUGGCCUCGCCGUGGCUAGUUCUUUUUCGAGAGUGAAUUCCCUCGGUGCCAUAAAAAUUAACAUCAAUCCCUUCAGUGUCAUAGAUUUUUACGAAUUUUCUUCGGUGCCAUCGAAAUUUUGAUUUAUGCACUCAGUAUCAUUCCGUCUAUCUUCCCAUCCAUAUGCUGCUAAGUGUGAUUGGAAAAGAUGAUCUUACCCCUCCUAAGUGAGGCCCCACCUGUCGGUGCUCCUCUCAAUAUCCUGUCUUUCUUCUCUUUCUCUUCUGCCCGGUGCUCCUCCACGCCGCUCCAUCCUCCGGCCUGCCAUGGAGCUCCUCACCACCGGCACCUCCGUCCCGCCCCUGAGGUCGCGCCACCUCGAAGCUACUCCGCCCGGCCCGCAGCCGCCUCCCCGCUACGCCGGCCGCUGCAUCCACACCGCUCCUGCACGGGCAUAUUCGCUCGCGCCACGCCAGCCAGCCGCCCCCAUGCCGCGCACUGCAAGCCGCCAUCGUCCGCCCCUGGCUCGGCUCGGCUUGGCUGGCGGGAAGGCGGGGCGCAAUACGGCGCUCAGGCCGGGAUGGCUCGGGCGGCCGGGGACAGGUCGGCGCCAUGGGCGCCAUGGCCGGCACUCGGGCAGGUGGAGGGCGGGGCUGUGGCGUGGGGAAAGGGCGCAGGUGGUGGGGGAGAGCUGCUGCGCGCGUUCGGAGUGCGGCUCAGGGGAGGGGCCGGGGAGAGGAUGGGGGGCGGCCGCAGGUCGAGCAGCUCCAGGGGCCGGUUGCCAUGGCCAGAAUGGCCGGGAUUCGAUGUGGGGCGCGUGGGUGCUGGCCGGCGGCCAAGGUAGGCGGCUGGGGGAGGAAGGCAGGGGCUCGCACAGCUGCGGGAAAGGGGGAAAGGGUGGUCGCCGGGGUUGGGCUGGGCAGAUAGGCGGCGGUAGCGUUUAGGCCGAUCGGCCAUGGCCGCGAGGAGGAGGCCGGGCGGCGCGUCGCUGCAGCGCGCGAGGCGCACGAGGCAGGGCCGGGGACGGGCAGGGGCGCACGGGGAGCCGAGAGUGGGGUGCGCUCAAACGCGAGGAAGGGGGAGGGGAUGGCGCAGAUGGCUCACCAUGGCUGGAUGGGGAAGAAAGAUGGGGGAUACAUCAAAAUUUCAAUGGCGCUGAGGGAAGUUCGCAGAAAUCUGUGGCACUGAGAGGAUUGACGUUAAUUUUUUAACACGGAGGGAAUUCACUCUUCUUUUUCUCAUCAAAGAAACGCAAAGUUGAUAUGAGACCCUCACCAUGUCACUAAUAUGGAAGGAUGGCAAUGGGGUAGGUUCGGAUUGGGUGGAGUGUCUGGGCACCCAAAACCGAAACCUGAAUCCGCCCCAAACACCGAUUCGGGUGAAAAUCCAUCCCGAAACCGAAACCCGCGGAUCCCCGAAACCUGCGAACUGGAGGCGCCGGGUGAAGUGGCGGAGGAGCCGGCGGGCAGCGGGUGGCGGAGGAGCGGGUGGUGGGGCGGAGCGAGCGGCGGAGGAGCGGGCGGUGGGGCGGAGCGAGCGGCGGAGGAGUGGGCUACGGGGCGGAGGAGCAGGAGGCGGGCGCGGCUGGUCGCGGGAGGGCGGGGUGCCUAGGUGCGGGACGACACGACGGAGUGAAGGAUUUCAGGCUUAUAUACCUAGGAUAACCCUAGGUGGACUUCUAGUGGGCUGAAUGUUUCGGGGUCCGAUGGAGCUUCACGGGAGAGUUUAAGAAUCACCCCAAACCCAUAGUAUUUGUAUCCGAAUCCGCAAAUCCGUGGACGAAAACUAGAAACAAAAACCGAACCCGCGGACCUGAAACCCGCAUCCUUACUAAUCUGUUCGCACUCCCACCACUGGAUGGUUCAUGACUCCACCAUGUCAACAACAUUAAAUGGUAUUGUACAGACACUUGCAGUAAGCUGAGUAUAGUAAAAAACCCAUGUUUGGAUCAGAUUCUUUGGAAGGUCUUGACACAAUUCCAUGAUUUAGACAAAUGAGCAGGUUCCAUGCCAAGUAAUGGACAAGUUGGACUGGUUAACUAAAUUCAUCCGAGAAGAAGAAUGUGGUAAUUCUCACAGGAACCAAAUAGAAUUUUAGAAAGAAAUAAUUCCCUAGUCCUCCAUUUGUCGCAUUGUCUGUCACAAUCAGUCAUUCAUGUGAAGUUGCCUAUACAGAAUAGCAGAAAAGCACCCAAAAUAAAAAAAAAAUAUCGAUGGCACAAACACAACCUUACAACUAUAGGAGUAUUCACCAGUCUAUAUAAGCGAACAUUCCAAAGGGAAUCCAGUAUACGAUACAGAAUGAAUCUGAUAGUUAUGCUAAGGUUCAAAAAUCAAAAUCACAUGGUAACAAGAAGUUCCUAAAUAUUUUGAAAUGACUGAAACAUGUGAAUUUCAACAUUUUCAACACACGCAGAAAUUUCCUUUACCAAAGCUGAAGGGUUCUGAAAAGAAUUCAUUUCCAUGAUCUAUCAACCAAAGCAUAUAUGGAUUCUGGACAAGCAGAAUUGUUUACUGAAAUUUCCUUUACCAAAGCUGAAGGGUUCUGAAAAGAAUUCAUUUCCAUGAUCUAUCAACCAAAGCAUAUAUGGAUUCUGGACAAGCAGAAUUGUUUACUGGCAGUUUUCCGGAGCAAUAUAAGGCCUUGUUUAGUUGGGGAAUUUGGGAGGUGCCAAAUUACUGUUACAGCACUGUAGCACACUGUAGCGUUUCGUUUGUAUUUGUGAAUUAUUGUCCAAAUAUUGACUAAUUAGGCUCAAAAGAUUCGUCUCGCAAAAUACAACAAAACUGUGCAAUUAGUUUUUAAUUUCAUCUACAUUUAGUACUCCAUGCAUGUACCGCAAGUUUGAUGUGAUGGGGAAUCUUCUUUUUGCAUAGUGUCAAAGUUGGGAGUUGGGAGUAACUAAACAUGGCCUAAACCUAAAUUUAUAAAUCAGGGAUCCUCUGACCAAUAAAACAGAUAGAAAAUACUAAAGGAAUUCAAUGGUAAUUAUCAAGUACAUAGGAAUUUAUAGAUAAUUCCAAAAAAAAUAACCUACAUGAGCAGAUUUUAGUAUUCAGAUUGAAACAUACUCGAAUAAGACUUAUAGACACUAUGUAAUGUAAUAUUCAUUAGUGAUUGGAUCCUAAAUCUAGAAAAAUUCUUGCCUCGCAUGACAAUGGCGCAAUAUCUACAAGAAGAAAUUGUUAUAGCUCUUAAACAUGUAAUAUCAAGCAUAGCAACUGUGCCAACUGGAACACCCUCUCCAUCAAGCUAAUGUGCCUAGCACACUCAUGCUCAGUAUAGCAUGAGCAAGGAUCAAGAAGCAAAAGCAAAUCCAAGAGGAACUACCAACAUCUAUAGAAAAAAGAGUUGAUCGAUUCGUCAGUUCAUUAGGAGUUCCAGAGCACUAAACUAAAAUCAGUUUGAUAUACAGCAAAGACAAAGGUAAAAUCAUAAAAGCAUUAUAUGCCACUUACCACAGUAUAGCACCCUCCUGCUAGUAUUAACAUUUUCUCUUAACAAUCAAUAUAACAAAAAUGCUGAACACAGUCAGUAAUAGAUUUGUCAGUUCAAUUACUUUGGAUCAUAGAGUACCAACAUUCAAUUAAUUCGUCACAUCUAAAAAAGGACUGCUUUUCUCAUCAAAGAAACAAAGCAAAAGCUGGCCGCAUGACUCAUACUUCAUGGUUCUGCCACAGCAGAGCCUCACCGUGGCUUGGUACUUCUCCCAUCAAAGAAACAAAGCAAAGCUGAUUUGAGACCCUCAUCACCAUGUCACCAAUCUGUUCUCACUCCCAGCACUGGAUGGUUCAUGACUCCACCACCAUGUCAAUGACAUUAAGAAUUUACCCCCAGAAAUAUCUGUGGCAAAUGAUUGAAAGCUUUCAGGUUUUUUCUAAAACCUGUGUAAGUUUGUCUUGGGUUCUAUACCUUUUUCCUUCUUAAUAUAUUGAUACGCAGCUCUCCUGCAUGUUAGAAUUUUUUUUUUUUUACCUUGCCCCCCAGCCCACACCCACCCACCCACAAAAAGCAAAAGCGUGACAUAUUAUAUGAAUGGUUCUUAUAAAGUAGAAUGGGCAAAACAAAUGUUGCCAUAUAGAUGCUUGCAGCACGCUGUAAAAUUAGAGUAGAAAACUAGGUUUGGGUCAGAUAUUCUGAAAUGAAUUUGACAAAUGACCAGGCUCCAUGUCAAUAGGCUAGUAAUGUGCAAGUUGGACUGAUUAACUUAACUCAUCCGAAAAUAAAUAUGGUAAUCAUGUCAGCAUGCACUUCGAAUAGAGUGAAACACCAUGUUAAGUUCACAUAUCCAUGGACAAGUCUUAAGCUGCUGACAGACACAGUUGAAGGACUGAAAACGAUUAGACACCUGAGUUAGUUCUCAUAGGAACCAAAUAGAAUUUUUAGAAAGAGAUAAUUCCUUGUUCUCUAUUUGUCUCAUUGUCUGUCAUACUCACAAUCAUCCAUGUUAAGUUGCCUAUACAGAAUAACAGAAGAGCACCCGAAAUUAAAAGUAUAGAUGGCACCAACACAGCCUUACAACUAGAGUGUUAAGCAGUUACAUAAGCAGAGACCGAUAAACCUAUGAAAUUGAUAUGGAAUCCAUCAUACAAUACAGAACAAAUCUGAUCGCCAUGCUAAGGUUCAAAAACCACAACCACAUGGUACCAAAAAGUUCCUAAAUAUAUUUUAGAAUAAUUGAAACAAGUGAAUUUUGUCAUUUUUACACAAGCAGGAAUUCCCUUUUGCAAAGCCAAAGGGUUCAGAAAUGAAUUCAUUUCCGACCUAUCAACCAAAGCAUAUCUGGGCAAGUACUAUGCAUCACAGAAUUGAUUGCUGGCAGCUUCCAGUGCAAUAUAAACCUAAAUAAAUAGAUACCAGAUAAAAAAAAACUCGACCUGCGGGGGGUAAGAUAGCCCCCGGGUUUUUUGCUAAGAAGGCCUUCUCAGGCAGGCCGAGAAAACCCCCGAACCUCUGCCCCACCCUUACACAAGGGCCCGUAACCCUUGUGAGACUACCACUGGGCUGGCGAUUACUGCAACUACCCCAGGUAGGAGGGCCCAAACCAACCACAGCUACGACCUGGGCCGGGCCUUAAUUCAGCUAGAGACCCUUUCACAUAGAUACCAGAUAUUCAAUGACCAAUAGAACACAACAUCAUAGAAGAGAGCAAUAAGCUAACUCAGAGCUAGAAAAUGAUAAGGGAAUUAGCUGGUAAUUAUCAAGUACAUAGGAACUUUCAGAUGAUUCCAAGAAUGGCCUACAGGAGCAGAUUUUGAGACACGACAUAAUGUAAUAUUCAUUUGCGUCAGAUAAGAAAUCAAGAAAAACCUUGCCUUCCAUGAUAAAGUUGCAAUCUAGAACAGAAUAUUGUUAUAGGUCCAAGAUAUUUAAUAUCAAAAAUAGUAACUGUGCCAACUUCACCAAUCUAAUGUGCCUAGUACACCCAUGCUCGUAUAGGCUGACCAAGGAUCAAGAAGCACAUGCAAAUAAAUCCAAGAGGAAUUGCCAACGUCUAUAAUAAGUGUUGAUGUAUCCACCAGUUCAUUAGAAGCUCCAUAGCACAGAACUAUAAUCAGUUUGGCAUAUAGCAAACACAGAGGUAAAAUCAUAAAGACAUGAUAUGUCAACUUUGCUCUGCGCUGAGUAAAUGAUUUUAGAAGACAAUUACAUAAAUGGCCCCUAUCCAAUUAACAGAAACCAGCAUGCCAAUAACAGUUACAUAAAAAAUAUGCAGAGUUUUCUUAUUUACUGACUUGCCUUCUGUUGUUGUAUAUCUUGAAAGAAUACCCACCACCAAUGUCGUAGCAGCAAUGAAGGAAAUCAAGAAACACCUGAAGAGUAGACUUACAAGUAGAUGCAGCUAAAUUUCAGAACAGAGCUGUUAUGCUGAUAACUUUCGACCAUCCUUAUUCAAUUUGCAUAACUAUCAGCAGACAUGUUGGCUUCUUACUUUACUUUGAAAAAGUAGGCCCCUCUGAGCCAUGAUCAAGCUUAUUCGAUCAUCAAACAGAUUUAACUACUUUCCAUCAUAUACCACAGUACCACACUCCUAGCAGUAACAUUUUGUCUUAAAAGUCAUCAAUAGAACAAAAUUCUGAACACAAUCAGUAACAGAUAUGUCAUUUUAAUCACUUUGGAUCACAAAGUACAACAUUCAAACAAUUCGUCACAUCUGAAAAAAAAAUCGAUGCUGUAGAGGAGAGGGGAGAAGCACACCGCAUACAAGUAAACAAAGAGCAACUUACUUGUAAAGUUGCAAUCUCUUACACCCUCGACGGCCUCCUCUCUCAAAGACUAGAUAGUAUACAGAUGCCUCAGUCGCCGCUGGGAGCGCGUUAUUCUGUAACCAAGAGCUCUACUCGUCUCCGACGAUCUCGAACUCUCGCUCGCGGAGGUGGGCGAUGAACCGUACGGGCUUGUCCUGGCCGUCCAGAUUGAGCUCGAACUCCACCUUGAAGGGGAGAUUAGCCGUGACCCGCUUGCCCUUCCACACGCCGACGUACUGCUUGACUACGCCCUCCAUGCCGCGCAGGUCCAGUCCCGGCGCCUUGGCAACGUGGUGGACGCGGACAGGCGCCGUGACGCGCACGCGCUUCCCGACCUUGGGCGCGGCCGCGGCCUGCUCGGCGGCCACGUCAGGCGACGAGAACACGUCGCUGCCGACGGCCACCCGGGGCGCGAUGUGGAGGCGCGCGCGCCACCGCGGCGGCGUGGGGACGAGGCGGCAGCGGGCGGGCGUGGAGGCCGGAGGGAGGAAGCGGCGGCGGGGGAGGAGGGUAGCUGACGAUGUGGAGGUGGAGGGGGAUGCCACGGCGCUGGCGGUGGCCGCCGUGGUUGGCAUCGGGGACGGGGAGGUUGGUAGGCGAGUGGGGAAUUUCAUCGAUCAGGCGGUGUGCACGUGAUGGAAGCAGAGAUGCGGGGGAGGAAAGCGAAUGGCGUGAAAUCCCAGCGAAAUGGCUUUUGUUUCCUCCCGGAAAGAAGGGCUGCCGACCCACGGGCAUCCCAAGGGCCGAGACCAGCCAACUUUGGCACUUGGGAUCUGUCUGCGUAUAUUUUCCCUUCAAUGCACAAUCACGUACUUCCUCUUUCUUAAAAUACAUGACAUGUUGACUUUUUCUUUUGAAAUUUUGAUUAAUAAUAUUUAUUUAAUUAAUUAGUUAAAUAACUUAAAAUGAGUACCAUCUAUAUCAUCAAAAGUGCUUUAAUUUUAAUUUGUAGAUCCAUUUAUUUGCAUAAUCAUCUGUAAAAAAAGAUGAAAAUCCAAAUGAACUAAAAAAAGCCAAUAGUAUCAUAUAUUUAAAAGCGGAGAUAGUACAUUGAAAACUGAAACACAUGUUUUGUGGCAACAACUUUUAAUAGCUAAAUUUAACUUGAUGGACCAUAAAAUUUUCUUCGAGCAUUUCAGCUUCUUUGUUGUUUCAGUAAACAAAAUGACUGAAUGAGAAUUUUAGUAGAACACAAGUACCUGAUUUUUUUCAUUGUUUUAUUAUCAUUUCUUGAAGUAAGAGCAAUUUCAUUCUUCUCUUUGACCGGCUGUUCUAUCUCCAAAUGGGUGCCAUAUAAAUCUGAGAAACGUUUAGUUCGAAUAUAGUUGGCUUAAGGCUAUUAGGGAUAGACUAAACCCCCAAGACAAACCAUCACAGUCUUUCUCUUAAACUUGGUUGGAUCUACCGUUUUAUCACUACCAGGAUUCGCUAAACACGUUUUAGACCCUAACAACUAAAUCCUUGUUUGUCUACGACAGGAUAAAGCCAGCAUAACAAGAAAAUAGUUUUGCUAAUAGCAACAUUCACCUAAACACUAAACGGUAAUCAUUCGGUCACCCUUUGAGUAGGGCGUUGUGUACACAGGCUACACGUCUUCUAAGAUUGCAAUAAAAUUCAUACUUAUCCAAAUAAAAAUUAGAAAUUUUGAUAUUUCAUCAUCCAAAUAUAAAAAAUUACUAAGCUUAAAAGUCAAAUUGACUAAAGAUCUAAUCAUAUGUUGGUGUUACUAAUUGACAGUUCUAAAAUCAAACAACAAAUGCCAUAUUGAUAUACAAUUAGUUGUAGUUCAUACUUUUCUAUUGCCUAGACGUUGUUUAAAAUGGUCUACUCGCCGUGUAAAAUUGUGUAAUCACCGUUUCGUGUACGUGUAUGACAUUUUUUUACCAUGUAAACGGUUGAACUGUGUAAUCACCGAUUAAGUCCUAAACUGCACUGUUGGCUAUCGAGUAACGUUUACACGGCGUGCAAACAGCACCACGAUCGUGUAGGCGAACACCGGCUAAUAGUCAAAAUACGAGUAUUAUGAAAAACUGCUCCUACUCGACUUUUGACAAAAUCAGUUUUCCGUGGGGCUUCUUCUUAGCAAACUAUACAAGCCGGAUGCCAACGUUACAACGUUGUAUGUUGGCUCAACCAAACAUUGGAUAAGCUGAAUGUUGUUUUUGCUUAGCGCAAGCCAAACAUGAUGGACUACUAAAAAAACCUACUUUUUGAAAAUGAAUUCCUAAUCCAAACAAGGCCUGUGGAGCAGAUAUUUGUUUGGGCCUGAAUCUAUUGACAGCCCAGUCCUUCCCAUCUUAAACUUGUUUGGGUACAGCCCAUGAUUCACUCGGCAAACUCGCCAGCGGCCACACACAGCCGGGCGGGCAGGGAGAUGCAAGAACUCCAGUCUCCAGUCAAGCCUACACCCAGUUUAAAUUCGUAAUGGGCCGCCUAGCCUACAAACAACAUCGACUGAGGUCUCUCUCUCUCUCUCUCUCUCUCUCUCUCUCUCUCUCUCUCUCUCUCUCUCUCUCUCUCUCCCUCCCUCCCUCCCUCCCUCUCUCCCUCUCCCUCUCUCUCUCUCUCACAAAAUCUGAGAUUCUGAUGUCCCUUUUUGACUCUCCAGAAUAUGCAGGAGGUUUGCUGAUGCUGAGCACUGAGCUUAAAUUCGUUUCCACUAUUAGAUCUUGUAAUACGGUUGCACAUGUUUGUUCGAAGCCAAAAUAUGUGGUAGAUUGAAAAGGGCCAAGUGGAUGCCUUUUGGCCUAGAUAUCCAUUGUUUGAAGAUGCUUGAUCUAAAGAAAAGCUUCUUUUGGAUGUUAAAACGGCAAGGGCUGCCAAAUGCCUUGCCUUGUAUGUUAUGCAUGCGCUAAAAUUAUAUUCAUGCUCGUCUAGCUUAUCAAGAGUUAUCAUCAAACCACACCUCACCACCGAAAGUCGAUCCAGUGCCACGAGCUUCAGUAUUUAUCUGUUACACAAUGGUGAACCCUAAACCAAAAUCUUGCGCACAUCGGACCUUCCGCCAAGGAUUUCGUCAGGGUUGGAGAAGAAGAGCCAAGCAUGAAUCAACAAAGAAUGAGUGUGGUAAAAUAUUCUGACACUGAAGGGGAGAUAAAAAUGCCGGUCAAGACUUAGCUUUUCCCCUAGUUUUUGCUUCGCGGCUAUGAUGUCUCAUGGAGUUCUGUGGAGGCCGAAGAAAGGUCAAACAGGCGUCCAUGCUCAUGCUGGAACGAACUGCUCGAUCAUAUAAAAGGGUAAUUUGACGUUUACAUUGCCUUAAUAAAAAUUUUACAAUCAUAAUUCGCGUCUUUAUGGGACAAGAGCAUUGAGAUAAUUAAGUUCAAGAAGGCCGGAAUAUCCCCUCUACAUGUAAGAAGGUUAAGAACUAUGAACAUCGUUACAGCAAUCACAAAACGUGCAUGCACGCACACACUUGAUGCCUGACAUUUCCAAAGCAAUGCAUGGUCAAGGUACAUGAAAAUAAAUCAGAGCACAACAUACACACACAUAUUAAGCUGCUAAACCCAUUUUUACUAACACUAAGAAUCCGCAGCUGAUGAAUCAGUGACCGAACCCAUCUCGCAUGAAACAGUAACAUAAUGUUGCAAACAAACUGAAGAACACUUCCAAGAGUCUAAGAAAUAUCUAAAACACAUGAGUCAUCUGUAGAGGAUGCAUGCUGUUGCACAUCAUGGGAGAGAGAAAUUGACAGGUAGCCCUAGCAGCUGACCUAAAAAUUGCAGCCUAGAGCAGGGUUUCCUGGUGGGUUUCAGAAGAAGUGUUUGAGGAAGAAAAGGCAUGGGUGAAUGGUUCAUGAAUGCUGCUGUGAAAUGAAUCUGUGUGAUGCCGCAAGUUGUCUUUAAAACCUGAACCUGCGUGCAUCUCUAUCCUAGCUAGUGUUAUUACUGCCGUGCAGAUGAAACAAUGGGAUCAGCAAGAUAUCAGGGUGUGCUGUUUAGUCCAUGAAGGAAGGAGAAUGGGGAGACUGCGAGUGAAGUGGGGAAGAAGAAGAAGCAGGUGUUACCGGGACGUGAUCGCAUGACAUGUCCGUCCCGGCUGCCGCUGCCGCUGUGGUUUCUUGUGCGGUGGAGUGCUCCAUGGUGGCCUCAUCGCCGGCGAAGCGACCAUGGAGAAAGAGGCCUGGGUUGCUGUCCAUGUCGUAGUCCCAGAAGGAACUUCCUGGCCCCCACGCGUUGAACCAAGCCUCGUCGGCCGGACCCCACUCGCUGCCAUGAGCCACCGGCGCGUGAAUCAUUUCACCCGAGACUGGCAUGGUUUUAGAGCUGACAUCUUGCUGCCACGAUGUCGCCACCGGAGGCUGUGGCUGCUUGUCCAACGAUCCUUCUGCGUGCGGCGGUGGCGUUUGUUGUGUGCUUGCCUCGUCCGGAGUCUGUGGAGGCGACGAGGAGGAGGAGGAGCCAGACCCCGCGGCAGUGGUCGGGGCGGCUGCGGAGGUGGCGCUGGUGCGGCCGCUGCCCCCGGCGUGGCCCUUGCCGAAGAACCGGUCCGGGAAGUUGAGCCGCGCGUUCUCGCCGCGGAGCUUGAAGGCCUCGCGGUCGUACGCCAUGGCGGCGUCCUCGGCGGAGUCGAACGUGCCGAGCCAGAGCCGCGUGCGGUUCCGCGGCAGCCGGAUCUCGGCCACCCACUUCCCCCAGUGCCGCUGCCGCACGCCGCGGUACAGCUUCUGCGGCGGCGGCGGGGCCCGCACCAGGUGCUGGUACAGCGACGGCAGCACGGCCGCGGCCUGGCCGCCGCGCGGGCUCAGGUUCAGCGCCUCGCUCCAGUACCGCAGCAGAUGCUGCUGCUGGUGCUGCGGCGAGCCAUCCGGCAAAAAGAACUGCGCCUGGAACUGCGGCGGCGCGCCGAACGAUAUCAUCUGCUGACGCUGCAACGGCGCCUGCUGCGGCGACGCCGGUUGCGACGCGCUGGAGUGCUGCCACGGCGGGAGCUGCAGCCGCGGGGCCCCGCCCACCGGCGGCGCCGAGGGCUCGUACGCGAACGGGAAGAUGCGCCGUGCGGAGGGCGGCGACGACUCCGCCGGCGUCGGCGAGGCGGCGCUGGCGCGAGGGGAAGGCGGGGCCGACGACGAAGCCGUCGUCGAGAGCGACGACGCGGACCGCUGGAAGCGGUCCGGCGCCCGCCCGAUCUUCUUGUGCGGGCGCAGCGACGCCGCCGACGCGUCCUCCAUGACCGGCGCCAGCUGCCGCCGCGGCUGUAUGGGCGUGACGCCGCCUUUGCCCUUCCACCUCCUGCCCCCACGACCGCCCCCCGCGCCACCGCCGCCGCCGCUCUCGCCGCUAGCGCUCGACGCAUCCAUGCCGAGGGACCUCGAUGAAGCAGGUAGCUAGCGCGCCGAUGCGAAGACGUGCGCGCGCGACCGAACGAAAGCCCCAGCAAGUGCAGCGCGCCCCGGCGGCGCUACAGCGAUAUAUAGACGACAAGAACCUCGUAAACAAACUGAUCCUGAGACCAACUUGCGGCCCAGACGGACCAACGAACUCCCGGUGAAAUGAUCACUUCGCGGGGUGGCGCGACCGACCGGUGCGGGCUGGCGAGCUGGCGUGCGCGGUGGCGUUUGGUUCCGGAGGUUCCAGACGAGUGGUGACCAACCGGAAAAGUGAGCAUUAGUCCCAGUUGGAGAGACACAUAUGUCUUGAAAAUUCAACCGGAACUGAUCUUUCAAGACUAAAGACCCUCCUCUUUAGUCCGGGUAUUUUACCCAGACUAAAGACCUACUUUACCGGGACUAAAAAGGUUCCAAAAAAUAAUUAAAAAAAUAGGCCACCCAUGCCGUCUUGCCUACUCCCGCCGCUACCCCUUGCAGCUCCAUCUCGACCACCGUCUCCUCGUGCCGGCUCGCCCGCCGGAGGCCGGCCCGCGCCGCUCGUGCCCCCCGCCGCUCCGCCUGGAAGAAAGGGAGAGGAGGAGAAGAGAAGAUAAGAAAGAAGAGAAAGAGCGCUACCUGCACGAGACAAGGGAAAAAGGGAGAGGAAAGAAAAUAAGGUGGAGAGAGAGGGAGGGCCAUGUGAAAAAAGAGUGGAUAUAGUACCGAUUGUUGGUUUCAACCAGGACUAAAUCUUUAGUCCCGGUUGGAAACACCAAUUGAGACUAAAUGAAUGGUUUGUUACUAACCGGGACUAAAUGCCCCACCAAAUUUCCUUGUUGUUCCCAACCAUUACAAUCGGGAUUAAAGGGAGCUCUUUAGUCUUUAGUCUCGUUAGUCUUCAGUCCCGGUUGAUAUUACCGACCGAAAUUAGAAGUCCCAGCCGUCAGAGCUGGUUUUUAAACUUAGGACUAAAGCUUCUUUAAUCUUGGGUUAAAAAUAUCCAGAGUAAAAACACGGUGCGAGACGUUUGGCUUAGUCGAGGGGAUUCAUCCCUCACCUCGGCCAGAACCGACUUUGCCGCGAGCCAGGAAGGAAAAUGAUCUCAAGGUCGGUGGUCGGGCUCCACCUCGCAUUGACUUGUCGCGGACCCUCCGAUGCCGACACGUCACGGCCGCACGGAUCUUGACGCGACGGUCGGGAUCGCGACAUGGUGUUUUCUGUUGCUGUCACCGCGGCGUGGACGGCACUGAUCGUGUGCUAGAUUGACCCCCCUCGGUUGCUUUCCUUGUACUCAAAUCUUCCCCAGCCACUUUGGUGCUUAUAUUCCCCGGAAAGGUAGUAGCGUGACUCGAUUAUAAAUUUGAGUUUCGGCAGUUUCAAACCAAUCCCAUCACGCCCGCAAUAAUUGCCAUGAUGCUUCCAAGUUCCAGUAGACCGUUUGGCAAAGUUGUUAGGGCCAGUUUGGUAGGGCUCCGGCUCCUCUGAAAGUGGCUCCGGCUCUGACGCCUCUAGUGGAGUGGCUUCUCCGGCUCUGGCUCCUCCUUUUGAAAAAACGUUUAGCAAAACGGCUCUUCCUGUGGGCCCUCCACAAGGAAGAGA
Molecule: long non-coding RNA, 93993 nt
Filed under: Setaria italica (foxtail millet)
Lineage: Eukaryota; Viridiplantae; Streptophyta; Magnoliopsida; Poales; Poaceae
Description: long non-coding RNA (SITA_LNC005336)
Source: RNAcentral